This 148001-nucleotide long non-coding RNA is filed under the name Coffea arabica (coffee). Its description in RNAcentral is "long non-coding RNA (CARA_LNC001113)". The record is from RNAcentral. Lineage: Eukaryota; Viridiplantae; Streptophyta; Magnoliopsida; Gentianales; Rubiaceae.
CUUCCCUCGUCUUUGUCUUUUCCCUGGACUAUGCCCGAACUCGAUUGGCAAAUGAUGCCAAGGCUGCAAAGAAGGAGGAGAGAGGCAGUUCAACGGCUUGAUUGAUGUCUACCGUAAGACCUUUGCUUCUGAUGCAUUGCUGGACUUUAUCGGGAUUCAAUCUUUCUUGUGUUGGAAUCAUUGUUUAUCGUGGUCUCUAUUUUGGACUGUAUGAUUCUGUGGCCAGUGGUCCUCACUGGCAAGUUGCAGGUAAAUAAUCGAUGAGACCAGUGCUUGUCAUCAUCAUUUGUCAUGAAGUAUUGAUUGACUGAUUGUGAUUCACAUUUUCAUGAAUUUUUUUUAAUUAUUUUUGUGUUAUAGUGUUUCUCUUCUAUUUGCUUUGAGCUAGUAGCUAAAUACAGAGGACAUGCAAGAAGCAAAUAUUGAUGCAUGUGAUCCUUAUUAUGCUCUAGAAUUCCUUUACUACUACAAGUCCAUAAUUUUUGUAUCUAGCUUCAUUGUACCUUCUCUUUUGCUGUUUCUGGUUUUCAGGAUAGUUUCUUUGCUAGCUUUGCCCUUGGUUGGGUGAUUACGAAUGGUGCUGGCCUUGCGUCUUAUCCAAUUGAUACUGUCCGAAGAAGAAUGAUGAUGACAUCUGGUGAGGCAGUGAAGUACAAAAGCUCCCUAGAUGCAUUUACUCAGAUCGUGAAGAAUGAGGGUGUAAAGUCUCUCUUCAAGGGAGGUGCUGCAAACAUCUUACGUGCUGUUGCUGGUGCUGGUGUGCUUGCUGGCUACGACAAACUGCAAGUGCUUGUCUUAGGAAAGAAGUAUGGAUCUGGCGUGGUGCUUAAGAGUUGGUUUUUUGUCCUCAAGAUUUUGAAGAUUAGGCAGUGAAAAAAUCUCCCAUGUGUGGGACCUUAACCAGGCUUUCUGAUUCAAUAAUUUGACACCUUUACAGGUGUCACCCUGAACCUUUUUUUAUUGAACCGUUCAUCGCUUUCUACAUCUUAUAUUGUUGCAGCCGCGGAUGCAGUUGCUAGUUUUUUGAGUUUCAAUUACUCAAGAGAGGCUUGUAUGUCAUGUACAAUGCCUGAAUUGCUUUCCAUAGUGAGAGAUACAACUGUGCAACUUUUUGGCCUUAUCAUCCUGGCAAGUGCAUACCUGAAAUUAUAUGCAUCAGUGUCUAAACUGCUAGGUCCUUUAUGUUUCGUACUAUUCUCUGUUUCUUUAUUUUAUACUUGGGGCUAAAUCACUUCAAAAUUUUAUUCCUUGUAUGCGAAAUGUCUAUGCUGAUUUUCAUAAAUAGCAAGCCUCAAGGUGCCUGCGCAUGUCUUUGAGUGUUUUGUACUUUCAACUGCUGCAAGGCCAAUCUGUUAAGCUGUCUUCAACUGCUGCAAGGCCAAUCUGUUAAGCUGUCCUCAAUCUUGGAUGCCCUUUAUUAUAUCUGUUUCAUUUCUACAUGUCCAUUCUUGGAUACAGAGAUGUAAUGUGUUUAGUUAAACAUUUUAAGAUCUAGAGAUCAAACUGGAAGCUCUCGAUCUCGACUUUAACCGACUCAAAACUGAAGUAAGCUAUGAACAAGAACGAGCUGGCCUGCUUGAAGAGUAGCUCAAUGUCCAGCCUUCGAUAAAUGAGUAGUACAUAAUGGUCUUUCACCUUGGGUGAUCGUGUAGCAAUCCAGUGGAAAAUGGUUGAUGCUGUUUACUGGCAACUAUAAGGGUACCUGAAACCUAAUAAGCUGUAUGAGCCAACGAUGAGAUUCUGAAAUUCUGCUUGGAUUGCUUGUUUCCGUCGAAAAAUAUUGUCAUUUUCCGUAAUCACAUUUUCCUAUCACCUUUUUUCCUCACAUAUAUCAAAUCGCUACUCGAAAUCUUCAAGUAGGGGUGUUUUUGAAUUGAGUCAAGCCCUGGCACUGGUGUAGCCAAGUUCAAGUUCAAAGGUAAUUAAUCACCUAGCUUAUCUUUAAUUGAGUGAGGUUUGAUGAGUAUCAUCCAAAAAAAAAAAUUACUAGUGGUUCAAGCUCAAGAUUAGCCUACUUGACAAGAUUAACUCGAGUCCAAGCUCAAGCCUAAACUCUAGGGCAAUCAAGCUUGAUAGAGUGGUAAAGAUUGUAAUUUGUCCAAAACAAACAUUCUAUAAUUUCAAUAGUUUCAUAACUAUAUAUAAAUAACAAUAUAUUACAAAAAUUAUAAAUUUAUGAAUAGUUGAUAAGCUUGAGAAGCUCUCAAUAUUAUGUAUGGACACGGAAGUUGAUCCGUAUGACAACUUGAAUCGUUGGGUUUGAAUUUUAUCGAAUUCAAAUCAAUCUUUGAACGAAGCGCUGGUAAAUAAGUCGAUUUAUCAGUAGCUCCUAGUCCAAUUCCUAUUCCAAACUCACGCUGUGAAGCUUGUUCGUAUAAGGUUGAGUUUCCUCGAGAUUCAACAAUGCAUUCUACCCACAAGUCUUUCUAUGGACGCUUCUUCACCUUGUGUGGAGGAUCGUGAAAGCUGUUAAUAUCUCUCAAGGGUUACUUAGCCCUUUUUCUGGAAAUAGAAGUAUGCCAAACACUCACGCUACCCUAAAGGCCAAAUUGCAUGAUAAACAAUAAAGUAAUAAACAAUAGGCAUUACGAUGGCAAUCAUUAAAUGGGCUUUCCAAGGAGGCAAAAGCCCAUUCAUUAUUUGCUUUGCAGUUUUGGGCCUCGUUUAGUGAACUGAUUGGUCCGCAGUGUAGACCAUUUGAAAUACAAACAUGAGACAAUAAUCCUAACAAAAUGUAAGACUAUUCUAGUUUUUUCUUCUUUUUGUCUUGAUAAAUUAGUUUUUAAUUUUUGAAAUUCUUUCCUUUUUUUUUUAGAUAACUUUUAUACGCAAAAGUAAUUGAUCACCAACCUUGAACGCAUGCAUGAAACAACUCAACAUAGCAAUAAAACUUUAGAUCAUUCAAGUUAAACAAACAUCUUCUACUUUUGCUGAUGCUGAUAUUGUUGUAAAUUGUCUUAAAACCAAAGGGAUAUUACUCCAGCCAUAUCUAUUCCUUCAAUGCUAGUAACAAAUACUUAUAAAUACAGUUAUAGUUCCCUUUCUAAAUGUACAAACUCACAAGCUCGUCAUUGUAAUUAAGUCCCACCCUCUCAUUUCUUGAACCUCAAUUGUUGUAAUUAUUGGUGUCAAAUGUCAAUUGUUAGCUCAAUUGAGUUCAACUCGAAUUCAAGUCAAAUAAUAGUCAGACCGAUCCCGAGCUCAAUUUUUAAGGAAAGCAAAUACUUUAGCUCAAAUCAAGCACAAGGAAAGCGCUAUACGAAUUCAACCCACUCGCUGUGAGUUUGAAAUGCAAAAUUUCCUAUGAUCCUAUCUUCUUAAAAUUCUUGUACAAAAAAAAAAAAAAAAAAGUGAUUGAAGCAAAUCGAUAACUCGCAUAUACUAGUCAAAUCACAUGCAAAUAAUAGUUAGUGGAUUUUGGGACUAAGAAUGAUGAAGGUUUAUUUUCUAUCAAUCCGUAACUUCUACAUUAAUCCUGCUCUCACUCCUGUUUCAAUCUAUCUAAGGGAGAAUCUAACUGGACCAAAGAGAACUAAAGGGAGUGACUCUCAUCUCAAGAUUAAAAGGGUGCAAUACUGCAUACGCUUUGAAUUUGGUAGAUAUCACGUAAUAAUAACAAUUGAUGGGAGACAAAGUUUCAACCUUUAACAUUCCAACUUAUAAAGGCAGUUAGAGACAAUUGAUGAAGUUGUUUUUGUUAUUUGACCACUUUUGAUGGUCUCAUAUAGCGGAAUGCUUCUUUACAAUCUGGACCCGGGUAUGACUAAACAAUGGUAAAAGAGAAAGAAAGAGAAAUGGAGGGAAUGAGAGAUCAAUUCCUUGCUUGCAAAAUGUGUCUUGAGCGGUCCCAUGAUGUAUCUCAUCCCACCAUCUUGUGCAGUUUUUUCAGUUGCAGAUGGCAGAAACUAGGAGGAGAGCCUUUGCUUUAAUGGCUAUGUCUUAAUAGCUUUCUAUAUUCACUGAACAAAGAUCUUUGCCAUUUUCCGUAUCUAGUAUGUGACUUUGUGGCCUCCAUCAAUUUUCAAUUGCUUUCUUAAAGAUCUUAUCCAUUUAAGUAUGCUGUGCAUUUUGUCUCCUUUUGUCCGUUUGAAUUACGGACUUGAUCACCUCUACAAUGACCUGUGCCAAUUUCUAUCUUGUACCACUAGCACCUCAACAAUUGCUUGGAAAGCCAUUUUCUACCAAAAAAAAUAUUUACGUUUUUCAUAAAUAUAUUUUUCAAUCACCUUUUUAUCUCAUUUAUAUCAAAUCGAUAUAGUACAUUUUUUCACAAAAACUCCAAAAAAUUACAAUCCAAACAAGAAUUAUCUUCCUCCACUUCCAGUUGUGUACACGAGAGAAUUUGACUCUACAAUUUUCUUUUCAAAUUGAAAAUUUAGCCUAUUCUUAACUAUUAUUUAUCAGGUGAUUGAUUCCAACCCUAGUCCAAUUUUUCUUUUGUCCAAGUGUUUCUUAUAGCUCUCGUAAAGCUAAUCACCCUAACAACAAAAAAGAAAAAAAAAUCACAAAUUGUAAUUUCAGAUAAUUAUUUUAUCAGGGAUUUGGAAGUACUCAACCACUAAGUUAACUAUUUGUGAGAAGGCAUGAUGUCUACAACAUUAACCUUUCUUUCUUUCUUUUCUUUCAAAUUGACAUAUGUAUCAUUUAUAGUGUGUUUUAGUUGUUAUAACCAAAUUCCUCGGGCCUUUAAAGCUAAAAUUAUAGAGAAAAUACAUAAGAAGAAAUAGUUUUUUGUGUGGAAAUAGAUAUCAUUGAACUUUUCCACAUUGUGGAAGUUCAUGUAUCUUUCUUAGAUCAUUUAGAACAAAGCAUUCAUGGUUGGAGAGAACAUGUCCUGGAAAUAAAUUCUAGGCAGUGCUCUUGUGUGGUUUUUAUCUAUCUUUAACCCAAUAAAAACAGUCAGAGAAUUAUUUAAGCCACUUUUGAUAAAGGGUCAUCCACAAAAGUUUUUCACCAUAGAAGUGGGGUUGCUCUCGGAAUCUGGUCCGGGCUAUGUGGUCCUUGUGCAACAGUACAAGGAAAGGCAUAAAAUCACAUCUUGCCCGUUUUCAAUCCAACCCUUUUGCAUCUUCAUUUUGUCUUCCCUUUUUCCAUAAUUUGGAGGGCUACUAAUUCUCAAUCUUGUUUCCAACGAAUUCAUUUACCUCUUUCUUUUUUUGUUAUUGAAGAAGAGGUAUUACUUGAACCAAUAAUUGGCAGGAUGAACAAAGAAAAUCUUAGCAUUUCUAUUGAAGCUAAAAAUGAAAUUGAAUAACCAAUGCCAUCUCUGUACUACCUUGAAAAUUCCUUAGGUUCGUACUUACCAAUCAAAAAGCUAUACAGUAUUGUAGCAAUAUCUAGCCUUUUAUAUAGCUGCAAAUUUGCACUGAAUUGUCCAGUCUUUGCAUAGCAAUACGUACUGAAUUAUCAACUACAAAGGAAGGAUGACUUUUUCCAUAAUUAAUCAUUAUCUUUUGUAAGCUUCCAUUAGUGACAAAUUUCGUAGGCCUUCAGAAAAUGUUUGUUUCCAGUCAAUUUCACUGCACGAAAAGGAGAGCUAUGGUUAUUUUCUCACUUGUUUGGUGGCAAAAACUUGAAUGGUUAUCCAUCUUGAAAAGACAAUGGAGGGUUCUUUUUCCUGUGGAAGACAAAAGUCUGGUGGAUUGUGGGACUGAUAUGGUAUAUCCUUCCAAUUUCCUCGAAGCUAUAUCAAGAGUAUCAAAGUUUGCUCAGAUGAUUACUAUUUUCACAAGAAUUCUGUUGUUUCACAUUUUCUUUAAAUGUGUAUUUGAAAUAAAAAUAGUUCAAGAACGUAUCCGGAGUUCGAAAGCUUGUAAUUUAUUCUCUAACACAUUAUUACAUAACCGUUUCAAUUUUAAGUUGAUGAAUUAAACGACAUAUGUUAAAGACAAUGAAAUGAUCAUGGAAGAUCAAAUAAAAUAGGGGAAAAUGCCCCAGUGGUUGUCAAAUUAUUUCAAAGUUUAACUUUUGGCCAUCCAAUCAUUAAAUGGGUACUUUUAACUCUCUAACGAAUUAAAACAUAUAUUCAUAGCGUUUCAUCAAAUUGAAUCGUUAUUUCAACAAAACAGUGUAGAUGGUUUUUAUCACUUUUGGUGCUGUUUCUAUUAGACAUUUUCUUCAUUCUUUGUAACAGUUCUUUACUUGGGAGGCUGGAAUCUUUCUAUUCCGUACAUAUUCGUUUAUGAGAUAUUUGACAUAAAUAAAGCGGGUAAAGUUUUUGGCCCAGUAAUUGGUAUCUCUAUUACAUUAGCUAAAACUUAUUUGUUCUUGUUCAUUUUUAUUGCAACAAGAUGGACUUUACCAAGGCUGAGAAUGAUUUAAGUUGACGGAAAGAUUAUGAGUGCAAAUUUUAAUUAAUUGAAAGGUUAAAAUUAUUUAUUUAAUAAUUGAAAAGUCAAAAUUAAAAUUUGUAAUAGUUUAAAAGCAUUGAAACAUUUUACCCGACAAAAUUUAAGCUCCCAACCUAGUAUACGAGAGAGCUAUACAAGAUUCCCUUGCGAUUCACUCGCUAAUUGUAUUGGAUAUGUGUUUUUUUUUUUUUUUUUUUUUAAAAGGCUAGUAUCUAUAUGGGGUUUUCAAGGUAAGUUGGGUUUUCCAAUAAUUAAGCUUAUCCCCAUUGACUGAGGAGGAUUGUUGUGAGGAGACCAAACAGCUUGGAUUGUGUAGGGACCAAUAUACUACUCUUCCUAGACUCCUAGUAAUAGCAGAUUAUCAUAGAGAGGAGUACUUUUACAACUUUGCUGCUGGGGUUGCUACAGCUGUACGGCAAAGAUCACGCAGACAGGCUUCUGGGAAUGCGGCUCCCAGCCUUCCACUCUGUCUCACGCACACUUCUCAGUUCCUACCGGCUGUUAAAACGGCUUUAGUUUCACAUGCUUAUUGCUAUGCGGUUUUUCUUUAUCAAUUUUCCCUUUCUUUUUUCACCAUCUCGUGGUAAUUUGUAUUUUAUCAUACUCCCUCCGUCCCACUUUGAUAGUCCUGUUUUCCUUUUUUGUCUGUCCCAAAUUGCAGUCCACUUUCCAAUUGAAGAAUGUAGUUGUAUUUUCAUUUUCCUAAAAUACCCUUAUUCAAUACAAGUUGUUGUUGCUAUAAACCUACCCCAUUUAAUGAGAGUUGAUUCUUUUUUUACCAUCAAUUCAAGUUCCCAUAAAGUUGUACUCUAUUUAAUGUGAGGGUAUUUUAGGAAAAUAGCAAUCUAAAUUUACUUUUCCAACAAAGUUAACUACUUUUUCUUAAACUGUGUGAAAAAAGAAACAGGACUAUCAAAGUGGGACGGAGGAGUAUCACUCAAGUGGCAUUCGAUUUCAUUGUGAAAGUAUCCUUUUAGAGUGAAAUGAAAUGAAUGGGUGAACGAGAAAGGAGUUGAGUUGAAUGAUAAAAUGGAAAAAAUUAUAACUAAGAGGUUUUAGAUUCAAAUUCUCUUACUUAUAAAAAGAAAAUAAAUGAAUAAUUUUUAUUAGGAUGGAGGAACAUUCAAAUGGAACUAGACAAUCGAAAGCUGGUAGAAGCCAUAAAGAAACCAAGUCACAACAAUCAUCUGAUGGCUACUCUAUUAGAGGAUAUAAGGUCCAUUUGUAAUCUGUUUCAAAAGUGCUCUAUCUCUUUUGCUAUUUCAAGGAAAGUAGAAUAUAUUAAGUUGAGCUUACAUGCUCUAAACAUUUGGAUAGAUGAAGAAUGGAUGAAUCCCAAUAUUAGAUGUUAGUGCAUCAGUAAGUUGCUAGGACAAUUUGUUCCUUUUCUUUGGACAGUUGUCCAAACACUGUACAAGUUACGGAGAUAUAUAUAAAAUGCUAACGUUUCGGAAAAAAAAAAGAAUAAUUUUUACUAGGCAAAUUUAUAACCACGAGACUAAAGUCAUUAUACUAUAGUAAAAAUCAAAAUAGAACUAUAGAACUAUUCAUCCUAAGCUUGUUUAUGAGGGCAUUUAUUUAGGAUUAAUCUUUUCUACACCGACAGUGUAUACACUAUCAGCGUUGGAUGAUUGACAAUUUAUGCAAAAUUUGAAUUUGAAAUUCAACUUUUGCACACAUAUCAUGAAUCUAACGAUGAUAGUGUAUACACUAUCAGUGUAGGAAAGAUUUACUCAUUUAUAUUUAACUUGAGAAAAGUCAUUAAAAUUCCAACUUUGACAUAACGCUAAUGAUUGAGCAAAUGUUGGAGAGAGAUGAUGUAAAUUUGAACCCAAAAUGGUAGAUCUUAUGAAACCUCAAUGCAAUAUGUAAUGAGAAUAAAAUAAAUAUAGCAUUUGCUUUUUGGCUGUUCAAGUCAUUCUUUCAUAAAUUUGUUUGGGUUUAUGAAGCUAUAAUGUCAAAUUUAAAUAUUCUUUGGCCUUGUUCAACAACAUUAAACUAUACAUGGCUCGCGAGAAAGCGCGAGAAAGAAAAACAGAUACCAUCAUUGGAAUUUGGAACGAGUCUUUACAUAUUCAAGGGUUUCAUACAUUAUGUUAAAACUUAAAACCAAAGGUAGUCUAGCCACAUUAAUGAUCAGAUUUUGAGUCACUCUGCUCAGCGUCAAUUAGUUUUGAGAUAAAAAUUCAAUUUUUUUUUAACAUGAUACUAUAAUUGGGCCACAGGUUUUGUUCAUCAACCUCACCUGCUUACAAUUUCACCUAUAAUUUGAUCAAUUACUUGUGACUUCAGGGUUUCUAGGGUGGGUUCUGUUCAUCUAUACCUCAAGUUUACAAAUCCAAGCCUUCUAAGGUGUUACUCCGUCCAUUUUUUCUAAUUUGGAGGGUUUUAGGGUUCUGUUCACUCGUACGUUGCAUUUACAAGUCAAUGAGUUCGAAGAUUUUAGGACUCCGCUCACUUCUGCCUUAAGUCAAAAUCAUGUGUGAGAGGAGAUGUUAAGAUUAAAUAUCCACAAUUAUUCCUUAAGAAAUUCCAAUUACAUUCAUAAGAUCUUAGACCACUGACUCAUGUCAUUAUCAAUUGAUUUUGAGAUGAAAAAUAAAGCUCUUUAAUACGUUAGAGGCAGCUAGAGAAAUGAUGGAUAAUAGAUUCUAAAAUUUGUUAACCUAAUAAACUAAUUCAUCUACGAAAAUAAUGUCGUUGAAUACAUUGCUAAAUCCAAGCACUCUUUAGUAUGGUGGAUAAAUGGUCUUAUACAUUUCUCAUGGAAUGUGAUAAUAUUUCACUAAUUACAAAAGCUAGUUAAUCUUCACAAAAUUUAUAAUUAUUCAAAUAUUCUACAACCUUUCCUAUUGUUACUGAUAACUAUUCAAUUUUGCUAAGCCAUUUGACAUAAGCUCUGAAGCAUUACACUCUCACUUAGUAGUGUCUUUUUCGAUAAAUAACUAUUAAAAUGUAUUCAAAUUUAAGAUUUUAGGCAUUACAGUUUUCUCUAAAUUGUCUUUUUAUCUUUAAAUGAUGCAGUCAUGCUUUUAAAGAAAAUGCGUAUCUACACUACUCAACAUUUUCUACAAAAAUAGCAUACAUUGCAUUUCAAUCUAUGUUAUCGUUAUCGAUUCAAAAUAACUUAGUGUACAUUACAUUUCAAUCUAUAUUGUCUUUUACGAUUCAAGAUAAUUUAAUAUACGUUACACUUUGAUCUAUAUUGUCUUUUGUGAUUUAAAAUAACACACUGUAAGUUACAUUUCAAUUUAUAUUGUCUUUUCCUAUUAAAAAUAAUCUAAUUUAUGUUACAAUUCAACCCAUAUUGUCUUUUCCCAUAGAAAAUAAUUUGUUGUUGUAUAUAUUUCGAAUCUUUAUCGUGUUUUCCUAUUCAAUAAUGCCUAACCACCUUGCAUCAUAAAUUUUGUCUAGUUAUAUAAUUAAUAAAAAAAUUAUAUUUGUAGUUGCAACGUAUAUACAUAUAUCACAUCAUAAAAUUUGCUACACUUUUAUUUCAAAUUUUUUUUCCAAAUAAAUUGAGUGUAUUUGGAUAGAGUAUUAUUUAGCUUGUAUCAUAAAUAUAAUUUUCAAUCAACUUUCUGUUUCAUAUAUAUCAUAUCAUAAAAAGUGUUAUAGUACUAUUCUAAAUAAUUUUUUUUUCAAAUUAUCUCCUAUCCAAACACGCUUACUAUAUUAUUUGAAAUAAUUAAUAUAGCAAAUUUUGUGAUGUGAUGCAUGUGAGGCAAAAAAAUAGUUAAGAAUAUAAAAAAGGGAUUGAAAAAUGUAUUUAUGAUACAAACAAAACAAUAUUAGAAAUAACAUGUGUUUAAAAAAUGUUCUAGCCAAACACAUUCAUAUACUUCUCAAUUCAGAAAAUCAUACUCCUUAUAUCACAAAAUUCAUUCCUCUAUAUCUCAUGAGAAGAUACACAAACAAACAUACACAAUGUGCAUAAACUAAUUUUAAAAGAAUUAUCUAAAUCUAAGUUUAAUGCUUCAUGUUUCAAAAGCUUGUUUACCUAAUAAACUAAUUCAUCCAUGAAAACAAUAUCAUUGAGUAGAUCAUGAAAUUCAGUUGUCUUAUAUGUUUCUAAUAGAAUGUGAUAAGAUCUCAAUAAUUACAAAAGCUAGUUAAUCUUCGCAAAUUUUAGAAUUUUUUAAAUAUUCUAUAACCUUUCUUAUUGUUACAAAUUACUAUUCAAUUUUGCUAACACAUUUGAUAGAAGCUCCCAAGCCUUACACUCUUUUUUGACAAAUAACCGUUAAAAUGUAUUCAAAUUUGAGAUUUUAGGCAUUUUAAUUUUCAUUAAAUCAUCUUUUUUUAUCUUUAAAUGAUGCAAUCAUGCAUUUAAAGAUAACACAUAUCUAUACUACUCAACAUUUUAAAGAAAAUGCGUAUCUACACUACUCAACAUUUUCUACUAAAAUAUCAUACGUUACAAUUCAAUUUAUAUUGUCUUCAAUGAUUCAAAAUAACUUAGUGUACGUUAUAUUUCAAUCUAUUAUUGUCUUUUAUGAUUCAAAUAAUUUAAUGUACGUUACACUUCAAUCUAUAUUAUCUUUUGUGAUUCAAAAUCACCUAGUGUAUGUUAUAUUUUAAUUUACAUUGUCUUUUGAAAAAAAAAAAUCAUUCAAAAUGUAUCUCAUAUUUUGUAAAAUGACUUUUUAUAUGCCUUACUUUUAAAAGUAUAAUUUUACGUCCCUUAUAAAUUCACAUUAGUCAAAUUUGUUUCCUAUCUAGGUUUCUGAUUAGUUUUUAGUUGGAAUCCAUCACGUGCCUUACACAUGAUCAUUUUUAGGGGCAAAAUUGUCAAAUAAUAGUUCACAUAAUCUGAUCCAUAGUUCUUCACAUUUAAUAAAAUAAUUUUUUUUUGUCUAUCAUAUUUUACAAACUAAAUUUUUUCAUCCUUCAUUAAUCAUGUGUAUGAAUAGGUUUUUUUACAUCCCAUAUAUAUGUUUAUUUGAUUUCACCUGAAUAAUACAAAUAGCAUUUAAUAUAUAUUUCUAUUUGAUUUCACCUACAACUACAAUUAGCUUAUUUAGGUGAAAUCAAAUAGAAAUAUGUUAUAUGAUAUACAUACUAUUCAAGUAAAAUCAAAUAAACAUGUACAUGAAUUUUUAAAAAUAAGAAAAAAGUAUUCAAACACAUGAUGAACAAGGGAUGAAAAAAAAUUCAUUUUGUGAAAUGUGAGAGACGAAAAAAUUUAUUUUAUAAAAUGUGAGGGACUACGGAUAGGAUUAUGUGAAAUAUUAUUGAGCAAAUUGCGCGAAAUGUCACUAAACUAUUUCAAAGUGCCGGUUCUGGUCACUAAACUUUUUUAUUAGCGCGAAAUGUCACUGAACUAGUAAAUCUGUACCGUUUUGGUCACUCCGUGUAUUUGUGCCGCCAGGACAGACGAAAAUCAACUUUUUGAGGGGCAAAUUCAUCUGCACAGCCUUUUCCUUGAAACUCUCUACCAUAAAUCACUCUCAAAUGUCAGACAACUCGUAAGUUCAAUUAGGAAGUGCAAACCCUUAUCCUGUAAUAGAUUUCUUCUGCAAAUAUGGAGUAGGAGGGACAAUAUACGAAGUUGCAAUUUGCUGGGAAUGUGUUGAAGCUUCAUUGGAGGAAUACCUAAGAAAAGAACUUCGAUUUGCAAUUUGCUGGGAAUGUGUUGAAGCUUCAUGAGAGGAAAAGGCAAGGAAACAACUCCGACCUGCUCUUGUGGCAGUAAAACCAAUUUGAAGACUUCAUGGACUGAUAGGAACCCAGCAAGGAGAUAUGUUGAAUGUGCUAAUGGCAAGGUAAGUGUGUGAAGAUAUAGGAAAUUCGUUAAAUUAGGUUAAUGUUUAAUUGUUUAGACAUUUAUCGGCUAAAAAGAAUUUGGAUAAUUUUUUUGUAGGUUGAUGGCUGUGGUUAUUGGAAUUGGUAUGAUGAAGAAAUGUGUGAGCGUUUGAAACAAGUCAUACCCGGUCUUUUAAGAAGAAUAAAUAGGGUGGAAACCGAGAAUGAAACUUUGCGGCAACAAAUUCUCAAGUUGCAAAAGAAAACUGAGAAAAUGGAGGAUAAAGUAAAAAAUUUGAAGGAGAAGCUUGGAAGAAAGAAUGUGAAAAAAUGGUCAUUGUUCUUUUUGUUAUAGCCUGGACAAUUGUUAAUGCAUCAAUGUGGAUUUGGGGGCCUAACAAGGGACAGAAGUUUGGAAGGCUGCAAAUUGAUGGCUACUAGAGUAUUGUUGUACUCCAAAUCCUAAAUCAGUGUUGUCAAAUGUUUUAAUACACAGCUCGUUUUUGUUGAGGUUGUAGUGUUUUUAUAUACCUCGCAAUUUUGGUUGGUGUUGUUUACACCAUGGAUGUUUGAAAUUAUAAUUUAUGAAUAAAAGACUGAAGUAUUAGUUCCAACAUAUGGGUGGUGCAAAAGAAAAGUAACUCACAAAUGUAGAAAACAUAAAGCCAAAUACAACAAAAGAGAUAAUUAUCACUAUCAUUCCAAACAGCUGCUUUACAAAAGAGAUAAUUGUCACAAAUGCAGAAAACAUAAAGCCAAAUACAACAAAAGAGAUAAUUAUCACUAUCAUUCCAAACAGCUGCUUUACAAAAGAGAUAAUUGUCACUGUCAUUCCAAACAACUGCCAACAAAGUUAGCCAUGUUUCACAUAUAAAUAAUCUGGAAUUGUCCUAGACAUAGAAUACAUCCAAACAAAAGCUAUGCAAACAAGUCCUUUAAUCUGAUCUUCCACUUCUACUUCUACUGCUCCUUGAUGUUCCAGCCCAUCUACCAAUCUUGAAUGGAGGCUCUUUGCCCAAGUACUCAUAGUUGGUGUUGAUCCUUAUCUUGUCAAUUUCAGACAGCUUUCUCUUUGAAUGGAGAGACUGUUUGUUGGCCGCUGUAGUAGACUGGUCGGUAUCAUUGACAGGCCUAACUCUCCUCACCUGUACACAAGUACAAUAAAUAUUAACAAUAGCUAUUUACCAUAGUAAAAUUAAAAAUAAAAUUAGAAAUAAAUUUUUGCACCUACAGGUGUCUUAGUCUUUCUAAUCUGCUGCUUUUUCGUACUACUAGUGGCAGCUUGUGCAUUACGUUCAGCAUGUGAACCAGUGUCAUUAUGGGAAGUAGUUUGCUCUUCAGCUCCAUGUGGCUGAGAAUUGACACAACUUGAAGAAUAUCCUUGAACUUCCACAUGAGCAAAAUCAGGCUCCUGAGAAUUAGCUCCAUGUGUUGUGCUUGAGCCAUUGUUGGUGCCUUUUGACUUUCUAGCAUGUUUAGGAGCUGGAGCAGGUUGACUGCAGCCUUCACCUCCAUUAUUUUCUGGAACACUUUUGCAGGUAGCAGCAUUGUGGCCUGCCUGACCACAUCUUCUACAGUGCAUGAUCACAUGCUUUCUUAAUUUUUGCACAUUAUUCGUUCCCACAUGAACACCACUUCUAUUUUCAGAACUAUCUUUUCUUCUUGCUUUCUUGGGCCUACCAGGUUGGACACAUGCAAGUGGAGGAUCUAAUAUGGGAAUAUCACUCUGAGGCCAUAGAGACUUUCCACUAAUUGGAUAUAGUACAUUCUCAUAUAUUUGAAAGAAUAGAUCUCUACUAUAACACUGAUCGGCAUAGUCAUUUGGGUUCCUACCAAUUUUUAAAAUGGCAGAAAUUGCAUGGCAGCAGGGGAGCCCACUAAUUUGCCACAACCUGCAUGUACAGGUUCUGUCUCUUAAGUACACAGCAAAUUGUUCCCCCUUAGGUCCCCUAACCUGAUAUCCCCCUUCCCAUUUGAUAUUGCUUCCACUUUCUAGAAAACUUUUCCCUCUCCUCAAUCAAAGCCUUUAUUGCUGGUCCCACAGGACCACUACAUUUUCUCAUCCAAUACACCCUAUUUGAUAUCCUUUCCAUUAUGAAUUGUCUAAUCCACUCAACCAUCCCAAUCACUGGCAACUCUCUAGCAUUUAAUAUAUGAGAAUUAAAUGUCUCUGAUAAAUUAUUAACCAGCAUGUCAGAUUUCAUGUGAAGUGGAAAAAAAGCCUUACACCAGUGAUGAGGUGGUGCAGCUCUCUUGACCCACGCGUGAGCUUGCUGGUCAUAUGCUCUAAGCUCUUCCAACGCUGCCUCAUAGAACUCCACUGUUGAUGCUCUGCAAUGCUCCAGAAUUUUUCUUUAAGCACUUCACCAGGGUGCUUUUUCUUGAAAUUUCUGUACAUAUGCUGUACACAAUAUCUAUGGCCAGCUUCUGGUAAUAACUCCAGCAGUGCACUAUCAAGACCCUAUAAAAGAGUUCUAAGUUUAGUCACUUGCAAAAAUUAUCCUAUACAAUACAUGCUAUAAGGAUAAAGAACAGUACUCCUAACCUUCUGUUGGUCUGAAAUAAAAGUGUAUUCACUGCUAGUUGCUGGUAUUUCUAGAUCACCAAUCAGUAAACUCAAAAACCAAAGCCAUUGUUCCCGAGCCUCCUUCUCAACAACUGCCCAAGCUAAUGGCCACCAACCAUUAUUUGGAUCUGCCCCAAUAGCAGUCAACAACUGCCCUGGAUAUGCCCCCUUAGUGUGACAGCCAUCAAGAGCAAUAAGGGGCCUACAUCCCUCUCUAAAUCCCUUUUUCAUGGUCCCAACAGCAGUAAAAUCUCAUGAAUCUGGGAUUACUUUCAGGAUCAGCUCUUGGUGAAUACUUGAUGUCUAUAGUGGUGUCAGGGUGAGUUUUUUGUAGUUCUGCUGCGUACCUCCCAACAUCAAUAUACUGCUGAGAUGCUGACCCUUUGAUAGCAGCCUUAGCCAUUGCAAGUGCUUUGUAACCUUUGUUUCUUGUGAUCUCGCAACUAUAUUGCUCAUCUAUACUCUGUAACAAUUGCCUAACAGGCAUGUUCAUGUUGGAUCUAACAGACUCUUCAAACUUGUCGGCUACCCAAUUGGAUGUCAUGUUUUUGUUUCUCCAAGCAUGGCUGCAAUUGGUGUGGACAUCGUAAAUUGUUUUAACUACAAAGUCUUCAGUACCCAAAGCAGGAACGUGGCUAGCAUAAAUGUACCACUUACACGGAUCUGCACAUUUAGCUCUCAUUCUUGUUUUGUCACUUGUAUACAUGUAUACAGGUCUUCCACUUAUAAUUGCAUAAUUUCUGAGAGCAUCUCUGAACUUUUUUUGGUUCCAAAUUUUUGCCCAACAUGAAAAUGGGGAUCUGUUCCAUCUCUGCUAGCAUUGAAACUAGUGUAUCUCACAGGAACAUCUUCAUCUUCUGAAUCUGGAUCACUAUUUAAUUCCCCUUCCACAAUAUCAUCCAAUAGUGGGUUGUGUUCCGCUCUAUUUUCACAUGCUUCAGCUUCAGUUUCAGGACCAGCUUCUGUUUCAGCUUCAGUUGCUGCACCUUCUCUAUUUUCACAUGCUUCAGCUUCAGUUGCUGCCCCAGUUUCUGUUACAGGUUCAGUUGCUGCACCUUCAUUUGUUGCACCUUCACCUACUGCACCUCCAUUUGAUGCACCUUGACCUGCUGCACCUCCAUUUGAUGCACCUUCAGUUGCAUACCAUUAUUUGAUACACCUCCUUUUCUAACUCUUUUUGUAGCACCACAAAGGGCCUCCGACGUACGAGAUUUUCUCCUAUCUCUGUUUCUUCUAUUCCUGGAACUGUCAUUGUCCCUCCUAUUCUGACUUGAUGGAGUUGGGUCAUUAUCAACUUGGCUAUGCAUUUGUGGCUCGGACUCCUGUGUAUUGUUGUUGGCCUGCUUCACAUCUCCUAGAAGAAUUUUGGUAUGCAUCUUCAUCUUCACCAGCAUGGUCAUGUGUCCACUCUAAAGCUGCAACUGAUCUACUAGCUUGGACUCCUUUUCGUUGUCUAUGAGGUAUUGCUGCCUGUUGUGUAAGAAUUUCACCAUCAUCCAAGAUCUCCUCUAUUACCACUGAACUCUUUGUCUGUGAUAACUGUUCCAAUUCCUUUUUCUUCUGCAACUCAUAUAUUUCCUCAACUGUUAAAUGAUGACAGUAUACUUCCAUCAACUUGUACUCAUUAACCCAACCACAGAAUUGCAUAAUGUCUUCAUCCGUUUGAAGUUCCAUCAGUCCAUGGUUCAAAUCCCCUCUAGGGUCAAUGUAAUAAUAUAACAUAGUAUCGUUGUGCCCACACUUUUCCACCAUUUUAUUUAUUUCAUGAAUCGACAUAAAAUCAGCAUGGCAAAGAUCGAAAUAAUCAAUCUCUCCACCCACAUAACUCUUGUAUUUCUCUCCCUCAAUUUUACCGCCGUGGUGGAGUUUAAUCGAAAAUGCAGGUCUAUCAGGAACUGCAACAACAACAACAAAGGCAAACAACAUGAUUCUUGUUAAUCACCAUUUUUUAUUGUCAUACAUGCUGUUCUUCUUAUAAAAAUACUUAACCCCCAUUUGUUAAUUAACCCGAAUCAGACAACUGCAUUUUGAAAAGUUUAUUUUUUAUGAUUAAAUUACAAGAUAGAGGGUUCUUGUAGGACCCUUUGCAACCCACUUAUACGACAAAAAGGAAGUCAAUCGUUCUUAUGUCAUUUUCUAAACAACCGGAUCACUUCAGCAAACCCUAAACCCAAUAAAAACUCUCACUAAAUACUUCUUUAUACUCAAAACACAAACAACACCAUUAAUCAAGCAAAAUGUGUACGGAUUGUAAUAUUUCUUACCGUAUAAUGUGUACGGAUCAAUGAAUUCAUCCCUUUGCCUUUUCACCCAUUUCGCUGUCAUCGAUGACCGAUUCUUCACUGCUAAUCUUCGUCUUUUGCCGGUUCUUUGAGUCUUGUCACUGAUUACUGUGAGAAGAAUGGAUCAAUUUUGAUACUUUCACUGUCAUUGUCCACAUUUCCAAAAAUUUUACCAGCAUUCCAAAGCCCCACAGUUAAACCUUUCACUUACCAGAUGAAACUCUUCCCACUAAGGCUGUACAGACGAAUUUGCCCCUCAAAAAGUUGAUUUCCGUUUCUCCUAACGGCACAAAUACACGGAGUGACCAAAACGGUACAGAUUUACUAGUUCAGUGACAUUUCGCGCUAAUAAAAAAGUUUAGUGACCAGAACCAGCACUUUGAAAUAGUUUAGUGACAUUUCGCGCAAUUUGCUCAAUAUUAUUUGACAAUGCUAAUCCUAAAAAAUGAUCACGUGCAAGACACGUGGUGGAUUCUAGCCAAAAUUUGAUGUAUGUGAAAUACAAAAAUAGUUAAGAAUAUAAAAAAGUGAAUGAAAAAUAUAUUUAUAAUACCAACAAAACAAUAUUUGAAAUAAUAUGUGUAUUCAAAAUGUUCUAACCAAACAUAUUUAUAUACUUCUUAAUUAAAAGAAUCAUACUCUUUAUAUCUCAAAAUUUAUUCCUCUAUAUCUCGUGAGAAGAUACACAAACAAACAUACACAACGUGCAUAAACCAAUUUUAAAAGAAUUAUCUAAAUAGGGGUUUAAUGCUCCAUGUUUCAAAAGCUUGUUUGCCUAAUAAAAUAAUUCAUCCAUGAAAACAAUAUCAUUGAUUAGAUCACUAAAUCAAGCGCUCUUUGAUAUGGUGGAUAAACCAUCACAUAUAUUUCUAAUGGAAUGUGAUAAUAUCUCAAUAAUUACAAAUGCUAGUUAAUCUUCGCAAAAUUUAGAAUUUUCAAAAAUAUUCUAUAACCUUUCUUAUUGUUACUAAUUACUAUUCAAUUUUGCAAACACAUUUGAUAGAAGCUCUCAAGCGUUACACUCUUUUUCGACAAAUAACUAUUAACAUGUAUUCAAAUUUGAGAUUUUGGGCAUUACAAUUUUCUCUAAAUCGUCUUGUUUAUCUUUAAAUGAUGCAAUUAUGCAUUUAAAGAUAACACGUAUCUAUACUACUCGACAUUUAAAGAUGACACAAUCAUGCAUUUAGAGAUAACAUGUAUCUACACUACUUAACCUUUUCUACUAAAAUAGCGUACGUUACAUUUCAAUAUAUAUUGUCGUUAAUGAUUCAAAAUAAUUUAAUGUACGUUAGAUUUCAAUGUGUAUUGCCUUUUAUGAUUCAAAUAAUUUAAUGUACGGUACACUUCGAUUUAUAUUAUCUUUUACGAUUCAAAACAACCUAAUAUACGUUACAUUUCAAUUUAUAUUGUCUUUUGGAAAACUCAUUCAAAACGUUUCUCACAUUUUGUAAAAUAAUUUUUUUCCAUGUUUCACUUUUAAAAGUAUAAUUUUACGUCCCUUACAAAUUCAUAUUAGUCAAAUUUGGUUCCUAUUCAUGUUUUCAACUAGUUUUUUGUUGGAAUUUACCACUUGCCUUGCAUGUGAUAAUUUUUUAACGGCAAAAUUAUCAAAUAAUAUUUCACAUAAUCCAAUCCAUGGUUCUUCACAUUUUACAAAAUGAAUUUUUUUGUCCCUCACAACUCACAUUUCACAAAAUGAAUUUUUUUGUCGCUCAUUAAUCAUGUGUAUGAAUAGCUAUUUUUUAACCUAGGUACAUGUUUAUUUGAUUUCAUUUGAAUAGUACAAAUAGUAUGUAAUAUAUCCCUAUUUGAUUUCACCUACAACUAUAAUUAAUUGUAGGUGAAAUCAAAUAGAAAUAUAUUAUAUGCUAUUCAUACUAUUCAAGUGAAAUCAAAUAAACAUGUACAUGAAUUUUCAAAAAAAGAAAAGCUAUUCAUAUACAUGAUUAACAAGGGAUGAAAAAAUUUAUUUUGUAAAAUAUGAGGGAUAAAAAAAUUUAUGUUGUAAAAUAUGAGACACUAUGGAUAGGAUUAUGUGAAAUAUUAUUUGACAAAUUUGACCCUAAAAUAUGAUCACGUGCAAGACACGUAGUAGAUUCUACCAAAAAUUAGUUGAAAACUUAGAUAGGAAUCAAAUUUGACCAAUGUGAAUUUGUAAGAGAAGUAAAAUUAUAAUUUUCAAAGUAAGGGACGAAUAAGUUAUUUUAUAAAAUGUGAGAAAUGUUUUGAACAAUUUUUCCUUGCCUUUUCCUAUUGAAAAUAAUCUAAUUUAAAUUACAUUUCAAUCCAUAUUGCCUUUUCCCAUAAAAAAAUAACAUGUCUUUGUAUAUAUUUCCAAUCUUUAUCGUGUUUUUCUAUUUAAAAUAAUGCUUAACCACCUUGCAUCAUAAAAUUUGUCUUGUUAUAUAAUUAAUAAAAAAAUUAUAUUUUUACUUGCAAUGUAAAUAUAUACACCACAUCAUAAAAUAUGCUACAUUUUUAUUUCACAAUUUUUUUCCAACAUUGAGUGUGUUUGGAUAGAGUUUUAUUCAAAUUGUAUUACAAACAUAAUUUUUAAUCACUUUUCUAUCUCAUAUAUAUAUAUCAUAUCACAAAACGUGUUUAGUGUUAUUCUAAAGGGAAAAUCGUCCGAAACGUCCCUCAUAUUUUAUAAAAUGACUUUUUUCAUCCCUCACUUUUAAAAGUGUAAUUUUAUGUCCCUUACAUAUUCAUAUUGGUCAAAUUUAGUCCCUAACUAGGGGCCUGUUUGGAACCUGAGUUUUUUGGGAGUUUGUCUAAAACUUUACUAUAGUGCACUGUAGAAGUUUUUCAAAAAAUUUUGUAAAAGUUUUUUAUAAGGUGAAAAUUUUUUUUGUAAGGGAAAAACUUUUUUUCCUUUUCUUUUUUUUCUCUUUCUCUUUUUUUUUUUUCUUUUUCUUUCCUUUUUCUUUCUUCUUCUUCCCCGUUACCUCUGCCUCCCAGCAGCAACGCAGCCUGCUCCACCCCCUACUCCGCCACCGGCCCCACCUCUAGCACCUCCGGCCACGAUGUUCCUGAUUUCGCACCCCAACAGCUGCUGCUCCACCGUGUGCCUCUCCACACUGUCCGUCCCCAUUCCGUCCUCCAGCACAUUGAAUAGCGCCGAGUAGUAAUGCAGCGCCUCCACGAACCGCCGCAAGAAGCUUCCCCCGUGGCUCAGGUCCUGCUGGUUGCUGGCGCGUCGAGACAGUUCAUGGCCACGCACUCGGCGCAUUGCAGGAGGAGGCCCAGGAGACAGAGGCCGGAGGACUUGGUGUCGCCAGCUGCUGCUCCACCAAGGAGGCGGUUGCGGCGGCGGCUUCGAGCUCAGCAACAUCGUCGUCCUAGUUGUCUAAGUCGAUGGUUCUAUCAGCGGAGGUGGAAGGGUUGUCGGGGCCGAGGGAGGAGUUGCGGCGUUUGAGAAGGAGAGGUCUUCGUGGUGGGCAGAGGAGGAGCGCUUGGACUGCAUAGAGGAGGAGGAGUUGGAGGAGGGACGAGCGUUUCUGCUGGGGGGAAGGAGAAUGGGAAUGGGAACGGAAUUAAUGGGGUUGGAAGCAGAAGUAGCAGUGGAAUUGGAGUGGAGCAAACUCUGGAGCAUGAUAGAUGGAUAGAUUGAAUUGGAAGCGGUAAUUGAACUGGAGUCUAGCCCGGAGAGGUGGUGGUGGGUUGGGAUGGGAGAGGAAGAAGAAAAAAAAUGGAAGGAAAUUUUUUUUUUUUUUUUUGUGUUUUGUAUAUUUUGAAGUGGGUAGGUAAAAAAUUUAGAGAAGUUUUUUGGGGUUCCUGUAGCAAAAGUUGUUAAAAAACUAGUAGGUAAAAAACUUGCUUAAAAACCUGACUUCCAAACAGGCCCUAGGUUUCCGAUCAUUUUUUGGCCGGAAUCCAUCACGUGCAGGGCAUGUAAUCAUUUUUAAGGGUAAAUUUGUCAAAUUAUAUUUUUCAUAAUCUAAUCUAUAGUCCUCCACAUUUUAUAAAACAAAUUUUUUCGUCCCUCACAUUUUAUAAAAUGAUUUUUUCAUCCCUCACAUUUUACAAAAUGAAUUUCUCAAUCCCUCAUAUUUCAAAAAAUGAAUAUUUCCAUCCCUCACUAAUUAUGAGUGUGAGGGAAACCCUAAAAAAUAUAUAUAUAUAUGUGUGUGUGUGUGUGUGUGUGUGUGUGUGAAUACAUUUUGUUUAAACACAUGUAUAUGUCUAUUUGAUUUUACUUAAUAAUAUGAAUAGCAUAAAUAUAUGUAUGUGUCUAUUUGAUUUCACUUAACAAUACGAAUAUCAUAUAUUAUAUGCGAUCAUUUGAUUUCAUCUGGUAUUAUCUAGUAAAAAAUCUUGCAUUCAUUGUCAAGUUGGCCAAUAAAGCUAUUUUCGGUCAAAAUACAAUAAGAAUAUGCAAAUUAAAAUUCUAUUGGUAAAUAUUAGUCAUAAUCAUACAAAAAAGAGAAGAUAGCCCACAAGUCGGGGCCAAUUACAUACAUGUGUUUAUGCUAUUAUUAUUAAGUAAAAUCAAAUAGACAUAUACAUGUGUUUAAAAAAAAUGUAUUUACACAUAAUUAGUGAGAAAUGAAAAAUUCAUUUUUUGAAAUGCGAGGGAUGGAGAAAUUCAUUUUGUGAAAUGUGAGGGAUGAAAAAAAUUAUUUUAUAAAAUGUGAAGGACGAAAAAAUUUAUUUUAUAAAAUAUGGAGGACUAUAGAUCAGAUUAUGUAAUAUAUAAUUUGACAAAUUUACCCUUAAAAAAUGAUCACGUGCCUUACACAUGAUGGAUUCCAGCCAAAAAAAGAUCGAAAACUUAGUUAGGGAUUAAAUUUGACUGAUGUAAAUAUAUAAGAGACAUAAAAUUAUACUUUUAAAAAUGAGAGACGAAAAAAAUUAUUUUAUAAAAUAUAAGGGACGUUUUGGACGAUUUUCCCUUUACAUAUUUCUCAAUUCGAAAAACCAUACUCAUAUCUCAAAAUUUGCUCCUCCAUGUCUCAUGAGAAGAUGCACAAACCAACACACACUACACUCCGCACAACGCGCACAAACUAAUUUAAAGAAAAAAUUAUCUAAAUCUGCGUUUAGUACUUCAUGCUUCAAAAGCUAGCGUGUGUCUCAAGUCCGACAUAAGCCACUGAGCCUCUCCGCACACACUCACACAGUCUCUCUCUUUCUCUCCCACAUUCCACAGUCCCAACAGUGGAGAGAGAAAUGAUGAGAUGAGAUGAGAUGAGAUGAGACAGAUUAGAGAUACAGACACUGCCAUUACUGACGUCUACGGUUUCCUCUUCUUCCAACUAGCUCACAGCCAAAAAGCAACGAACACAACAAAGUGAAGCAUACCUCCGUUUCUCCCUUUUGUCCCCAUUCUCGCCUCCGUACUCAUCCUCAAAGUGUCCGUUUUCUUCUUCCAUAGCUUCAUCCUCUGUCUCUCAUACUUGUAUAUAAUUCUCCUUGUAAAUCCCAGUCUAUGUUGUUCACAUUUUGAGAUAUCUUCUUGUAAAUCCCAGUACUUCUUUUCUCAUUUUACAUAAUUUAGUUGCAUAUUUCGAGUAUGUAAUGGAGUAUUUUAGUUUUGUUGUUGUUGCUGUUGGUAGGUUCUUUUGUACGACUGCCCAUUAUUCUAGAAGUCCCCUGUUUUUUUUUUGUUUAUUUUUUUUCGCUUGCUACAAUUUGUAAAACAAUGACCUUUUUGAAAUUUGAGUUUACCAUUCAGGCCAAUCUUGGGCUAUUAGAAAAUUGAGUUUUUUUUUCCUUUAAUUUAUUAUAUUGAUAUAAUGGGAUGAAUUUGACAGAGGAAAGAAAGAAAAUAAAAGGGUUUAUGAAAUGAAGACAUGCUUUAUUUUUUGGUUGUUUGUUAGAUUAGUUCUGAAAGUAGGAAGAUGCAGGGGUUUCUAAGGAAACAAGAACGAUGCAGAAUUUUCUUGAAGUUUAAAUACUCUUUAAAGAUUCUAGACUCAGAGUUGUUGCUCUUUGCUUCUUUUUUUUUUCAGUUUUUUUGAAAUGUAAUGGGGGAUUUUCUGGGUUUUUAGCUUUCCUUUUUUUUUUUUGGUUCUGUGUUUAAGAGGAUAUACUGAAUUGUUCAUUUUGCAGCUGUUUUGGGUAAUUGAGAUCAGCAGUCAAAGAAAUGGAUGGAAAUCAUCAAAUGGAGGUGCAUUACAUGAAUACUUUUGGCUAUCCUUAUAAUGCUUCAGACAGUUUUGUGGACUUUUUUGGAGGUCUUCCACAAGCCCCUUUACCUUAUGUUCACCCUCCUCCACCAAUGCCUCAUGAUCAUCAGGUAAUCUUUUCCUUUCCUUUUUUUUCAGGGCCCAAAUUUUUUGCAAUUUCUGUUUGCAAUUUCCUUUCCUUUCCUUUUUGGGGGCACUGCAAUUUCCUUUCCUUUUUUUGCAAUUUUUUCCUUUCUUCUUUUUUUCAGGGCCCAACUGUAAUUUCAUGAAAUAGUGAUGCGCAGUGCUUAAGAAUAAUAACUAAAUGUUGUUCUGCUCUAAAACAGAAAAGAAUGUUGUUUUCCUAGUUUAGGUUGUCCUAUCAGAUCUUUUAUGAAAGCUAUAUACAUAUCAAUGCUCAUAAUCGUUUCCUUAGUGGUGGGAUUCUGAGGAUAUACUAUUCACUAUUACAGUGUCCAUAUAUUUCUGCUUGUUAGUUGGAUAUCAUUACCUGAAUUGCUUGAAAGAUGUAAAGCUGUUAAACUAUGAUGCUGCUCUGCUUCAAUGUUUUUAUGGUCAAGCUAAUGAAUGCUCAGCUCUAGUGUAACAAGUGGGAUACGUGUUUGCUGUCUCAUUGUUACAUUUCAUUUCUUUUCUUAUAAAAAAUUUGACCUACGUUUGUUCCGUACUUGUUCAUUACAAUGAGAUAUAUGUAGCUAUCUGCAGUUUGUUAGUGCAAAUGUGUCAGGAUGCCAUUGACUCCAAAGUAUAAAUUUUGAGAGGAAAGAGUCUUGGUUUCACUUUUAUAUGGUUUUUUCAUAUGAGAAAGGGGCAAUUGAUGCAAAAUAAAUUGUCAAUUUGUAUACUGCACUUGCACGAUUGAUUGUAUUACUUUUUGAAAAUUUUACUGUUUAUUGUCUUUGCUUAAACACUGCCGAGCAUUUGAGAUGGAUGGGAAUGUGUAAGUUUCCUUUGUGAUGGUGAAUGUGUUUCAUUGGUGUUUUAUUUGCAGGAAUCUGCAUAUUGGUCAAUGAAUAUGAAUUCUUACAGAUUUGGGUUAUCUGGCCCAGAAAAUGCCUCCCUAUUAUAGCCCUUACAUUGUAAAUGAUGACUUUAUGAGGAUGGACUACAACCGGAGACCAUGGGAUUAUCCUUCUGUUAUGAAUAUACAAGAACCGCCAGUUGUAGAAAUGCCUUCGGAAGAGAUCCAAGCCCCCAGUAUGGAGGCAAACCCAACGCCCAGUAUGGAGGCCAUCCCAGAAGAAUGUGAGUUCCAGAUUUUGUUCUGUUGUUUGGCCCUUACAGUUUAAACAAAUGAAAACGGGGAAAAUAUCAUGUUGACUUUCUACGUUUCUUGGUCUUAAGGGUGUUACUUCCUUUGUUGAGGUAGAUCUCUUUUCAGUUUCAUUACAAGUUUUUGUUGCUUGGUAAUGCAAUUCUGACCUUAUCUUCGAUGAGUUGUUCAUACUUAGCAUUCUCAUUUUCUAUCCUUUGCACAGCUCAAACCUCUGCAGACAACAUUAAUCAGCAAGAUUCUGGUGGUACUCAGGUAUGUAAAUCGAUUAUAUACUUCUUUAUCUCUUCAUAAUUCUCAGCUUAUCACUUACGAAUAGGAAAUAUAUAUUUUGCUUGGCUGUGAGGAAGAUACUGAUUUGUACUUUCUUUUUCCUACACUGUUGCAGGCUGUUUGGGAAGAUAAUAUUGAUCCUGACAACAUGACUUAUGAGGUACAAAUGUUUGAAGUUUUUGCAUUUUGUAAACUUAUAUUCUUUAUGUGCUACAAUGACCUGUGUUCUUAUUAGAACCUAUAAUGGUUGAAAUUCAAUCAGCAAGUAUGAGGCUUCUCUUAUGCCCUGUUCAGUGGAUAAGACUGUUAUUAGACUGUUUUAGUGCGAAAUGCUGCAUCAAAAAGAUUUUUGGCUGGUGAUUGCCAUGAACUUUGGUGAAUGUUUAUGCAAACUUCAUUUCUCGAAGUCACAUUAUUGGAAAAUCAAUUAAAAGAACAAAAUCUUCUCUCCAGAGUUCAACCAGUUGACCAGUUUUCGUAACCAAAGAAAGACGUGCUUGACGUGAAUAUCAAUCUUCUUUUAUGUAUUCUGCCAUGUGGGUUUUAAGUCCCAAACUCUUAAACUAAAUUCACAAGGAAUAAAAGAAAGGACUUCUUCAUUGUGCUUCUCUAACUGUUGCCGUUCUGGUAACUGACUCCAUAAUUCCAAGUUCUAUUCAUGGCUUUUUGCUGACUAUGUUGUUGAACAUCCAAAAUGGUCUUCAUUUUCAUUUCUCUAGCUUCUGGCACUAGAAUAGCAAAAUAAGAGUUCAGUAUUUGGUGUAGCUGCAUUAGCAACAGCAGGGUGAGUAAAUUUUACAAGUGUAUGAUUACACAAAAUGAGGAAUUUGCUAUAUUUAUUCCCUUUAGACAGAUUAAGUAAAACACCUGAUAUCUCGUCUCGGUGUACAGAUUCUUACAAGCAAAUGUUAAGAAUGACUAGACAAACUGUUUGGAGAUGAAAUCUAAUUAUGAUAUUAUUUUUAGGAAUUACUUGAGUUGGGCGAAGCAGUGGGGACUGAAAACGGGGACUUUCACAAGAACUUAUUGAUUUACUUCCGACCUCAAAGUACAAAUCUGGGGAAUUUUCUCCAAAAAAAGAUCUACUGAGAGGUAUAUUCUUACUAAGAUGUAUUUCACGUUGAAUGUGCCACUGUGCUUUCUUCUUGCUGGUGAGCCACAGCUGUUAGCCUCUAUCCUUUCUGACACUCUGCCUUUCUCUCUAUCUGUACCUGUUUACAUUGGUUACUUUUGUCACAUAUCAUUCAAAUGUGGUCAAAAAUCACUCUAUCCACAAGAAAUUAUGUUUAGCUGUGAAAUAAACAUUUGAGAAGUUCUUUGUAAGAUUCGUAUGGUACCCAGUCUAGUGCAUACAAUAACCCUUGGAAAGAGCAGUUCUGCUUGCUGCAGUAAUGUAGCCUCCACCUAAGCAUUCUCAACUGCAUUAGGCAGAAGCCCUGCGGAUCAGGUUUCCCUGUUGUUAUGCCUUGCCUAUGCAGGGUGAUCAAUUAUGAUACCCAUUAUGUGCUCACCAGCUGAUCACUGACAAAGCAAUGGCUUGUGAAAAUGAUAAGUAACACUAGUUGAUAUUAAUGCAGUUCCAUGAUUGUUUUCAAGAAUGCAUUUCAAGAUUUGAGCAAAUAAAUCAAGAAUGGGUUUCUUGACCCCAACAAGGAAAUCAGUUACCUAACCUUAUCUACUCUUUGGAAAAUAUACAGAGUCCCCAGUAUCACAAAUACCUGAUAAUGUAUGAUACUGCUGCAUUCAAUGUGAUACCAGAAUCCAGCAUUUCUGCUUCAUUUCCUUUGUAAACGGUAGCAGGUGCCUCGGUAUUUUUUUGUUAGUUUCUAGCUGAGGCUACCGAGCCUGUGUCACUCUUUUACUUGUGUUUUCUGUAAGACUAAGUACCUGCUAGGAAAGAGUAAUAGAGAUCUAUUAUGGGGCUGCCCUUUCUUUUAUAUCUAAAUGUGUUGGCCCUUGUCAAGUUCUGAAAGAAGAAAGAAAACAUAAAGAAUAGUGAAAGAUCAUGAAUGAACAAAAUUAGAAGGUUUCUAUCAUUCUCUGCUCCUCUCUCUCUCUCUCUCUCUGUCACACACACACACACCCACACACACACAUCUAGGUCAGGUUCACUCAUUUUGGUUGCUGCUUCAAUUUUUUUCUAAUAAUUUAAUUGGUGUCAUUUUUUUUUUUAAAAUUUUUGCGACCCAGAUGUCAUCUGCCAAAUGAGGUACAAAAGAGGGGACAAUAAAUUUGCCAUGCAAACAUGUAUACCAUGCUCAUUGUGAUCGAAAUGGCUCAGAAUUAACAAGGUAUGGUAAAUAUUUUUGAGCAGAGUUCGCCUUAAAGUCUGAUAUUUGUUUGCUAAUACAUGUAUGUAUCUUGUUGGUUUUGCCAGACAUGCCCAAUAUGCAACACUGAAGUAUCAAGUGAAGAAUCCAACCAAUGAAGAUUUCAAAUAUCAAAUGGCAAAAUAGAUUAACAGCUGCAAUAGUUUUCCCUUUUUAACAUACAUAGAGCUAGUUUAUUUUUGACCUUGUUGUUAUAGUUGGGUUUAGAUGUAAUGUAGAAGUUUAUAGUAGCCUUUUGUACAAGGAAGCAAUGGAACAGGAAGCUUGAAGGAUAUAGGUCCUUGAAUGCUUAUUGAUGAUUAGCUCCAUGCUCUCUUCAACAGUUUUAUUGAUUAGCUUGAUAGCUUCAGGGGAAAUAUAUUUCUUGCUGCCGGAAGCUAAUGGAAAAAGUUGAUCGAUUUGCUUCAUUUCUUCCAAAUAUGUACAUUGAAAUCACAGAUACCGCUUAGAACUGAAUACAGGGUAGGUGACUAUUAGUCAGAAGUCGUUUUUAUCAGUGUCCAUUUGCAGCCUCCCCCCGCCCCCCCCCCCCCCCAAAAAAAAACAAAAAAAAACCAAAAAAGAUACGUAUACGUAGUAGUUGCUCCUGAUGUUAUCAAUAAUUUUGAGCUGUAGCCUGGGGACAGCCUAAUUGGAUAAAGACUUAAUUCUGUAGAAAUUUCCUCCAAUGAAGGCAAUUUGGGGAUAGUGUUUUGAAAAUUGGAUUAAUAGAUCGGUUCAACCAGUUGAAUUGCAAAGAGGUCAUGGUGUUGGUUUGGUUUCAUUUAAAACUUGAACAAGACAAAAAGAAAUUUUGUUUCUUGGAAGAAACCAAAAAAAUUGGUCAAAGAAUGGUUGAAUGGUAAAAAUCAGUAAAAUGUGGACUUCUGAACUUGUUUGUUAGUAAAAUUUCUCCUUUUUCUUGAAUUUUUAAUCGGAAUUUUUAUUUCUUAUAUACAUGAAAAAAAGUUGAACUUUUAACUUGAAUGGUUGAACUGUGAACAAAAAAUUACUCAUCCAGGUUUAAAAACGUUGCCGUGAAAAUGAGAAGUUCAUUUUGAAAAGGCCUAUACAGAAAUUUUCAAAUAGCUAAAGGUGUAAAAUCAUGGAGGAGGGUUAGUUUACUAUUUUCUUAGGCACAAGAUCAUUGUUUAUCCGUUAAUCAUGAUAAUCAAAAUAGAGUAUUCUUUUCAUGCACGUAUGACAAAAGCAUAUGAAGUUCAGGAAUAUAGUAAAAUGAUGCAUGAGAAAUUCCUUGUGAGAUGCUAAAAGGGACUUCAAAUGGGAAAGAAAAAAGCUUCAAAAAAAUUGGGAUGGUUGAAUCGGAAUUUCAUUGCAGACAUGAAACAACUCGCUCCUUUUCUUUUCUCUUUUUACAAUUACAAAUAGUAAGUCUUGAAUCUAAUUUGUAUAUUAAAAAAAAUUAUCAUAUAUAACACAAAAGCCUCUCCAUUUGUCUCUCUAUUUACCAUAUAUAACACAAAAGAUUACCAUCGAUUCCUUCUAGUCGAGCCUCUCGAUUUGUCAUUAUUCCUGAGACGUAGAAAUAAUUAAAGUCCUCAUCCCACCUAAAAUUCGAGAAAUUUGUUGAGAGUUGGAAUAAAUUUGUAAAUCGGGUUGACUAAUCCAUUUUAAAUGUAAAAUAUUUCUACCAAGUUAAAAUUGACUCACAGUAGGAUUGGGUUAAUUGUGAAAACUAGUGGGAGCCCAAUUAAUGCAUUCAGGGGUAAUUCUGAGCACUUUCAUACACUCAAGCGAACAUUUUCACAAAACAAUCUUUUCAAGUGUAAAUGUAGAAAAUAACUGGGGUCUAAAAAUAAAAAACAAAAAUGGUAACAAACUCAUUAUGGGUACCAUGGGCCAGGAUCACCUGCGAGCAAUCCACGUUCAGUCAUGACGUAGUCUGCUUUUGGAAUACCCAGACCCAAAACAUCCCACACCCAAAUUUACACAUGCUAGUUUUGGGCGGGCCUCUUCUUGCCAGGCUUCGAUGGGAGGUGCUCUAUGGAGGUCCAAAAUGUAAGACAUAAAAAUUCGUCAGAAAACAUACCAAAAUCAAGUAAAAUUUUAUCCCAUUUUGUGCAAUUAUUAUGGGUCCGUUUGGAUUAGCUGUUUUUGGGGUUGUUUUUCAAAAACAAUACUGUAGCAUUUCGUUUUUGAAAUACAAGUCCGUUUGGAUUAGUUGUUUUUGGGGUUGUUUUUCAAAAACUAUAUGAAAAACUUUUACUGUAGAUGUUUUUUGAAUUAUUUUUAGAGGUAUUUUUAAAACAUAUUUUUGAGUAUUUUAUAAUUUAUAAUUUAUAUAUUUUUAUAUUUAUAUACAUUUAUGCAUUUAUAAUACAUUUAUAAAUAUUUAUAAAUAAAUAUAUUUAUAUAUUUAUAUAAAAAUAUAUCAAUAUAUUAUAAAUGUAUUAUAUUAUACAUAAUACAUAAUAUAAAUAUAUUUAUAAAUGUAUAUUAUUAUAAAUGUAUAAAUUAUAAAUGAAUAUUAUAUAAAUGUAAAAAUUAUAAAUUUUAUAUUUUAUAUAAAUAUAUAUUUAUGCAUUUAUAAUACAUUUAUAAAUAUUUAUAAAUAAAUAUAUUUAUAUAUUUAUAUAAAAAUAUAUAAAUGUAUUAUAUUAUAUGUAAUACAUAAUAUAAAUAUAUUUAGAAAUGUAUAAGUGUAUAUUAUUAUAAAUAUAUAAAUUAUAAAUGAAUAUUAUAUAAAUGUAUAAAUUAACAUAUCAUAAAUAUAUAUUAAUAUUAUGUAUAAAUGUAUUAAUAUAAUUAAUAUAAAUAUAUAAAUGUAUUAAUAUUAUGUAUAAAUGUAAAAUUAAUACUAUGUAUAUUAAUAUAAAUGUAUCAAAAUACAUAAUAUAAAUGUAAAUUAUAAAUAUACAUAAAUAUAUAUAUUAUGUAUAAAUGUACAUUUAUAUAAAUGUAUAAUCUAUAUAAUAUAUAUUAUAUUAUAUUAUAUAUAAUUUUAUAAUAUAUAUUUUUUGUAUAAAUAUAUAAAAAUAUAUAUUAAAUAAAUAAAUUAUAUAUAUUAUGAAUAAAUAAAUUAUAUAUAAUAUGAAUAAAUAAAUAUAUAAAUACAUUAUUUAUAAAUAUUUAAUAUAUAUAAUAUACAUUAAUAUUAAUUAUAAAUAUUUGAAUAUUAAUAAAUAUGGUGUUUAUAUAAUAUUUCAAUUUGUAAUAUUUAUUGUAUAUUUCAUUAUAUAAAUAUUUAUAUAAUAUAUAAAUAUAUAAUAUAAAAUUUUGCAAUUUGUAUAAUAUACAUAAUAUUGUAUAUAUAUAAUAUACAUAAUAUACAUUUAUACAUUAUUACAUAUUAUGUAUAUUAUAUAUUAUACAUAACUUUAUUAUACAUUAUUAUACACAAUAAUGUACAUAAUAAUGAAAGUACAUUAAUAAUGUAUAUAUUAUAAUAUAAUGUACAAAAUAUAUUAUGUAUAAAUAUUUAUACAUUUAUGUAUACAAUAUUACAUACUAUGUAUAUUAUAUUAUAUUAUGUAUAAUAUUAAAGUAUGUAAAUAUUUAUAUAAUAUAUAAUAUAUAACAUAUAUAACAUAUAAAUAUAUAAUUUUCAAUUUGUAUAUUUCAAUUUACAUAUUCAAUUUACAUAUUUCAAUUUAUAUAUUUCAAUUUAUAUUAUAUUAUUAUAAAUUGAAAUAUACAUAUUAAAUUUGUAUAUUUGGAGUUGUUUUUGAUAUAAUGUUUGGAUAUGGGUGUUUUUGGAAUUGUUUUUGAAAUACACAUUUACUGUAGCAUUUGGAAUGUGAAAAACAGUUUUUCAAAAACAGGUGCAAAAACAAGGAAUCCAAACGAACUAUGUUUUUUGGGGUACGAUUAUGUUACGUUAUUAUAUUUAAGAACAAUUUUGUUAUAUAAAUAAAAUAUUUCACACAUAUAUUUAGUUCAACAAUUAACGAGGUUGUACGUCAAAAACUGUAACAUGUAUAGUAAUUGGAUAGAAAAUAACAGUAGUUACCUGUACUCUCUUUGAAAGUUACCAUGCAUAAAUCUCAAAUAUCAUUAAGAGACAACACAAAUUUUGUUCAAUAUUACAUGAAGGGAGUAUAAGAUUGCUGUGUAUGAAUUAGUAGUUAAACUAACUCUUUUGAAUUUAAAUAAAGUACAUAUUUUGCAAUAUCUUGCUUCAAAGCUGGAAAGUCAGCCCAUGGCUAUUCUUUGGCUUCUUCGCUAGAAGAACUUUUUUUGUCUUGGUCCCAAUUCAAUACUAAACAAGUCCGAACUAAUUGAAUACUUGUAUCAGAAAUUUCUCAUAUUGGUUUGCCGUUUCCAUAAAGGAUAUAAUUGACAACCUGAAGUCGAAUAUUGUCUCGUUCCUGCAACAAUGGGGGGGGGGGGGAGGGAAGUAUUGCUAAAUUUAGACAGUCUCUUUUCUCAUAUGUAAUUACAGGACGAAUCAAAACAAAAUACCCCUUUUUGCUAGGUGUAAUCCGGUGGACCCUUGAGGGCAAAUCGCCAAUUUAAUCCCUAAACAAUUUCACUUAAAUCAAUUUCGUUCUUUAUGAUUAUUUUUCACCAAUUUGGUUUUCAAAUAAUUUUAUCAGAUUUAAUGUAGAACUUAUUGGACGAUGCCACCACAUUUUAUAUAUUUCAUAUGGCGGGGCAAGGGUAUAAUUGGAAUGACAAGUUCGACUGUCUAAUUAUAGGGAUUAUAACGCGAGACUUUUAGAUGAUUAAAAACAAAAACCUCUGAAAAUUAAGAGAGAAGAGCACUAAAGAGAAACCCGACCAAGGUAAUAUUUUGGAUCCUUAUGGAGCAGCAGAGCAGAGUCGUGGCCGAAAAUGGUUCCCCAGAUGUCUACUGUAUCAAAUGUAUUUGGUUCCAGGGCCUUUGAGAGAUUCAGGUACGAUCUGACGCUACGAUCUGACGCUUUUAGAAGCAGCAUCCAGAAGCGACAACUUGGGCAACGCUUUUGCUGGGCUGGUCAAGGAGGCCACCGCCUUACUGCUCAACUCCGAUGCCCGGAAGGGUGAUUCCUACUCCGCUCGGGAAAUCAAUACUUUGGUGAUCUAGUCGCGAUGCCAAUCAAGCUUGUAACCACUUUCAUUUUCUAGUUCUCUGGUUUUGAUCCUGAAUUUUUGUGAUCCAUGGUGGCAGCACCACUACCACCGUCACCAGAAUUUCCGCCACCUGAACCACUAUUCCCACUACCUCCCCCGCCGGAGCCACCAUCAGAUACAGCAAAGAGGCGAAAAUGAUCAGAACCCAGUUGUCUAAAACCAAUUUUAGAGUGACCCAAUUCUUUAUACACAGGAGUCGAGGUUAAAGAAAUUGAGUGAUAGCAGCUUCUAAAGCUGAAGCCCCUACUGCUUAUAGAAGUGGAGAAAGGUGGAAUUUUGGGGGCCCUCCUGAAAUGUGAAGUGGGUUUGGGAGAAAACUGUACAAAACGAUACAGCAAGGGAGAUUUGCGAACUAGUUUGGUUGGGCUUGAAGCCAUUGUUGCUUGAGUUUGGAUUGGAGUUUUGCAGAGGCUAAUGGUUUUAGAAACAGGAUAGCCGGAGGAAAUCUCUCCAAAUUGCCUCUCUAAAUUUGGGAAAUCUCAAUUUUAAGAGGAUUUUGUCUUUAAUCAUCUAAAAGUCUCGCUUAUAAUCCCUAUAAUUAGACAGUCGAACUUGUCAUUCCAAUUAUACCCUUAUCUUGCCAUGUGAAAUACAUAAAAUGUGGUUGCCCUGCCCAAUAAGUCCUAUAUUGAAUUUAGUCCUACAUUGAAUUUGAUAAAAUUGUUUGAGGAUUAAAUUGGUGAAAAAAAUCAUAAAGGAUGAAAUUGAUUUAAGUAAAAAUAUUUAGGGAUUAAAUUGACGAUUUGCCCAUUCUUUGGAACUUUUACAACUUUCUUCAUCAUGUUAUUCUAUAUUUAGUAUAGUGUGUGUGCACUCGUAUAAGGUGGAGCAGGAGAAUAAUUAAUCAAGGCAAACUGGGGGGUUAAUGAAGGAUCUUUCUUGGUGGAGGAGGGCCCGUUGGCUGCAGCGGCAGCGGCGGCGGCGGACUGAAAAAUGAAAGUGGUACUGGUGGUGGUGGUGCGCAGAAGAUACCGAGGAGAGGUAUGUACGCCCAAACACAAGCAUUGGCAGUCAUAGACAGCAUGGAGAAGAGUGCAAAUAGCAGAUAAAACAGCAAUGCCCUGUGGCUUGCCAUAGCUCGAAAUUAGUGAAGGAAAUCCAUAGACUAUGUUCUACCAACAAUUACAGAUGCUGCUAAACUUUAGUUCAGCUUGAGGAAUGAGGACUGCUCUUCAGAUUUUAUAGACAUGUUUGGUGAAGAAGUUGAUCGAAUUUGUACAUUAGACUCUUAAAUUAGCCGUGUUGUGUUAGGCAAGUACUAAACUAUGCACCAAACAUAUUUGAAAAUUGGGACUUAAAGAGUUAAGAAAGCUGCAAAUAAAGUCUUGAUUUUCUGGUAAAAAGCCUGGCCUCAGCUAUGAAGUACCUGAAUGUAUGUAAAGAUUUAAUAUGAUCAUUGAGCAUUUGUUGAUGUAUUGCUGUCCCACGAAUUAAAUCUCUCCCAAAUGCAAUCUUCUUGAAGAAUUAUUCACUAAUGAAAUUCUUGUGUGCACAGGAAAAAACUAUUUAUUUAAUUUUGAAAUUUGACAAUAUCAUCCAAUUCUCAAAAAAAAAAAAAUAAAAUCUUGAGUCUUACUUGUUCAUCUAUUUCCAUUUGUCCAGCAAAUUCUGGUAGUCUGGUUAAAUUUGUAAAUGAUUUUCUUGCCCUUCUUCUAACCUCACUCCUUUUUUAAAAUGUGGAAGGAGCUAGCUAUAAUUGUCAUCAACCUUAGCGGCUGCUUUUGAAAUUAUCCCAAUAUUAAUUAUUAUUUUGCUGACCAGAGUGUAAUAUGGUUUUCUAUCGGAUACAUUUCUUUUCUAAAACAACCGAAUGUAAACCAAACUCCAACCAAAUUACCCUAUAAUCUACCGAUGAAUACCCUAAAACUACAACUGCAAAAUUUUCUUCUUGAAGAUCAAAUGAAACCCUUUAUUUUAAUCAUCCAAGGAAAAAAAACCACAUUGUUUUUUAAAAUUAUAAAUUCAAAUUUUUAUGCUCAUGUGAGGUAAAAAGCCGAAGAAGAAGCUACUCCCCAUUGUCAACUCACGAAUGUUUGCUUGCUUCGAUAUCCCGUUAUAACUUCACUUUCCAUGCAUCAAAAUAUCGAAUAGGGACUUUUUUUUUUUUCUAUUUCUAAUAGUUUACAUACACAGACCAAGAUUGGACCAACAUAUGUCUAGUUACCUCCUUAAAUAUCAAUAAUUCUGCCCAUUAACAUAUUUCUUACUUUCCUUAAAUUAAACUCGAACCUAACUUAAGCAAUUUGUUCACUUUUCUUUGUCACCUGCAGGGAUGGGGAGAGCUUUCAAGUUUUUAUAGCCAUGUUACCUGAAAAUUCAUUUCGAUGGUUGUUUAACUUUGCUAUUAGAUAUAUGGCAAUACAAGCCGUCCUGCACUUGCAAGUUCGUGCCGAACAUUUGACAAUUGGGAAGCAAAAAUAUUUCCAAAAGAAUGGUUCAUAAGGUCUAGCCUAAACUGUGAUAUGAAUAUGUCCAAAGAUUUUAAUAUGAUCAUUGACUAUGUGUUGAAAAAAUUGCUGGUCGACGGAUUAAUUCUGGCUAUUAUUAUAAUUGUAGAAGUAUACAUUAUUUCUCCCUUUUUGCUGGAACAAAAGGCACUUUGCCAUCCAGACUACUUUCAGAAUUCCACCCAACAGUGGCGGAGUCAGGAUUUUUUUCUUGGGGGGGCCAAAAUUUUUUCGAACAAAAUUACCUUAAUAUGUUAUGUUCAAAAUAAUUUUUAUUUUAUUUAAAUAUAUGAUAUCUUAAAAUAUCAAAUAUUAACUUUAAUUAUAAAGGUAUGUCUUUUAUAAAUAUGUAACAUAGUCAUAACUAAAAUUAAGACAAAAAAUAACCUUUGAUUAAAUAUCUUAUAACAUCACAAACCACCUAAGUUGCACAUUAUGAGAAGAUGCUCCAAUAUGUCACUUGUGCAAAAAUAAAAAUAUAAUUAUCAAUAUAAAUAUAACUAUUUUCAAUUAAAAAAAGAUAAAAGUUAUGUUAGCAUACAUUGAAAUUUCAUCCUUUUUUAUUAAAAGUAAAUUGAGAUUUACGUUCUUUUAUAGAAUCGAGGACACUAAAGACUCAUCAUGCUUUUUAUAUAGUAAUAGAUUUAUCCCAUGUAAGUUCAAAUAGCAAGUGUCGUCAUUAAAGUAGAAAAUAGGAAAUUAACAUGCUAACCACAAAUUGAACAAUUGGUUCAAGAUACAACUGCAUCACCUUUAUAGUAAAAUUAUUUGGGCCAGCCCUUGAGCCUCGAUUAUAUUAUGUCCAGAACCCGGGAACCUCGUGAUUACUGCAAAACUCAAAUACUGCACAUGUUGUACCCUGUGAUUACUCCACAAGACGUUAAACAGCUAAACCAAAAAAAAAGUUCACGAAAUAUAUAUAGAACCAAACUUGCACUCAUGUGCUCUUCCAAGCUAAAGCUGAACAAAAGUCCACGAAAUAUCAAACCAAACUUGCUCGUCAUAUGCCCUUCCAGGUUGACAAAGGUGGAGUUUCAGAACUUUGCCAAGUGCUGAUUUCAGGCCCGUAUCUCUCACCCUUGACUCCAGCCGAAGUAAUAGAUUCGAGUUCUGCCAUUUCCUCUGCGGACAGUUUUACAGACAAAGCUCCUAUAUUCUGAUCGAGGUUCUCAAUCUUGGUAGUGCCAGGUAUGGGGCAAACAUCAUUGCCUUGGUGAUGGACCCAGGCUAUAUAUAGGGGGUUUUCCGGCGGCUUGGGGGGGGCUUAAGCCCCCACCAGCCCCCCUUAAAUCCGUGGCUGCCACCCAACUCAGUAUUUUUUUUUUUUUCAACUAACGAACUCAAUACUUUUCCGAUUGACAUAAAAUGUUAAACCUGAGGUUCAAUUUGCCAUCUAUGUCCAUUUUUGCGGCAAACUGUAGUAGUCCGGUUGUGUGAUUUGAUCUAACGAAAAUGUAUUUCCAGCUGCUAGAAGCUAAUGGAAAAAGUUAAUCGGAUUGUUGUAUUUUCUCUAAAUACAUAGUGAAACUAUAUGUACAUGUGGCUUAGAACUGGAUACAACAUCAUAUACCGUAGAGGUCAGUAUUAGCUAUAAGUAGUUUUUUGUGAGUCUAUCUAUUUGCUUUUUCUUAGAAAUGAAGUGGGAUAAAGGUCGUCAGCUAGGUGUUAGCCCAAACGUAGACCAAUAGUGCAUUAGUUGCUGAUCUGUGUUUGGAUAAAGUAUUAUUUGAAAUAUUAUUUGGAAUAAUUACUGUAGUACUUUUUGUGACGUAAUGUAUGUAAGAUAAAAAGGUAGUUGGUAAUAUAAAAAGAUGAAUUGGAAAAUGUGUUUAUGAUGCAAGUAAAAUAUUAUGUGAAAUAAUUCAGCAAUCCAAACACAUUAAUUAAUAUUAUGAUUUUCUGAGUAAAAAGUUUUCAUCAGGUUAUACACUGGAAGUCUAUACACUGGUUGGUUGAUAAUGAUUCACUGAUUAUAAACUUUUUAAUAGUCCAAAUAUUAUAACCAAACACUGGGAAUUCUGGAAAUUAUUUUGGAGAAAUUAUUUUCAGUCAGAACAAAUUUGGAACUGUUAGAAAUUAGUCGUCAGAAAUUACGUCUUAUGAAGAUGGGAAAUUCUGCUAUUGGAUGGCCUUCGUCAGAAUUUUCAAGAGUUGAAAGUGUAAGAUCUUGUAGGUAGGUCUAUUUAUAAUUAUCGUAUAUCUACCAGUAGAUGUAUUUUGGAAGCUUUCUAAUACUCUGAGAGCAAUCUAUGUGUCAUCUACAAAAAGUUUAUGAAUCAUUAUAUAUUUUUUUAGUAAAUUUGAUUCAUGUUAGCUACAGCCACGGAUUUAAGGGGGGCUGGUGGGGGCUUAAGCCCCCCCAAGCCGCCGGAAAACCCCUAUAUAUAGCCUGGGUCCAUCACCAAGGCAAUGAUGUUUGCCCCAUACCUGGCACUACCAAGAUUGAGAACCUCGAUCAGAAUAUAGGAGCUUUGUCUGUAAAACUGUCCGCAGAGGAAAUGGCAGAACUCGAAUCUAUUACUUCGGCUGGAGUCAAGGGUGAGAGAUACGGGCCUGAAAUCAGCACUUGGCAAAGUUCUGAAACUCCACCUUUGUCAACCUGGAAGGGCAUAUGACGAGCAACAGCCACGGAUUUAAGGGGGGCUGGUGGGGGCUUAAGCCCCCCCAAGCCGCCGGAAAACCCCCUAUAUAUAGCCUGGGUCCAUCACCAAGGCAAUGAUGUUUGCCCCAUACCUGGCACUACCAAGAUUGAGAACCUCGAUCAGAAUAUAGGAGCUUUGUCUGUAAAACUGUCCGCAGAGGAAAUGGCAGAACUCGAAUCUAUUACUUCGGCUGGAGUCAAGGGUGAGAGAUACGGGCCUGAAAUCAGCACUUGGCAAAGUUCUGAAACUCCACCUUUGUCAACCUGGAAGGGCAUAUGACGAGCAAGUUUGGUUUGAUAUUUCGUGGACUUUUGUUCAGCUUUAGCUUGGAAGAGCACAUGAGUGCAAGUUUGGUUCUAUAUAUAUUUCGUGAACUUUUUUUUUGGUUUAGCUGUUUAACGUCUUGUGGAGUAAUCACAGGGUACAACAUGUGCAGUAUUUGAGUUUUACAGUAAUCACGAGGUUCCCGGGUUCUGGACAUAAUAUAAUCGAGGGCUCAAGGGCUGGCCCAAAUAAUUUUACUAUAAAGGUGAUGCAGUUGUAUCUUGAACCAAUUGUUCAAUUUGUGGUUAGCAUGUUAAUUUCCUAUUUUCUACUUUAAUGACGACACUUGCUAUUUGAACUUACAUGGGAUAAAUCUAUUACUAUAUAAAAAGCAUGAUGAGUCUUUAGUGUCCUCGAUUCUAUAAAAGAACGUAAAUCUCAAUUUACUUUUAAUAAAAAAGGAUGAAAUUUCAAUGUAUGCUAACAUAACUUUUAUCUUUUUUUAAUUGAAAAUAGUUAUAUUUAUAUUGAUAAUUAUAUUUUUAUUUUUGCACAAGUGACAUAUUGGAGCAUCUUCUCAUAAUGUGCAACUUAGGUGGUUUGUGAUGUUAUAAAAUAUUUAAUCAAAGGUUAUUUUUUGUCUUAAUUUUAGUUAUGACUAUGUUACAUAUUUAUAAAAUAGACAUACCUUUAUAAUUAAAGUUAAUAUUUGAUAUUUUAAGAUAUCAUAUAUUUAAAAAUAAAAAAAUUAUUUUGAACAUAACAUAUUAAGGUAAUUUUGUUCGAAAAUUUUUGGCUCCCCCAAGAAAAAAAUCCUGACUCCGCCACUGGUUAGCUAAUACUUGUGUUUCCAAAGAACAAAGGGUAUAAUCAUACGUUUUUCUAAGUUAUAGAGAGGUAGCACGUACAUUCCCUUCAGUGGCAGGGCCUUGUUAUAGAGAGGUAGCACGUACAUUCCCUUCAGUGGCAGAGCCAAGGCCCUUGGCUUAGGGGAUUCAAUUUUCGACUUCACUUCAAUUAUGAUCAUAGUAAAUCUCAAUCAAAAGACAUUUAUGUUAAACUUACUUUUUUUUUCCGUUAUGUCAGUUACUUUGACGUCUAGGUUGUGUUAUAAUGUAUUGAUAGUUUAGAAUCAUCCAAAGUGCUUGUUCUUAGAUUUACGUAAAAAAUUAAACUUAAUUAGAUCUAACACUCCUAUGAAUUAAGAAUUAAGAAUUUUUGGGGCCAUAAGAAUUAAGAAUUUUUAAUUUAUUAAGGGAGGCCGAUGUAAAUAAGAAAGAGACAUUAACAAAUAUUAGAGGGGACAAUAUUGUUAGACUUGUGUGGGCCAGCCCAUUUGUGGGCCAACCCAAAACACAAGUCACUAAGACUUGAGGGUUUCAUGUGACAGUACAUAUUGAAGCAGCCGCAAGAAAGUACUUCACAUUUUUUUGAGUGAAAGAAUUACAACCGCCACUUUAGAGAUAAACGAAGAGAGAGAAGGAGUUAGAAAGAGAGAAACUUCAAGAUCUUGAUUGGAGGGUGAUUCGGAAUCCGAUUGAGAUGAAAUUUUACUCAUGGGAUCCUCUCGUUAGCUCUACUCAGCUACCAGUUCAGAUUUCAGAUUUCCUUUUCGUUUGGUAAUAUCUUUCCAAACCCACUUCUUUAACAGUUGUAAUUUUUGGGGGUGAUUUUGUAGCAAAUUGGCUUGGUUGGUAUUGGUGAUAUUGUUGUCACUAGAAUACUUCGGGUAGAUCUGUGUAUCCCAUUAUUGUGAUAGUGGAGAUUUUUGACUGGACUAGAUUCCGUGAUUUUUUUUUUCAAUUUGGGUUUUUUACGUAAAAAUUUUGGUGUCCUAUGCUUUUUAUUUUUCUUACAUUUUAUUAUCACUGCUAGUAUUAUUAAUUGGUAAUAUUCCUAUUUUAACUGGUACUUGGAAAAAGAGAAAUUUGUCCUGAACUAACUCUGAUAUCGUGUGCCUGUACCAGUACCCCUUUCCCAACAAGUGGUAUCAGAGUAGUUAGGUUGGGUUGCUCAGUUGUACUAGUUAAAAAUAGAUGAUUCAGAUAGUGGUUGCAGGAUAAAAUUAAAUGCUACUAAUUAUUCGAUUUGGAAACCUAGAAUGGAAGACUACUGUAUUGUAGAGAUUUGUUUGAACCUGUUCUAGGGGAUAAAGGUAGACCAAGUGAUAUGAGUGAUGAAAAAUGGGCUGUUAUGCAUAGGAAAACUGUUGGUAAUAUUAAAAAAUGGAUUGGUCAAAAUAUUUCUCAAUAUUUUGCUAAUGACACCAGAGCUGAUGUAUUAUGGAAAAAACUUGAAAGUAUGUAUGAACGGAAAAUCGAUUUGAACAAGGCUAGUUAUCUGAAACAGAUUACUCGGAUGAGAUAUAAAGAUGGAGAAAAUAUGACUGAACACCUGAGUAAUUUUCAGGGAUUGAUAAACCAGGCAACUACGUUAAAUUUGUAUUUGGAUGAUGAAGUACAUACUUUAUUAUUAUUCAGUUCACUACCGAAUAGUUGGGAAACCAUGGUGAUCUCCGUCAGCAAUUCAACUCCCAAUGGUGUGUUGACCAUGGUUAUUGCAAAAGAGGCCAUAAUGAAUGAAGAGUUCAGGAGGAAGGAACAAGAAAUUGUCUAUGAGUCCCAGACCCUGGUGACAGAAAAGAAAGAAAGAAGAGGGAGAAGCAAAAUUAAAGAACCCCAUAACAGGAAUGACAAAUCCAGAGACAGGUCUGAGUCGUGAAAAAAUAUUGCAUGCUAUUAUUGUAAAAAGAAUGGACAUUAUAUGAAGGAAUGCAGAAUUUUAAAACGGGAUUAGACUGAGAGAAAGGGUAAGGGGAAGGAAAAAGAUGAUGAGAACACUACAGCAGUUGUGGCAGCUCAUUAUGACAUGUUUGUGUUCUGUGAUGAUGGUCAAGUGAAUAUCAUUUAUUAUGACAGUGAUUGGGUAGUUCCAUUUUACUCCUCACAGACAUUUUUUCUCAACCUACACCGAAAGAGAUUUUGGAUAUGUUAGGAUGAGAAAUGAGAUCUCAUGCAAAGUUAUUGGCACGGGAGACAUAUACUUGGACAUAGAUACCAGGUGCCAGCUGAUAUUGAGAAAUGUUCGACAUGUUCCUGAUAUUUGACUUAAUCUUAUUUCUACAGAAAAAUUUGACGAUGAGGGUUACUAUAGUUUGCAAGGUGGAGGCAAAUGGAAACUCAUCAAAGGAAAUCUCGUUGUUGCCAGAGGAAAGAAACAUAGUACCCUCUACGUGAUGCAAACCAAGUUGAGGAAGGAAGAAAUGAAUGCAGUUCGUGAUUUCUCAAUUGACCUUUGGCAUAGGCAACUUGGACAUAUGGGUGAAAAGGGGAUUCAGACACUUGUUCGCAAACAGUUCCUACCUGAAGUUAGAGGUAAUGCACUUAAACCCUGUGUUGACUGCAUUUAUAGGAAACAAUACAGAGUUGCAUUUCAAAAUUUUUCUCCAUCUCAAAAUUGAAUCUGUUAGAAUUGGUGCACACUGAUGUUUACUAUAUGAAAGAUAAGUCUCUUGGUGAUGCUGUCUAUUUUAUAACUUUUAUUGAUGACUUUGUUAGAAAUGUUUGGUGUUUUGUUUUGAAAUCUAAAUAUCAGAUUUUGGAUAUGUUUAAAGAUUUUUACAGCAAAAUUGAAAGAAAAACUGGUAAGCAAUUAAAGUGUAUACGUGCUAAUAAUGGUGGUGAGUACAGAGAACAAUUUGAAAUCUAUUCAAGUCCCGUGGGAUCAGAUUGGAGAAAAUUGUGCCAAAAACUCCUCAAGAGAAUGGAGUAGCAGAGAGGAUGAAUAGAUCCAUCACUGAACGGGUCAGAUGUAUGCUCUCUAAUGCUAAAUUGCCAAAAUCCUUUUAGGGUGCGGCAAUGAGGAUUGCAGUCAAUUUGAUUAAUCUUUUUCCAUCAGUUCCUCUAGAUGGUGACAUCCCAAAGAGAGUAUGGACGGGAAAAGAUAUAUCCUUUAAGUACCUGAGAGUUUUUGAUUGCCGGACAUUUGUUCAUAUUCUCAAAGAUGAGAGGUCAAAACUUGAUGUGAAAUCAAAGAAGUGUAUUUUUUUGGGUCAUGAACAUGAAGAUUUCAGUUAUAGGUUGUAUGAUCCUAUUGAUAAGAAGGUGAUCAGGAGCAGAGAUAUUAUCUUCUUUGAAGACAUUGAUAAAAGUGACAAUCCAAAAUGUUCAGAUGACAUUCCUGUUGGUUCAAAUUCAGAUCCAGAUCCAGUUUCAAUACCUAUUGAUUUUAAUUAAGAGGGAGUUGAGAUAAAGCAGAGAGAGAAUAUUGAUGAUAGCAAUAAUCCUACUACUGAUGAACCUGAACACGAGACGCCACCUACUCCACCACUGCCACCACAGGAUGAGUUUAGGAGAUCUAUCAGAGAGAGGAGACCUUCUAGCAGAUAUAAUCCUUAUGAAUAUGUGUUAUUGAUAGAUGGAAGAGAGCCAGAGUCCUACUAUGAGGCUCUAGAGCAUGAGAAUAAAGAAGAUUGGUUGCGAGUCAUGCAAGAGGAGAUGGUGUUCCUGCAUGAAAAUCACACUUAUGAGCUAAUGAAACUGCCUAAGGGCAAGAGAGUUCUAAAGAAUAACUGGGUCUACAGGUUGAAAACUCAUGAGCACAGUUCACAACCAAAGUACAAAGCGAGAUUGGUUGUGAAGGGAUUUAGUCAAAAGAAGGAUAUAGAUUUUGAAGAAAUCUUCUCUCCUGUGGUAAAAAUGUCAUCAAUUCGAGUUGUUCUUGAUGUUGCAGUUAGUUUGAAUUUAGACAUCGAACAACUUGAUGUGAAAACAGCCUUCUUGCAUGGUGACUUAGAAGAGGAGAUUUACAUGGAGCAACCGAAAGGAUUCAAAAAAAGUGGUAAGAAAAAUCUUAUAUGCCGUCUCAAGAAGAGUUUGUAUGGGUUGAAACAGGCACCGAGACAGUGGUAUAAGAAAUUUGACUUCUUUAUGACAGAGCAUGGGUAUCACAAGACUACAUCUGAUCACUGUGUUUAUGUGAAAAAUUUUUCAGAUGGUGAUUUUGUUAUUCUCUUGCUAUAUGUUGAUGACAUGUUGAUUGUUGAUCGUGAUACUAUAAAAAUUGACAGGUUGAAAAAGAAGUUAAGUAAAUCUUUUGUAAUGAAGGAUUUGGGUCUGGCUAGAUAGAUACUGGGAUGCAAAUCUCACGUGAUAGGCAAAAUGAGAAGCUCUGAUUGUUUCAAGAAAAAUACAUUGAGAAAGUACUCAACAAGUUUAACAUGAGCAAGACUAAGGAAGUCUCAACUCCACUUGCAGGUCACUUUAAACUGAAUAUCAAGCAGUGUCCUACAAGUGAGAAAGAUAAAAAAGACAUGAAGAAGGUUUCUUAUGCUUCGCUGUUGGUAGCUUGAUGUAUGCUAUGAUUUGCACAAGACUAGAUAUUACUCAUGCAGUUGGAAUAGUCAGUCGGUAUCUUUCUAAUCCUAGUAAGAAGCAUUGGAAUGCGGUCAAAUGGAUCUUCAGGUAUCUCAAGGGAACUUUCAGAUUGUGUCUAUUUUUCGGCAAUAGUAAAACUAUGCUAGAUAGAUACACUGAUGCAGAUAUGACAGGUAUUCUUGACAAUAGGAAGUCUAUAACUGGGUACUUGAUGAUUUUUGUAGAGAGAGCAGUGUCAUGGCAAAGUAAGUUACAGAAGUGUAUUGCUCUUUCUAGUACGGAAGCAGAGUAUAUUGCAACCACUGAAUCAUGCAAAGAGAGUCUUUGGUUGCAGAAAUUCCUUCAAAAAUUGGGUAUAAAACAAGAGAAGUAUAGUCUUUACUGUGACAAUUAGAGUGCUAUUCAUUUAUGUAAGAACUCUACAUUUCACUCUUGGUCCAAACACAUUGAUGUGAGAUAUCAUUGGAUUCGAGAAGUAUUGAAUUUCAAAUUAUUGACACUUGAAAAGAUACAUACAAAUGAUAAUGGUGCUGACAUGUUGACCAAGGCAUUGACUAAGGAGAAACUCUUAUUUUGCAGACAAGAAACAGGUUUGGUAGAGCCUUCCAAAUGAGCUGGAGGGGGAGAUUGUUGGACUUGUGUGUGCCAGCCCAAAACACAAGUCACUAAGACUUGAGGGCUUAAUGUGAUGGUACAUAUUGAAGCAGCCGCAAGAAAGUACUUCACCUUUUUUUGAGUGAAAGAAUUACAGCCACUACUUUAGAGAUAAACGAAGAGAGAGAAAGAGCUAGAGAGAGAGAAACUUCAAAAUCUUGAUUGAAGGGUGAUUCGAAACUCGAUUGAGACAAAAUUUUAUCCACGGGAUCCUCUCGUCAGGCUCUACUCAUUUACUAGUUCAGAUUUUGGAUUUCCUCUUCAUUUGGUAACACCUUUUCAAACCCACUUCUUUAACAGUUGUAAUUUUUUGGGGGUGAUUUUGUAGCAGAUUGGCUUGGUUGGUAUUGGUGUUAUUGUUGUCACUCGAAUACUUCGGAUAGACCUGUGUAUUUCUGUUAUUGUGAUAGUGGAGAUUUUUGACUGGAUUAGGUCCCGUAAUUUUUUUCAAUUUGGGUUUUUCACGUAAAAAUCUUGGUGUUCUGUGCCUUUUAUUUUUCUUACAUUUUAUUAUCACUACUGGUAUUAUUACUUGGUGAUUUGGUUUAUUCCUAUUUUAACUGAUACUUGGAGAAAAAGAAAUUUGUCUUGAGCUAAUUCUGAUAUCGUGUGCCUGUACCGAUACCCUUUUCCUAACAAAUAAGAAAGAGACAUUAACAAAUAUUAGAGGGGACAAUAUAGAUAAGAAGGAGAAUUCCAAAAGUAUUGGAGGGCAAAGUUGAUAAAAAUGAGAAUUUCAAAUAUUUAGAGGUGCAAAUAAAGGAGUAACCUAAAAUUUUCCAAAGUUUUAUGCCUAAAAUAAAAUUUUCACAAAGUUGGGAGGGGGGGGACAAUUGUCCACCAUCAACUUCAUUUGGCACUGCCCCUGGUUUCAUUUGGCAUCAAAUUUACUGUAUUUCACCCAAAAUAUCUUGAAAAUCUUUGGGACCAAACUGGAUGUUGCUAAUUAGCAUUGCAUGAACAAAUCUUUUUGAACAAUUUAUCUAGUCAUUUUUUUAAAGUGUAAAUAGGAGGGUUUGAAUUCAAUACCUCUCGUGUACACUCCUUCCCAUGUACUACCUAAUCCAUUCUUCUCCCUAUCUAAUCAUGUUGUAGAGUCACAAAACAGCAUAUACCCUUAACUAGGAUAGUUUUCAAAUUUCAACUACACCUUAACAUGCUCCUUAAUUUAAUUAUAUAUUAAUCUUCAUGAUAUUAGUACUUAGUUUGGGAGUUUAGGGUAAUGGUUGAUGUGUUUCGCAAGUAUACAUAGCCUAUCAUAGUAAUAAAGUCACCUGAAGUAUUCCAGGAGCUGAACUUACAGGGACGAGUUAACUUUCUCUACCUUAAUUAUUAUAAAAAAUAAUAAAAUUCAAUCCAUUAGCCUUAUACUUGAUUGAGAAAAUUCAUUUGCAUCCUACCAUCUUCUUUUCUUUUGUUAGUGGGACUAAGGUUAAUGUUUCAUUCUUCUGCAACAUUGACAAUCUCAUUUUGUACAGUUUUGGUCCAGUUUGGAUCCAUAAAAGUGGCAUGUACUCUAUUUAGAAUAUCAACUGAUGGCACAUUGUGUACAAAAGCCUUCAGAGAAUCAAAUAACCCGUCACUUGAUAUAUAAUUGACAGUACAAUAGCCAGUCCUCUUUAGCUACUAGAAUUAAAACAUCCGUACAUCGUUAUUUUUUCAGUUUAAUUGCAUGAUAAAUGGAGAUCCAUGAACUUGAAGACGCCUGACCUGGCCGAUGUAUAAGGUAAACAUCUUAAAUGUGUCCACCAAAUCCUAGAAAGUUUACGCUGAUUAUCUCACAUGCCCCAUUCCUCACUUCUUAGCUGGACCAUGUUACUACAUCACGCAAUGACAUAGACCACCCCAAGUAAUAUAAUAUUCAUCCACACUAGAGCUAAAAAAUAAAGCAAGUAAUUGAAUACGAAAUCUCGAAGCAACAAAUGUAGAAUCCCAUUUCGCAUCCAGACACAUUCAGCAAAAUCCCUCCAAAUUUUCUUGAUUUAUUGUCUCUGAAAAUUAUUAAAUGCAGGCUGUAUUUUUUUUUCUUUUUUGGAAAAUUAUCAAGUCAUAUACUAUCAUUUUCUUUUUUUUACAAUCAUAUUACAUAAUAGUCAUUUAUGUAUAGAAUAAUUAGGGGGAUGUCGACCGAAAAGGAUCAGAUUGAUGCACCAUUUGGUCAAUUAUAUAUAGUCCACUUCCUUGCAUUUACGCUCCGUGCCUAGGCAAACCAACCAUAAAUCCCAGAGGUCCAGAGAGGAGACCAUUCACAUUGGUCAUGGACAUGGAGCACGGUGCAGCUCGGGCAAUGGUGAAGUGUGCUGCUGUUGCUGGAGCAGAAGUUUGUCCAGCAGAAAUUAUGAUCGAUUUGUGUCCCAUAUAAUAAGACCAAGCAGCGGAUCAAAAGCACCAAUUUGGAGACAGUUGUGGACAAAGAUGAAGAAGGAGAAGAAAAGAACGUUCUACCGUUCGACUUCAACGAGGUUUGCUUAUGAUCCACACACUUAUUCUCAGAACUUCGAUCAGGGGUUGACUUGGGCUGAUCCUGAUGACAUCUCCAGAUCAUUUUCUGCUCGGUUUGCCGUUCCUUCAAGGAUCUUUGAUGACAAGAUGUAUAUAGAUGUUUGAAAAUUUGAAGGAGUGAAGGAGUCACUAAGGUUAAUGUUUCAUUCUUCUGCAACAUUGACAAUCUCAUUCUGUACAGUUUUGGUCCAGUUUGGAUCCAUGAAAGUGGCAUGUACUCUAUUUAGAAUAUCAACUGAUGGCACAUUGUGUACAAAAGCCUUCAGAGAAUCAAAUAACCCGUCACUUGAUAUAUAACUGACAGUGAAAUAUUUGGAUCGUUUUAUGUGAACUUCUAGAGUGUGCACAUUUAGUGGCUUGUCACGAUUAGAUCUAUCAGAUAUAUCUACCAAUUACAUUCAAAUUAGUAGUAGAUAAACAGGUGACAAAAGUACUUAGCUCAAGAAUAUUCUCAGAAGAAGUACAAUCAGGUACUAAAGACAGAGGGGUUUUAUCAGUCACAUCAGAUUCUUCAGAGAUCAUCUCAGCGGCAACUUCUUGAAGACCGUCAUGAGUAUUAUCAGCCCUAAGAAUAUUUUUAUCCUUAGUAAUUAGCAAAUCGGCGUUGUCACCAUUGGUCAUUGGCAGGUUGGCUAGCAAAUAGAUGACAACUGGAACUUCGAUGAUUAGCAUAUUGGCAGUCGGCAAAUCAGCAUCAGUCAUGUCAAUACAUGGCCAUGAAGGCUGUGCCAAUUCCUGCUAAUUCUACUCUUCCUUAUCAUUUAUCUCUCUCUGACGUGAAGAACUGGAUACCAAUGAUAAAAAUUAUGUUUUUGAUUCCAAGAAAGUAACAUCUAUUGUUUCAUACAUGUUGUUGGUGGCUGAAUCAUAGCACCGAUGACUUUUCUCGUGCAUAAUAUAGCCCAAGAAAAUAAAUCAAACAUCAUAAGAAUCCAAUUUGCUGUGUUGAUUCUUGUGCAGAUGCAUAAAGGUCACAUUCAAACACUCGUGCUGGAAUCAUUAGCACCAAUGGUAGAGUAAAAUAUUGAUAGAAACCCUGUAGUGAAAUUUAAAAGUUUAUGGCUUUCAAAGGCACUGUUCAGCAAGUGGAUGAUUGUUGUGGUGAUUGCAUUAGGCUGAUAUCGACAUGAAACAUUGUAUAGCAAGGCACGUGCAGUUUCUAAUAUAUACCCAUUUUCUUUCAAUCACUCCACUUUACUGUAGAGUAUGAGUACCAAAAGUUUCAUGUAUGAUACUAAUAGUAUUGCAGAAAUUCUAUAAUGGUCGAUUAUCAUAUUUACCAUCAUUAUUUGAUUGAAGAAUCUUGAUUGUAGUAAAAAAUUAUGUAUAAAGUAAUUGAACAAAAUGAAUUAAAAAUGUCCAGCACUUCAUUUUUAUGUUUCAAUAGAUACAAUCAAGUCAUCUGAGUACAAUCAUCUAUAAAGAUUAUAAACCAAUGAAUACCAGUAUAUAAAUUAAUCGAUGAAGGUUCCCGGAUAUCAGAAUGCACCAAAGCAAAAGGAGUAUUACACUUAUUAAGAUUGAUCAAAUAAGGGACUCUAUGACUCUAGUCUUGGCCAAAAUACAAGUUUCACUUUUCAUAUCUGUAACAUUAACACUAGCAAAUAAGUUAGGAAAUAGGUGUUUCAUAUACCCAAAGAAUGGAUGCCUCAAUCGCUGAUGCCAAAAUUGGAUCUUUCAAAGUUUAGCAUAUUGGUGCUUUUUUUUUUUUAUUUGCUCUGUUUGGACUAAAAUAAUCCAUGUAAUAUAAAUUUGCUCUCCUACUACCACGAUCGAUUAUCUUUUUGGUGACAAUAUCCUGAAGAAAACAAAAGAUUGGAUACAACAGCGCUACACAGUUGAGAUGAGCUAUUAUUCGACUAAAAGGCAGUAGCUUAUUUGAAAGAGAGGGCAUCAAUAAGGUGUUAAGUGGACAAAGAGAUGAAAAUAAAAUAACAGUUUCAGCCCCUGUAACUAAAUAUUGAAUGCCAUUGCCAUUAGAAAUCAGUGAUCGUCUCGAAAGAGUAAUAAAUGAAAAAUCAUUCAGAUCAUAGGUCAUGUGAUUAGCAGCACCUAAAUUGGCAAAUUAGUCAUUAUUAUUGUAGAUGAGAACCACAAUUACCUUGAUGCUGAUAAGCUGUUGAGGUAUCGGUCAAAGAAACAGAAGGCACCUGUGCAAUAUUAAGAGUUAUGAUUGAUGUAACUGAAUCAAUAACUUUUAUGGCCAGUCUUCCAUUUUGAUCAGCAACAUUCAAUUGGUCAGUCUAUCGAUUUUUGUCCUUUGCACUCCUUCUGUCAUCUUGGAUAUCAUGUAGUUUGAAACAAGUAUCAUGGAUAUGUGUUUAUUCCUACAAUAAGUGUAGCCAUCUUCUUCAGUCAGCACAUUGAUUUGAGCUAAUAUGAUUGGCCUACUUUUCGCUCCUUUAAAAGUCAUGAUAGAGCCGAUUGUGUUAUCUCUCCCUAUUAACAUUAUUGAUUGGCUACUAUUUUCAUGCUGAAUAUAGGUAUAUGCCUCUUUCAUUGUUGGAAAUGGUUUCAUUUGUAAUGUAUCACUACGAAUCUUAUUCAAUCGAUCAUUUAAUCCAUUAAGAAAAAUGUACACUCUCUUUUCCUGCAUGAGAGAGUUAUACCUGUCGACAUCGACAUCGAUAGCACACUUAAUUGGGCUUGACCAAUAGAAAUUCAUAUCUCUCCACAAACCUUGCAGGUCGUUAUAAUAUUUCUUAAUCGGCCCUCCAACUUAUCCCAUCCUGGUCACCUUCUGCUGUAAAUCAUACAGUUGGAAUGUAUCAGUUCCAUCAAAGUAUUUUGUAGCAACUGCAUCUCAUACCGCUUUUGCAUUAGGGAAAUGGAUGAAUUACCAAUCAAGAAUGGAUCCAUAUUAUUUAUUAGUCAGCUCUUCAUGAUUGAAUCAUCAGUCUGUCAUUGUCAUUAUGCAGGAUCAAUUGGUGAAGGUUAAGGAAUUUCUCUGUUAACAUAAUCCAAAUUGUCAUUACUCAAGAUAUCCAUCUCAAUAACUUAGGCCCACAAGGUAGAGUUGGUGUCAUCCAAGUUGAUGCCAAUAUUCGCGAUAAAUGAAUCACUGCUUGAUGUAGCCUUCUAGGUCUUGAUCCAAACUUUUGCCAAUUGUGCAAUGAAGUCUUCUAGCACAAAGGCAGUGAAAAUGUUUCACCAUUUCAGAUGAUUCUGUCAUGGUUCUUGGUUUAAGGUUAUAUCAGAGUAGCACUUGAAUAGAGACCCUAGAAUCCCUACCCUGAUACCAUAUUAAGAAGAAAAGAGUUUUGGGGGAAAAUUUUCUCUAUAUUUCUCUCACAAAUAUUACAAUAAUAUGAGGCUUAUAUAUAAGUUUACAACAAAAUAUGAUACAAUGAAUCUAUACAACUUCUAGAUAGUAUCUAUUCUAAUUAAAUCCCUAAUUGAAAUACAUCAAACACAAGAAGAUAUCAACAACUAACCACUGUCUAUCAACAACUAACAACUCACUUCAACAUGAAUUUAUUGCAUUUUUAAUGGCAUCAUAGGUUUUCAAAAAUAUGUGCUCUUUCAUGCAUUGAUGAGGCCAAUUUGAAAACUGUCACCUAUGUUAACAGGCCCAUUUAGUUUAGCCAAAUAAGUUCAAGCCUGCUUGACACUUCAUAGUUUAUUAUGUUUCAAUUAGGGUCUACUAAUACUAUCCAUAGAAUUUCAUGGAACUUUUACGCCUUGAAUGUUGAGUGCUACUAUUGAAAUAUUCAUUGAUUAUUUCUCAAGAAUGAUAAGACAAUAUAUUUUAUAUUAUCCACUUUGUCCAGACGUUAAACAAUGUUUAGUAAUAUAUCAAGAGCGGAAAACAUUAGAAAAAUUAUGAUGAACAAGCAAACAUUAAAAGUAAAAACGCGGAAUACCCAGCACAAGAGUAAAUUGGAUUGCACUUUAUUCAGUGUUCUUCGUUGGAUGAAACUUAAUGAAUCACUUUUGUGCUGACUAUUCCACCUUUUUGGUCCAAGUAUGCAACUUCGUAUGGUCACCUGGCCCUGGAUUUGCACGUCCACUAAUAUUGAACCCACCUUCCUUUACCAACCAAUGGCAGUAGGAAUUUUUUCUGAAUGGUUUAGAAAUGCUUCCACAGUAACUAUUUGCCAACUCGGUAUUAUAAACAUCAAAACUUGUAUCUUGUGUUCCCCGCCAAAAGUGACAAAAAUAUAAAGUACCCAACCAAAUAUUGGGUGAGAAACGCCAAUGGAAGUCGUCAUUUACGCGGAGGGUAUGGUAUCCUAAAUCAUCAUCUUUUGAUUGACAAUGGAUGGUUAAGGGUAUAUCGUUAUUCGGGAGGCCAUUGAUCACAUGAACAUUAUAGUAGUCCAAAGCAACCACUCUAUAUGAUGUUUGAACGACGCAAAAUGAAAAAAAAAAAAAAAAGGAAACAUAUAUAUGUUUGCAACGGUAACCAUUUUUGUUAAUGCUGUUUGUUAUUCUUCAAAUUUGUGAAAUUACCUCUUUAAAUGAGACUAAGUAACAUCGGUUAUGGUCGGUGCACUAAUAAAACAACAGCACUAGAAUUAAAAGGUUUGACAUUAUAUUUUCUGAAAACACAAGAUCCUGUCAUUUUUUAAUUAACUAUGUUUAUUGCAUUAAUGACAUCUCAAUAUUAAAACAGCACGGUUUGACAUUUUAUUCGGAAAAUGCAAGUUGUUUUUCAUCUUUAAUAUGUGAUGCCACACCAUAUCAUUAUUCUAGGAAAAUGGAAAUGAGUUAAAUUGACAUUCAUUUAUCUUAAAUUCACAUAUUUGAUGCAUUCAUGACUUGUACAAUUAAUAUUAAAAUUUGUACAAUGCAUUGAUUAAGAAGGAGGUUUGAAUUUUAAUCCUUACUUAUUGCAUACAUUUCACAUUGGAAAGAACAGGGAACUAUGCUUAACUAAACUCAUAAAUGUGAGCGUUACACUACUUAAUAUCAUAUACAUUGCAUUUGAUAAAUAACCAGAGUUACAACCUCAAAACUAAUUGGCAGUGCAUCUAGUUGCAUAAAAUCUUGUUAAUUCAUGUCUUUAACACCCCAUCUAAUAUUAUUUUACGAUUGUUCUAAAUUGAUUUUUAAAACAUCACUUUCUAAUAUUGAUAAAUUGAAUAUUAGUAUUAAACGCAUGCGAGUGUGGGAAAGAGAAAGAGUAUGCAUUAAUGCGUAUGUUUCAGGAAAGAAAAAUGUAGCUUCUAAGAUUAUGAUGCUAGGAAUUAGAAUUUCAGAAUUCAAAUACUUCUUUUCCCCAAUGUUUUGAAAAUAGGAUCGGACCGGCUGCGUUUGACUGGUUGAACUGCGAACCGGCCAUGGCACCAGCCCGAUUCUAUGUCAUAGUUGACUUUAUUAGAAAACCGGUAAAAAACUGAUUGAAUCGUGAAAACCGUCGAACCGGUGGUUUCUGGUUUUCAACUUUCCCUUUCUUUUUUUUUUUUUUUUUAAGUUUUGUAAAAUGCAGCUAUCAAGAUUCGAAUUCAAGACCUUUGUAAUAGAAGAUCAAUGUAUUAACCGUUGUAUCAUCACAUCUUAUUAGUUUUUUUUGAUAACUUAUUUAUAUAUAAACAAACACACUCAUUUCUUUCUACUUUUCUUACAAAAUCUCAAAUCUCUCAUGGCUCUUUCUUUUUAAUCUUCAACUCUCUCUCUCUAUCCUCUUUUCUUUGUCACUCCCUUUUUAAUCAAACCUCUUUUAUUUUUAAUUUAUUGAUGUUUUCUUCCAUCUUUUAAUUUUGUUUUUGUGCAUUAAAUUAAAAAAAGUUGAAAAAAAAUUAUUUUUCUUUAACCCAAAUUAUUUAAUGCCACAACCACUCACUUUUAUCUCAUUUUUGUUUUUUAUCAAGUUUACAUUUCUUUUUUCGAUUCUCUUGACUUCCUUCGAACUCCAAACUUCCUUUUUUUAAAUUGCAAUCUCUAAAUCACAAAACGUAAAUUAAAAUUUAAGUUCACAAUAUCUAAAUUCUCAUAGACGUGAAUUUUGUUAUAAUUUCAAAAUAUUGUGAUAUUUUUGGGUUGGAUUUAGAUAUAAUUUAAAUUGAGAUGAAAUUUAUUUGUUUUAACUUAUAAUUUAAAAAAAUUUAUUUUUAAAAAUCCAAAUUAUUAAAAAUAGUAAACUUUUCAUCAUAUACAGUAUUAAAUUGGUCCAUUACAUGUCUAUUUUGUGCAUAUAAUAUAUUUAUAUAAAUUAUUUUUUAAAAAAUUCAUUGAACCGGGGUUGAACCGGUCCGACCGAUUGAAUCGAGCUCGAACUUGAGAUCAAAAUAUUAAGCCCGUUAGCUUGCGAGCCUAUUAGGGCUGCAAACGAAUCGAGCCGCUCGCGAGCCGCUCGAAUCGAGCUCGAACUUAAGCUCAAAAUAUUAAACCCGUUAGCUGCGAGCCGGCUCGCGAGUUUGAGUAUAUAUAUAUAUAAUUUUUUUAAUUUUAAUUAUAUAUAUUUUUAAUUUUAAGUAUAUAUAUUUUUUAUUUUCUUAUUUUAGUAGUAAAAUUACAUAUAUCCUUAAUAUUUUAUUAUUUAUUAAAAAAAUAUUAUUUUAUUUAUUUUUAAAAAAUAAAAUAAUUAUUUUUUAUUUUUUUCAAGCUCGGCUUGACUUUAAAUUGCCGACUCGUCGAGCUCGAGCUCGAGUUCGAGCUUGGUAAAAUUUAGUCAAGACUCGGCUCGUUUGCAGCCCUACCCGGUAUGCAACGAAGAAGUAUUUAGUGAUAAAUCCAGGCAAUGAAGAAUUGAAAUAAACAAACGGCCCAAAAUCGAUUAAUAUCUGCAGAAUUCUAUACCUGCAAUAGUUUUUUGGGAUAAUUUUAGAAACCUCCCCUAACGUUUCUCACAAUCUCACUAGCCUCCGUUAGAGUUUGCAAAAUUACACAACCUCCUUUGAGGUUAAGGUUUUGGAAACAAAAUUAGUCUAAUUAGAAAAAAUAAGAAGUACUUUAAGGAGAGGGAUUGUUCGAAUUUGCCUUUCGUUUCCCUCAUUUUUCCUUACUAAUAUCUAACAAUUAAAGUACUUUUUUAAUGUUGCUUUUUCUAAUUGAACUAAUUUUGUUAUCAAAACCUUAAUCUCAAGGGAGGUUUGUGUAAUUUUAUAAACUUUAGGGGAGGCUAGUGAGAUUGUUAGAAAUCUCAAUGGAGGUUUAUGAAAUUAUCCCUAAUUAAAAAAGAGGCCAUUCGGGCUAAGUGAAUAAUUUGCCACUAAUUGGUCACUUUUAACUAGUUAUGAACAAAAAAAAAUAAAUAACUUGGGCCAAAAAUAUUUGUUGGGCCUAUUGAGUAGCGGAACAAAUGAAAUAAACUUUUUUAUCAGGCCUAAGAACUGAAGUUGUAAUGUUUUUUUCGGGCAUAUUAGUUGUUCUUUGAAUUAUAGGAAUACAUUUUUCAUAACCCAAGUUUUGAUACUAUGAGUCUAUGACUCUUGUCUUAAUAGGUCGAGCCUAUUUUUCUUUGAGAUCCAAUUUUAUUACAACAACCCAAUGUUGUCAAAUGAACCCAAGGACAUUUUAAAAAGUCCAAAUCAGUCUCUAAACCAAGUUUAAAUAAAAAAGAAAUCUAUUCUAUGGAUCGGCUGAGCCAUAGAGCCAAAUCCAUACCUAAAUCCGUCCCAAACUAGUGUGGUCGUUUCUACAAAAAAACAAAUAAAUAUAAGUUAACAAAUAAAUCAAACUUAUUAGGAUAAUUGAAUUAGGACAGCAUUCUAAAAAUGGAAAAUUUUCAAAUUAGGAAAUCUUCCAAAAAUGAAAACUUUCUAUUUUGGAAAAACUUUUCAAGUACUUUUUAGAGAACGUCCAGACAUGAAUUCUUGGAUUACUUAGGAUAGGAAUGUAUAUUCUAAGAGUCAGAAAUGUUGGCUAAUUAGGAUAUAUGUGUAUUUACUACAGGUAUGAAGUAAGUGUAAGGCACAUUAAGGGUAUCUCACGCGAGUAGCUUGAGGUAGGUGGUACUUGUUCUUCUAUGUUUUUCAAAUAUUAAAUAUGAGUUUUAUUAAAUGAAAUCUCUACUUUGCUACAUGUAAAAUGAAUCAUCUAUCUCUAUUUGAAUUCUUUGAUAUGCAUGUGAUAUGAAAUGAAUAGUAUAAUUUCAUGAAAUGAAAGAAAUAUGCAUGUGAGUGUAAAUGAAUUCAAUUAAAGACAAGCUCUAAAUAGUCAUAAAAUAGACGAUAAGGAUUAUAGUCUUGCUAUGUUAUGACGAUCAAGUAAAUAUUAGGAAAAAAAACUUAAUUAAUUAUCGAUGGUCAAUUGUAAUUGUAUACCUUAUCUUUGACCCAUCAUCACGUAGAUCAUGUAAAGAUUAAGAAAAACACUUGAUCUACUGUCCUCUUAGAAGGAGUUAAGUUCUAGGCUAAGCACUUUGAAUGCAGCUAUUUUAUGUAUCUUGUUUAUGAGUUAAUAUGAAUAAUUUUGCAUGGUUAUGAAUUUUUAAGUACGUCCACGUUAUGCCAUGUAUAACAUGUGUAAAUUGCAUUAUGAUCUUUAAAUGGCUAUAUAUACAUAUGAUGAGUGUGACAGAUGUUAAAAAAUAUAGUAUGUUGUAACUGCAUGAUUCAGCAAGGAUAUAAGUUCUACUUGUUCGGCAUUUCAUCACUUAACCCAAUUUUUGUUUAUUUUUUUUGCUUGUAGAUCUUGAAAAUUACGAGGUAGUUUAUGUCAAGAACCUCGAGGAUCACUUCUACUAGGUUAUAUAAUUAUACUGAAAUAGAACCUUGGAUAGGACUUGGUAAAUGUUCUUAAAGUAUUCAAUAAUCUUUAGUUUAUGUUUCCAUUAGAUUUAUUUUUAUAUAAGCAUGUGGACUCAUCUAGAUAUGCUAUGUUAUUUCUAUACUUGGACAAAUAUUGCAGUAUGAGUUGUUUUCUUAUUAUUUAGUGAACAAAUAAGUUUUAAAUUAUAAUUGUUGCCUUAUAUUUUUGAGAUAAUCUUGAGGGUAUGGCAAAUGUCUCAUGUUUGUGGCGUGUGGGCUAGGGACACGACAAUUUAUCAGUUGAUGAAGGAAUUAAACCAAGUUAUUCAGCAUUAAGUUUUCUAAUUCCUGCAUGCGGAUCCAAUUCAAAGCCAAAAAUCUCUAUUAAUCAGGCUGAAUCAACUCUUGUUCAAAGCAUGAAAUUGUAGGCCUUUGAAUUAACUUUUCAAUGCCACAAGAGUCAUUUUAUUUGGUGGUUUGGAUGCUGAGAUAUGCCAAAGUACUGAGAGUUGGUCAAAAGAGCACAUCAACGAAACUAUACUUCAAUAAUUUGGACUUUUGGCUAUGAAACGUGAGAACAAACUUUAAUAUCCCAUAAGAAUUUUGUUCUUAUAUUGUUCUAAUAGAUCAAGAAUUCAAUUGGAGAGAAAUCGAACUAAAACCACGGUGCGAAGAAAACAAUGGAAGAGGAAAAAGUCAAGAGAAAGGAGUUUAAUAGAAUUGACAUGUUUUAGUAUUUGACAAUAACUUAAACUACCAAAAUCAGAUUAAGCUGAUACUUAUACAUUUUUUAAGAUAAGAGUCACAUGAACAUUCCGUAUCAGUAUUGUAUAUAUACAUAUGCGCAUAAAGAGUUUAACUAAUUAGAUCGUUACUUUAAUUCUCUGCUUUUCUUCUGCAUGUGACGCAAUAAUAGCCAUUGUCUCUCGGUUGUUGUGAUAUAUAUUUCUUUAAGUUGUGAUAAUUUUUGAUACCUUACACUGAAAUAUAAAGGAUUCAACAUAACAUUGUAUUGGCUUUCAACAUUAAUUCACCGAUCAUAAACUUAUGAAAAGGCUCUUGAUAAAGGUUCAACCAUUGUCAGCUAAUCAGUCUUUAACAAGACAAUUUCAUCAAACUAUGAAGCAUUAGAAUUAGUCACUUUUGCACCUCUAAGCCACAAACUAUUUUGAGUUGUCAAUUGGAGUAACUUUUUUAGUGCAAUACAUUGAAUUUCAAAUAUUAUCUUACCAUGUGGGUAAUAGAAAAUCCAUACAACAAUAUAUCUCGAUAUGCUUAUUUAUAGACUAUUGUACGCAAAGAAUAAAUUUACAUCAUACAUCUUAUAAGGAGUGAAGGUAUUGGUAUUUUCGCAAUACAUCUUAGAAGGUAUCGAUGUUUUCGCAAUAAUAAGCCCAAGAUAUAACGAAUGAAGAUUUAUACAAAUAUGUGAAUAGUUUUCAGGUCGUAUUGGAAUUUUGCUAAAUUAAAUAGUUUCACAAACAAGCCUCAGAAAGAAAAAGGAAAAACCCAAACAAUAUAAAAUACUAGUUUGGAUAUAAAAUUUCUAGUUUGGAUAUAAAAUAUGCAAACUAUAUUCUUGCUUUGAAUGAUAAAGAAAAAAUUUUGACCAAGUAAGCCACUCCUAGAGGAGAGCCGCGAGCCUAUAGGUGACAAAGUGACUUGCAUGCUGGGUUUACUACUGGUGAACGUUCAUUUCCUAGAGCGGUUAGGUUAGACAAACUGCUGCUUUCAAAUUUUGUUCAAAUGAUCUUGGAACGGUUAUAGUAAAUUUGUAAAAUUACUUUCUCUGUUAAAAAAAGAAAAAGAAAAAAAGAUAGUGACUUGGACAGAAUUUGUCAACCUUUCAAAAUUAACUAGUAAAAAUAAACCAGUAUCUGCAACAUAAAAAAGCAUGGGAAUUAAAUGUCCCAAUUAACUUAUGUUAACUAACACAAACAAAUUUUUAGAACCUCAAGUUAGAAGGAGAUAUUAACAUGAAAUCAGUGGUCCCUAUACAUGAAAUUGAAAAAGAAGUGAAAGAUUCUAAGUGGUCCCUAUACAUGAAAUCAGUUCAACAUCUUUCUGUCAUAUAUAAUAUGUAACUACAAGGAUUGCCCUUUUCGAAAUGUUAAAAAAUCUAUAGAAAUUGUUAAUUAAACACAAGAGCUUUAAGUAAUAAAUGGAGUAAAAAUUUUAUUAUGGGCUUGGGCAUAAUAAUAAGCGAUCUUUGGGCAUUAUUAAGACAAAAAUUUGAAGUCACUCUUAAAUACAUUCCUCAUGAAAUUUUUAUCUCAAAUAUAUUACAUCAUUAAAAAAAAAAGUUACUCCCUAUAAUUUGAAAAAGGUAUUUCGAUACCAUUUAAUUAUUGGAUAACAUAAUGUACAACGAGUUAAGAAAGUACAAGUUGAAAGCCAAGGAACCCAAAUAUUGUUAUCGUUUGUGGAAAAAAGAAAAAAGAAAAAAAAAAAGCCAAGGAACCCAAAAAUGGGAAUAUUUUGUAUUUGUGCUUGUAGUAACAAGUAUGCAUUUGUUAGAUGAAUAUUUGUAUGGAUAUACGUUAGACAUUUUUGUUAAGAUUUGGAAAUGUGACAAAUUUUCAAAUAGUUACCACAUUUGCAAGGCAAACGUUCAUGAAUUUGUCCAAAGAUAGUGCCUGGCCUAACAAUGUGUAGAGUAUACUAUUUAUGAAGUCAGGCAUACAACUUGCCAAUAGACGGCGGCUAAUUUAACAUCCUAACCUAGGAAGAAGUUAGUUAAGCUGCUCAUGGAAUCUGUGUAUAAAAACCUGAAACGUAGUCCACAUUCUUCAAGAUUAGAAUCAGCACCGGUUUCUCUAAUCAAUUAGGAGCCAUGGCCAGCCACAAGGCAUUGCUGCUUCAUCUGCUAGCACUCUUCUCCAUGCUGUCCAUGAGCGCCAAUGCUUGUAGGCUCUGUGGUAUUUCUCUGCCACUAGUACCAGACUUCCUCUGCCCACCAGAUCCCUGCAAACUACGACUCCGUCCGCCUCCACCACCACCUGGGAAGAGUCCACCUUCACGUCCACCUCCUCGAAGAGGGAUUCCAAUACUGCCCCCCCAUUUUGCAGUAAUUGUUCUCCUCUGGCACCUGAUUUGAGUGCACCACUACAUAUAUUACACACCCUAUGCUAAAUAAAGGAAAAAGAAAUGCAGAAUAUGAAUAAUAAUACCUGAAGAAUAGGUAUGGGCAGAGUUUCGAGCUCUGCAGCAAGAAGUUGUAUUAGGUACUGUAUUUACCUUAAAACCAGUUCCUUACUCCUGGGAAUUUAAGUGACAAGCACUAUGAUCUUGUUCUACGUUUAUCUAUUAUGUAUCGAAUAAGACUUGAUAUUCUGUAUUGAUCUUACGGACCCUCCCUUUUUCUUUUGGAUCUUACGGACUUAUUGGUACUUUUCAUGGCUUAGUACUUGCUCGUAGUUAUUAUCAGUAAAAUGCAACUAUGGCCACUGAAAAAAUUCGUUUGGCCCACUGACAUUUCUUGGGCGUUAAAUCACUAGUUAAACUUCUAAAUGCGCAGUGUUUUGAUCAUUUUGUUAAUUUGCUUCCAUUAUCUUUAGGGUAAAUUCCACUUUACCCCCCUGUGGUUUAGCGUUUUUUCACAUAACCCCCCUAUGGUUUCAAAAGCUAUACAUAACCCCCUCAUGGUUUGGAUUAAAGUGUCAAAGUAACAGAAAUAGUCACUCGUAACGGAACUUCUAAAAAUGUCGAAAUUACCCUUAUAAAUACAUGACACAUUAACCCCCUAUAAUUUUUAUAUUUUACCAUAUAACCCCCUUAUGGUUUAAUACUUUACCAUAUAACCCCCUUAUGCUUUUCAAAAUAUACACAUAACCCCCUUGGUUAAUACAUAAAUUUCAACCUUACAUAAGGGUAUUUUUGACAUUUUAGGUGACGCCGUUACGAGUGACCAUUUCCGUUACUUUGACACUUUAAUCCAAACCAUGAGGGGGUUAUGUAUAGCUUUGAAACCACAGGGGGGUUAUGUGAAAAACGCUAAACUACAGGGGGUAAAGUGGAGUUUGCCCUCAUCUUUAACAAAAAGUUGUUGCGCCGGACAUGUAAACUACCAUCAUAGCCACAUUUUGGCCAUUUAUUCUGGUCAAGAAUAAACUUUUAUUUCACAUGCUGAACUUUUUUCUUUUGUGUCAUUUCACCCAUUUUAAUUUAAAAUGUGUAGAUUAGGUCUUUUAGAAAUAACAAAAAUACCCCGAAAGGGGGAGGGUGCAUGUGACGUUAAUUGUGCCAAAUUAUUGCACUUAUGUAAGCUCAAUCACACUGAGAAAGACUCGAUCUAGUGAUUAAAGUUGACGCUGUAGAAAUUAGAAGUUUUGGAUUCAAAUUCAUUUUUUGUCUCGCUACUUCUAAAAUUUCACGCCUUCCCUAUGUAAGAAAAAUCAAUUUUUUUUUUAAAAAAAAAAAAUAGAAGUCCAGUCAUUGAAUUUAGAAGAAAAGAACUUGGAUCUCCCUUUCUUCUGAUAAAGAUAUAAAAGAGAUCUUAAAAACAGAAUAAAGUGAGAGUGAGAUCACAUGCAUGCGAUGCGAGCCCCUUCAUAGUCACAUUCAAAUAUCGUUAGGACCCCUAUAUAGGAAUGGGAGACCAAAGGUUACUUCUGGUGGAAGAAUUUUAAUAUCCAUAACAACUUUAUAAUUUUCUCAGUUAAUGCACAGAUUAUGUAAUCCCCCAUCUUAUUUGUCAAAAGUUUUCGACAAGUGAUAUUAGAGUAGGUUCAGUUAAAUUCUGGUAGAAUGAGGCGUGGGAGAUUUGAAGAAUGGAAGCAAGAGCCAUUUUGUAGUCCGAACAAGCAAUGCUGUAACAAUAAAAGUUAGAAGACUAACUUGUUGAAAAAAAAUUUACAAAGACGAAGUUGUUGCAGUUUACCGCAUUGCAUAUUAAGAAAACUAAAAUAAAAUUUCUUAACAGAAAGUUAAGCAAAAAUGAUCAUAUAUGAUCAUUGAUAAAUGCUUUGGGCUAAUUAAUAGAAGUACGUUACCAAGAAAAUAACUUCAUUUAUAUAAACUACAAAAAGAAUUUAAGGAAAUAUUAUUACAAAUGUAAAAAAAAAAAGAACAGUCUUAGAAAAGAUGAAAUUUCCUAGAAAAAUAAAUUCCUUAUUUUUCUUUUUAUUCAUCCUUAGUCGCUCAGAAUAUUUCUUUAAAGGUUUUGCCGUAAUACUUUCGUGUAACUUUUUUUGUUUCUCAAUGUAAAUCCAUCUUUUAAAAAAAAAAAAAUUACUUUCAUUAUCUUUUUUCAAAAAAUUUUGAAAUGCAAAGAUCAUUUACAUAGGAGAAUCAAUUCCAGGUUUUAGAGGAUAUCUCCUUUCUAACUACGCUAAAAAAAAUUAAUUCAUUUGCAAAAGCUAAAGGCAAUACUGCCGGAAUUUGACAUUCUGACAAGGGAACCAUAUCCAAACGCCCAAUGUUUUUCUCAAUAAUAGGCAAAAUACUAGUUAAAGUAAGUAUGAAGAAAUUCGAUUUCCAUGCCCCAAGGCGGCCUUUCUCUUGCCCAAAGUGCCCAACAAGCAAUUCAUUCAUAUUCACUGAAAAAUUGACACUAGUUGUACAAUUAUUAAACCACAUGGGAAACCUUGGAAGUGAAUUCCUAACCAUUAUUAAUAGGAACCAAGGAAGUCCCUGCUAACAAAAUCAUAUGGCUCCAACACUUCCGCCUUUACUCUACCACGAAUUACAUGCCUUUUCUUACAGUUUAUCAAACUAACUGGACUGAUUUUAACCUUUCUGCCAAGAUUUUUGAGUACCAUUUGCACGUGAAACUAAAAUAUGCUAUAUAUCUAAAAUCCGUCACCCUAUUUGCAGUUCCCACUUGAAUUUUAACAUUAUUUUAAAUACCAUAAAGGGGAUCACCUAUACUCAUGUCUUGUGAUCUUGAUUGUGAUGACUGACAUUCCUCUGAUCCAGUUUGAGGUUAAACCGUGCUUUCUUUCGAUAAUCAUGAUUACAAUAGACCGUUAAGCUGGAUGGAAACAUAAAAGUACGAUAACAUAAUCUAUUGUUGCGGAAUUCUAUUUAUUCAACUUGUUGCAGUAAAGUACAAAAAGGCGUAUGCAUUAUCAGACAACGUUUGAGCACAAAAGAAAGACUUAAAACAGUGGGGCAUGAAAGUUUCUUCUCCUCUGUGUGAACUGCGUCAUGAGCAAGAAGAAACGCAGGGUCAUUUAUUUUUUGAAUGUCGAUUUGCUAGAAUUGUGUGGGAUAAAAUCCGGAGUUUCUGUCUACUCUGUAGAAGCCAGGGGCGGAUUUAAAAGUGGAGGCACGGCCCCCACUGCCUCCAUCAAUUUCCUAUAAUAUAUCUAUAAUUUUGACAUAAUUUUAAAGGUGCCCCCAGAAUUUGUUUUAGAAAAAAUGUGAAAGAAUGGAUCACAAAAUUUAUAUCAUUCACUUUCCUCCUUUAGUUCCCAUUUUCCCACCAACAGGGCCAAGUACCAAUUAUAUCAGUCAUUCCUUUUGGUUCUCACUCCCCAAGUUCCCUUUACUCCUGUGGUCCUCCAUUUCCUUCACAACCGGUUCUUCUUCUUCCAUACCCAAGUCAACUACUUUUUAUUUUUAUCACUUCAUCAAUUAUCAAUUUACUUCCUUUGUCCACACUCUCCAAUUUCCUUUCCUCGUUUGGCUCUCGUUGUCCCCACUCCCCAACAUACAUAAGAGAGCCAUUUUUUUCCACAACCAAAGCUUGUUAUUCUUUCUUUUGAUCACUUCAUCCUAUUUAGAGAUUGCAUCAGAAUCAAUUGAUUUUCUAGGACUUGGGUCCACCACAUUUUGCAGCUCUUUUCACCAACUUUAGGAGACCAUCAAAAUCAGGUUCUAAACAAUUACUUAUUAUUAUUAUUAUUUUAAAUUUAUUUGCAAAUAUAUUUCUAGAGCAUGAGACUAUUACUGUUUUAAAGAAAUUUAAAAAUUGAUUAGUUAAUGUAAUAACUAAUAAAUGGGUUAUUUGAUACAUAUUUUAACUUGUGAAAUGGUGAUUUUAUGCAUGAGGCUUUUUUUUUUGCUUAAAAAAAAUUAGAAAAAGAGUAAAUAAAAAAUUUUAGUAUUAUUUUUGCCCCACUAAAAUUUUUUUCUGGCUCCGCCCCUGGUAGAAGCAUGCUGAAUUGGAAUGAUGAGUUGUAGUGGUGGCGUAAGAAUUGUAGGACUCAAUCUUUUGCUAAUAAAGUCAAGAGUGUGGCUUUCUCUAUGACUGUCUACUUCCUAAGGCAGACUAGAAACAAGAGUUUAUUUCAGGCCUUCCAGUGUGGGCGUAGUGGUUGCUGUCGUCAAUGCAAUGCAAAUAGUUGCUACCUCUUGAAGCAAGAUUCCUCGCACCAGAGAGAAAUGGGAGUUGGUUCUUGAGUUGGGAUUAGAUAAAGUUGCUUUGUAUGAUUCUUAUUGUCUUUUCUUUCGAAUUUUGACAGUAGAGUGUACAGAAAUUGUGCAGUCCAAGGUAGAUUGAGGAUUUUAUCAUUUUUUGUAAAGCUUUAUUGAUUGAUCUAUCAUGGAAAAAGGUUAUAAAUUUGCUAAAAAAAGGCAUAUGAAAUAUUAUUCACGCAUAUGAUUUUGAAGUUUACAACUAUAGUUGAUGACGUCUCACUUAAAAGUAGAAAAUCCAGCCCAACUAUUCACAUCUGAGCUUCGUAGGCCUUUAUUUGUAAUGCUUUAUAUAUGAUCUCUAAUUUGUAUUUAGGACGUAUGACUGAAUUCAAAUGACGGUCUAAUGGAAGACAUAUGCAUAGAGCAGGAUUAAAUAACUAUUAAAUUCUAUCUAGUGAUAAUGAAGGUAGGUGGAGCUACAGAAACGACUAUGAACUUAUCUUCCAGAGGAUGAAUUGUCAUUUUUAAUCCUCUCACGAUGCACCAUUUGGUGAUCUUCUAUGUGGAGGUGGUGGAGGUGAAGGUAGUGGUGGCAGUGAAGGAGGUGGAGGAGGUGGAGAAGAACGCGGGGUUGGUGAAAAAUGCGGAGGCAGAGAUGGCAAAAAUGAUGGAGACCAAGGUAGAGGAGAGGAAGGUGGUGAUGGAGAAGGAGGCAGAGAAGAUGAAGGUAGAGGUGAAGGUGGUGGUGGUGGUGAUGAGGGAGACGGAGGAGAUGAUGGUGAUGAAGGUGGAGGAGAAGGCAGGAAUGGUAAGGGAGGUGAAUGAGGGGAAAUGGGUGGUGGAGAAAGAGGCGUAGGUGAAAGUGGCAGAGGAGAAGGUGGUAGUGGUGAAGGAGGCAGCGAGGUGGAGGAGGAGAGGAUGGUGGACGUGAAGGCUGUGGGGGAAAGGGUGGUGGUGGUGAAAGAAGCGGAGGAAAUGGAGGUGAUUUCUUAGGCGGUGGAGGUCUAGAUGGUGGAGAAGUAGGUGGUGAUGAUGGUGGAUGUGAUUUUUUGGUGGUGGGGAUGGACUCUUUUUUGGUGUGGAGGAGAUAGCGGUGUUUUCUUCGUGGAUUAAGGUGAAGGUGACAUUUUAGGUAGUAGAAUGUGGAGAAGGAGAUGGAGAAGGAGGUGAUGGGUGGUGGGGCAGGGGUGAUUUCUUUGGUGGGUGAUUUCUAGUGGAGACGGAGGUGAUUUUUAAGUAGUGGAGGUCGAGGAGAAGAUGGAGAGGAGGUGAUGGUUGAAGGGCUGGGAGUGAUUUCUUUGGUGGGUGAGACGGAGUUGAUUUCUUAAGAGGUGGAGGUGGAGAAGGUGAUGGCGAUGGAGGUGGGGGUGAUUUCUUUUGUGAGAGAUGAAGCAAGGUGAGUUACUUUUUAGUCGAGGCGGAGGUGAUUUCUUAGGUGAUGAAGGAGAAGGUGGUUUUUUUUUGUUUGGAAUAGUGGAAUAAUAAUUGAGGGUUUAUGUUUAAAGUGUGGCCAUGGUUUGAUGUGCGGCCAAUAUCGCGGUGGGCAAAAACCAGCAUUUACAUUCACAAUGAAUAGGGCAGCAGAGAUUGCUAAGAGAUGUGUCAGGACCUCUCAAAACGAAGGAUGGGAGAAGGAAUUGGGAUUAACAGAUUUGGGAUGAAAGAAGAAGAAAGGGGAGAGAGAAGAGGAGAGGAUCAAGGACAUAUGAAUUUGAGAGGGAAAUUUGAAUUCUCUUUUUUCUUGUUAUCCAAUCUACCAAUUGCUUGGAUUUAUACAGCUCAAUUGGUUUGAACCUUUCUGGCACGGAAUUUCCGUGCACUGAGCUUGAUUCUAACUGAAUUCAAUUAUAACGAAUUCUAACAACAUUUGGUCCUACCUAAACUAAUUACGCUAGCGCCCCUGAGACUUAUAUCUGAUUACAAUUGGGUCCCUGGUUCUGAUUUUUAACUAAUUACGCUAGCUCCCCUGAGACUUCCUAUCUGAUUGCAAUUGGGCCCUGGUCCUGACAUUACUCCUCCCUUAAGGGCAGCCUUGACCUCAAGGCUGGAACUCAGGAAAUUGCCUGGUGAUGAAAGAUUGAUCAUUCCACGAUGCCUCUUAUUCUCCUAGCUGAUGCCACUUUAUGAGGUACUGAAUCACAGGAAACACCAUUGCGCAUGAUCACCCUCCUUUGCAAGACCUCUGCAGGCUGUAGCAGGCACUGAUCACAUCCAUCAACUCUGGUAGUGUAGGAGUAGUGGACUGAUGGGGGUCCAACUUAGGCUUUAGAAGUGAUACAUGAAAAACUGGAUGCACCUUAGAGCCUGGUGGAAGCUUGAGUUUAUAUGCGACAGCUCCAAUCUUUUCCACUAUUUGAAAGGGUCCAAAGAAUUUCGCAGCUAGCUUUAGAUUUUUCCUGAGUGCCACCGUCUGUUGUCUAUAAGGUUGCAACUUCAAAAAAACCCAAUCUCCCACCACAAACUGCCUUUCUGUCCUGUGUUUGUCAGCAAAUAUUUCAUCCUAUUUUGAGCCUGAUGCAAGUGCUCUUUGAUCCUGUGAAGCAUUUGGCUCUUGUCUGCAACAUGUCAUGAGCUGCUAGUAUUAGUGUAUCAUGGUAGGGUCCCAAGGGCAGUGGCAAAGGCUUGUAACCAUAGAGAGCCCGAAUGGAGAAACUCCCAAGCUCGUGUGGUAUGCAGUGUUGUACCACAGUUCAGCUAAACUGAGCCAGUGGCUCCACUGAGUUGGACUCUCACUGGUUAUGCGUCUCAAGUAGGUCUCUAGACAUUGAUUCAAUCUCUCACUCUGACCAUCAGUCUCAGGAUGGUAGGAGGAACUAUAGUGUAGUUCAGUUCCAGCCAUCCUGAACAAUUCCUGCCAGAAACCACUAGUGAAUACCUGUCUCUGUCUGUAUGAUGGACUCUGGUAAACCAUAGAGCUUGUAGACAUUAUCUAGGAAGACUUGUGCUACUUGGGCAGCUGUGAAAGGGUGAGAAAGUGGUAUAAAAUGACCAAACUUUGUCAGUCGGUCUACUACUACCAUAAUAGUGUCAAAUCCCCUAGAGGAAGGUAAUUUCUCAAUAAAGUCCAUAGUAAUAUGUGACCAGGCCUGAGUAGGAAUUGGUAGAGGUUGUAGUAGCCCUGGAUAUGGCACUCGUUCACUUUUGUUCCUUUGGCAGACUUCACAUUCUUGUACGAACUGUAUGAUAUCCUUCUUUACUCCUGGCCAAUGGAAUAUGCUGUACACUUUCUGUAGGCAAGUUCUUUGACCAGAAUGUCCCAAUGGGGGACUCAUGUAGAGCUUGAUUAUUUUCUGCCUAACUCCCUUGCUAUUUACCACAUACAGCUCCCCAUUGUAUCUGAGUAUCCCUUGAUUGAGUUGAAAAUCAGAGUCUUGGGGUGUAGGAUCCAGCAGUAGUUGACUCAUCAACUCCUGCACUGUGUAUCUUCAAAGUAGCUAUCUUGUAGCUCUUGCAUCCAUAAGGGUUGAGCACUGGUAAUGGCCAUCAACUGUUGUCGUGCAGGUUGCUGAUCCAACAUGGUCCUCCUAGAUAGAACAUCAGCAACAGUGUUCUCUGAUCCUUUCUUAUACUGGAUUUCAUAAUCCAAUCCUAACAGUUUUGUCAACCACUUGUACUAAGCAGUAGUCGUGAGCCUUUGUUCCAGUAGAAAUUUCAGGGAUUUGUGAUCUGUUCUAAUAAUAAUAAAUGGUUCCAAUCAGAUAGUGCUUCCACUUUGUUACUGCAAAAACUAGUGUCAUCAACUCCUUCUCAUAAACAGACAGCCCCAUGUUCCUGAGGGAGAAGGCCUUGCUAAUGAAGGCUAUUGGGUGACCCUCCUGUAAGAGGACAGCUCCCAUGCCUUGCCCACUUGCAUCAGUCUCUACUACAAAAGGGAUACUAAAAUUGGGCAGUCUUAGCACUGGGGCACUACUUAUGGCCUGUUUGAGGUGGUUGAAGGCUUUGUCAGAAUCAGCAUUCCAGUUGUAAGCAUCCUUCUUCAGUAGAUUAGUCAAUGGCUUGCUGAUGGUUCCAUAGCCUUUUAUGAAACGUCUGUAGUAACCUGUGAGGCCUAGGAAUCCCCUAAGUUCUUUAACAUUCCUGGGAAUAGGCCAUGUCUGGAUGCACUCCACCUUGCUCAUGUCCAUACUCACCCUCUGCUAGACACCACAUGUCCCAGAUACUCCAUCUCUGCUGAGCAAAGGAGCAUUUGGAGAGCUUAGCAUAUAGCUGGUUGUGUUGAAGCACCUUCGGUACUUGCCUGAGAUUCUCCCUGUGGAGAUCUAGAGUAGUACUGUAGACCAGAAUAUCAUCGAAGAAAAUCAGAACAAACUUCCUUAGGAAUGGUUCAAAAAUCUGAUUCAUUAAUGCCUGAAAGGUUGCUGGUGUAUUUGUGAGAGCCCAGAAGGCAUCACCAGGAACUCAUAGUGUCCCUGAUGAGUUUGGAAGGCAAUUUUGUGAGUAUUUGCUACCUUAACUCUCUGAUCUGGUGGUAUCCUGACCUCAGGUCAAUCUUGGAAAAGAACUUGGCUCCAUAAAGUUCAUCCAGAGUUCAUCAAUGUUGGGGAUAGGAUAUCUGUCCUUAAUUGUUUAGUCAUUGAGGUGCCUGUAGUCCACACAAAAAAGCCACGUAUUGUCCUUUUUCUUGACAGCAGCACAGGUGAAGCAUAGGGACUAUUGCUUGGCUUGAUGAUUCCUGAUUUCAGCAUAUCUGCAAUUUGUCUUUCAAUCUCUGCCUUCUGUGAGUGAGGGUACCUGUAUGGUUUCAUUUUGAAGGCUUGUGCUCCUGGCUUGAGAGGAAUCUGAUGAUCCAAGGGUCUGUUGGGGGGCAACUGAGUAGGUUCCUGGAAUACUUCUGGAAAUUGCUCCAAUACUGCGGCUAUUGAUCCUGGAACCACUUUCCUUUCUAUUUCCCUAUCUCCACAUUGUGCUGAGAUAGCACAACAUUUCCUCUUCUCCUGCAGGAAACCCCUGAGAUCCUUCCUUCUAACCAACUCCAUGGUGGCAUCAGUAACUGCCCAUGCAGAGUGACCCCUCUCCUUGAUGAUACAUAGAGAUUUUUAGCUCGUGGAAAUCAAAAGUAAUGGGACUGUAAUUGUGCAUCCAAUCCAUCCCCAAAAUGAGAUCCCAUUCGCCUAACUCCAUAAUUUGAGGUCAAAGCAAAACUUGUAGUUCUGAAUAUUCCAUAGAACCUUGGGGAACUGAGCCCCACUGGUUACCAAGCUCCCAUCCCCAUGGUGACAGUGAAAGGUUUGACAUAUUCAAAGGGAAUGCCCUGUGCAGUCAGCAACUUGUGAUGGAUGUAACUAUCACUGCUGCCUAUAUCCACCAGAAUCUUGACAGGUUUCCCUAAAUAGCUAUCCUUGUAGCAUGAUUGUAUUUCGCCUUAGUGAAUCCGAGAGAGCAUUCAGUGAAAUUUCCACUGGUUCCCCUGGAUUCCCAGUCAGCUCAUCCUGUUCUCCUUGAGCAUCUUGGAAUUCAGUGUCCUCUUCUUCCUCAUACAUCAUGAGAUUCAAAUGCUUCAUCCUACACUGAUGUCCUACCCCAAAUUUCUCCCCACACUUGAAGCACAGGCCAUUAUUCCUUCUGAAUUGCAGUUCCUGGGGAGAUAACCUCUUAAACUUUGGGCUCCUAUCUGAAAUCUUGGAAGCUCCUUUAGGUAUAUUAUCCUGUGGUAGUUUAUAGGUGCUAACUCCCCAUUGGUAGAGGUCGGGUGCCUAUACAUUCCAAAUUUGGGUUCAGCCAUUACCUUGUGGCCAUCUCUAACUGUUUUCCCUUGCAACUUGAGAGCCUGUUCCUGCAGGUGAGCUAUCUCCAUGGCUCCUGAGAGAGUGUUGGGUCUGAGCAUUUUGACCAUUGGCUUAAUCUCCUAAUUGAGUCCGCUUGUGAAACUGGAGAUAAAGUAUUCCUCACUAAGACCUGGAUUCUGGAUCAGCAUUAGUGUUUUCAACUCCUCAAACCUCUCCUAGUAAACUUCUAUUGAACCAACCUGCUGCAGUUUAUUAAAUGCCUCCACAAUAUCUCUGCAACACGUACCUUCGAAUCUUUGGCACAGCAACUCCCCAAAUUCCCCCCAGGUCAGCCUUGGCUUCUCUAAUUUGACCCCUUGGAACCAAUUGUCAGCUCUGCCUUCUAAAAACAUUUCUACUACCAACAGUUUGUGUUCCUCAGGUACCUUAUUCAGCAGAAAAUAUUUAUCGCAUUUCCGGAUCCAUUCUCUAGGAUUGUUCCCACUGAACAUAGGUAACUCAAGUUUUGGAGGAUUAUAGUUAGAAAUCUUACUCAGGAAUUCACAACUCCUUACUUCCUCCUCUGCUCCUAUGCUCAACUUCUGAUGAAUGAGAGGUGUUGGCAGCAAGGGCGGACGAUCUCUCCCAGCUUUGCGCUCCAUCAUCUAAGUUCUUUUCCCUGGUCAUUAGUGCCUUCAUCAUGGAGUUGAGUGCUUCCAGCUUCUGAUCCAUUCCUAGCGCGAUCGUGUCCAUCUUUCUGUCUCUUUCCGCCAUUUCCUCUCUGACUUGCAGCUGCAUAUUCUUCACGUCCUCCAACACUUCCAGCAGCUUGAGCUCCUGCUUCUUGAUAUGAUCCUUUAAGGUUUUGAAACGUGUGUUUUCUGCCAUUGGUGGAUCUUGGAACUGCCGAGGACUCGCUGGCAGCUCUGAUACCAGCUGUCAGGACCUCUUAAACGAAGGAUGGGAGAAGGAAUUGGGAUUAACAGAUUUGGGAUGAAAGAAGAAGAAAGGGGAAAGAGAAGAGGAGAGGAUCAAGGACAUAUGAAUUUGAGAGGGAAAUUUGAAUUCUCUUUUUCUUGUUAUCCAAUCUAUCCAGUUGCUUGGAUUUAUACAGCUCAAUUGGUCCGAACCUUUCUGGAACGGAAUUUCCGUGCACUGAGCUUGAUUCUAACUGAAUUCAGUUAUAACGAAUUCUAACAACAUUUAAUCCCACCUAAACUAAUUACGCUAGAGCCCCUGAGACUUUAUAUCUGAUUACAAUUGGGUCCUUGGUUCUGAUUUUUAACUAAUUACGCUAGCACCCCUGAGACUUCCUAUCUGAUUGCAAUUGGGCCCCUGGUCCUGACAAGAUGCCAUAGCGAAACCAUACGGCUCGCCAUGGUUGCUACAUUAGCUGUUAACUGCCUUGAUUGAUGGAAUUGAUGGUUGAGUCUAGGUUUAUUACACAUAUAGAUAGACAAAAGUGGUUUGGGCAAACAAUAAUAAAAUCAACACAAAUUUUUUACAAGCUAAACAUCAACUAUAGCUACUAGGAAGAUAUUUUCCUUAGUACAAUUAUUUUUCUUAGCUUUUUCUACAUAUUUUCAAGUUAUUUGAAAAUUUUUCCUAGUUCAUCACUGACACCUCACUCCAUUAAAGCACACCACCAUAUGGAGGGAAAAAUGUAAAAGUAAAUGACAUUGAAGGAAUAUAUCUCAAUGUUAUUUUGUAUCCCUUCUUCAUUUGUUUGUUGUACCUAAGUUCUACUUUUUGCCCAUUUAUCUAUCAAACUACAUAAAAUUUACUUGUAGAUUUUUUUUCAACACAAAUGCCACUAUGAUAAAAUGAUUGCCGUGCCUAGUACUUUGAUAGUUUUCUUUUAUGCCUAUGUUUUAUCCUUUUUCAGUUUGGUUGGUUUUUUUUUUGUUUUUUUUUUCUCUAGUUUUUUUGGGUGUAGGCACUUACUUGAUUUAACUUGUCAAAUGCAGUACUUUUAAAUCUAAUUACUUCUUCCCUUUUCAUUCCAGUUUAUAUUUGCAAUUUAUGAUGUAUAUCAAGAAUUUUGCUAUAUUCUUAACUUUGGAAAAAAGCCGUACCUGUAUGUCGAAUAUAUAUAUUUGCUUUUUGUGCCACAGUAUUUUGAUUUAUCUUUUAUUUUUUGGAUGAUAGUAGUGUAUUUUUGUAUUGUAAUGGCUGCAUCUUAGCCCUUAUGGUAGGUUUUGUUACUUAUUUAUAAAGAUUGUAAGAAAUUCGUGCUUCUUCAUGUCUAAAUUUAUAUACAUUUUAUUCAUGUCUGAACUUAUAAUUUCGGUGGGCAAAAAAAAGUUUCAUGCAUGCUUCAAGAUGACUAGAUAUUGUAGCCCUUGCUAUCCAAAUUAUGGGAAUGGAGGCAUUUUGUGCAAAAUUGCCAUUACAAUUAAUAAAAAUGGUAAUCAUUUUUGCAGCAAGUUGAAGACAAGCAUCAAUGCGUAGAACAAAAAUGAUUGUCUGGGUUAAAUUUCAUCCCUUUGUAGAACUUUUAGGAAGCUUACCAUGUAUAUAUUGGAUCUAUCAUUACUGUCAUUACACCAUUUAACUUGUUAUUGUAGAUAGAAAUAGCCAAAAACAACGUUAACUGAACUAAAAAAUAUAGUUUGAGUCGUUUUUAAUAACACUAUCCUAAGAAAUUAUUUUGUGAGGUUGAAAUGUUUCUUCAAGAUUAAACAAAUCUUUUUCUUGUUUAUAACAAGAAGGAUCAGAACUUUAGGUAGCGCGUCUGUUAAAUCCAGCAAAGAGGGAAAGAAGGAAAAGAAGAGAAGUAGAGCAAAAAAACUGGCAGGAAGGUGUCUACUGUCAGCUGUUGGUGUAUCUCUAAAGUGGGAGCACAACUGCUUUUUCUGUGUGACCGAAAAUAUUAAAAGGGAACGUUAUGAAACGUACCAGACCUUCGUAACGAUGAAAUAAAAAGUUUAUCUUCUUAGGAAAGAGUCAAAUUUUGAUUUGUAAAAUAUAAAGUAAAAUUUAUUCUUGGUCACAGUAAAAUUCAUUUGGGCCAUGUUUAACCCACGAGUGAGGGGGGGAAUCCGUCAGUUUGUACUAAAACGGCCCAACUAAACUUUUCUCUCAUACACGUGAACCCACACUAGUUACCAACUUAACACAAACCCAAUAACAGAUUACGCAUUAUAAAUGAUGAGAAGACCAAAUGAAGUUUUUUGAUUUGGGACAAAAUCUUUUGAAAUAUUCCUUUUAUUUACAACAAUCUCCUUCCUAUUUCAAAAGAUUUUGGUCAAAACUAAAGAAAUAGUCUUGUUGGAUUUAUUUUGGGUGAAAUGUAAUCAGUUUGGUGUCUUUCGAACUAUGAACCAAAUUUAGAUUCAAACAUGACCUAUAUAAUUAUUGGUGAAAUAUGAAUUUUUAUGAACCAAUAACUCUUGAUGUAUGACAGAAAUUUUAUCAAUCACACUACAACCCAUAACUUACUGUUAUCGUGAUUUUGCGCUUUUAGGUCGUGCACCUGCUUGGCUAUUCAUGAUAGCUCUAAAGAUUCGGCCAAUAAAUCUUAUAGGAGCGGUCUCACUCCACUCUAUAGGUGAAUUCAUCAAGUGUAUAUUGCUUUAAAUACACCACCUUAAAGGGAUAUGAAUUCAUUAAGAGUUUUAAACUUACCCUCAUAAUUAUUAGCAAUCAAAGCACUUAUCUCCAGAGGGACUUAAAUUUGAAGUGUUUUACGGUCAAUAUUAACUUGUUAUUACCCAUAUGAACGUAUUUCAUGGGAUCACCAAUCACAUAAGUUGGGUUACUGUCUCUAUUGACAACUUGUUGGCCUUAGUCCCAUUUUCCUUGUAGUUUGAAGAAUUAAUUUCCUUCCUACAAGUUUAGUCAGAGGAUCGACCAAAUUCAAUUCUGACUUCACAAAAUUAAUAGAGAUAAUUCCAUCUUUAAACAACUGCUUUACGACAUCAUGUCUUAAUUUUAUAUGUCAACUUUUACAAUUAUAUAAUUUAUUUUUAGCAAUAGCAAUUGUUGUUGACAAUCACAGUGUAUGGACAUAGGAGGCAACAGAUCCUUAGUCGUAGGAAUACUGAUUAAGAAGUUUCUUAACCAAUCAGUCCCAGAACCAGUCAACUCCAGAGCUAUAAAUUGUGAUUCCAUAGUUGAUUUAGUAAUAAUUGUCUGUCUAACUGACUUUCAUGCUACUGUACCACCACGGAGGGUGAAUACAUAACCACUAGUGGAUUUUGUCUCAUUUGAAUUCGAGAUCCAAUUAGUAUCACUGUACCCCUCUAAUACAGUGAAAAAUCCACAAUAUAAGAUACUAUAAUUCAUGGUACUCUCAAAUAUUUCAUUAGUUUGACUAAUGCAAACCAACGAUCACUAUUAGGAUUGUGAAUAUACAUGCUCAGUCGACACACAGCAUAAGCUAUGUUAGAUCUUGUAAAAUUCAUCAAAUACAUCAGGCUCCCAAUAAUUUGAGUAUAUUUAGACUGAGCAACUGGGUCAUCAUUAUUUUUCUUUAAUUAAGUGUUAGCAUCAUAAGGAGUACUUACAGGUGUCACAUCAUAAUUUUCAAACUUCCUAAGAAGUCUUUCUGUAUAAUGUUCUUGUGACAACAUUAUACUAUUAUCUCUCCUUAUAAUUUUAACACCCAAUAUUAGAUGCUAAGAAAUAUUUAGUAGUAUUGAUAUUAUCACUCAAAUCUUUCAUAUCAAACUUAGAGGAUAAGAAAUAUUUAGUACUAUUGAUAAUAUCUAUACUUGUACCAAAUAUGAGCAUGCCAUCCACAUAUAGGUUAAUUAUCACAUAUUGAUUAUUCACAACUUUAGUAUAUACAAAUUUAUCGACUUCUAAAGACGAAAAAUCGUCUUUCAUCAAUACUUGAUCAAAUUUCUCAUUUCACUGUUUAGGAGCUUGUUUUAGACCAUAAAGAGAGUUAAUUAAUUUACACACUUUAUUUUCUUGUCCAGAUUCAACACAUCCUUCAAGUUGAAACAUAUAAAUUUCUUCUUUCAAAUUACUAUUUAAAAAAGCUGUUUUGACAUCCAUUUGAUGAACAACAAAUUUGUGGAUAGAAACUAAGGCAAAUAAGACAUGAAUAGAAUAAAUUCUUGUUAUUGGUGCAAAUGUAUCAAAAUAGUCAAUAUUUUGUUUCUAAAAAAUUCUUUUGCUACUAAACGAGCUUUGUAUUUUUCUAUAAAACCAUCAGAAUUAUAUUUUCUUUUAAAAAUCCAUUUGCAACCAAUAGGUUUUGCAUCAAGAGACAACUCUACCAAAGUCCAUGUUUAAUUUUUCAAAAUAGAAUCAAUUCAGAUUUAAUUACUUCUUUCCAAAAUUUGCAAUCAGAAAAAAAUUGCAUCAGAAUAAGUUAAAGGAUCAUUGUCAACAAGAAAGGUUUGAAAAUCAUUCCCGUAAGAAAAUUCUUUUCUCGGCCUUUUACUCCUCCUCAAUUCCUCAUUAGAGGUUAUUUCUUUAUUUCUUUCAACAGGUGCAUGAGAAAUUUUAUUGGACAGUGGAAAAUAUGUUCAAAAACUCAACAUUUUUUGUUUCAAUAAUUGUAUUACAAUCAAGUACAUCACUUCUUAAAAUAAGAAAUUUAUAUGCAGCACUAUGUUCAGCAUAUCCAAUAAACAUACAAUCAUUAGUUUUAGAACCUAAUUUCUUUUUUUAGACUCAGGUAAUAACACUUUAGUAAGAUACCCCAUACUUUCAAAUAUUUUAAAUUUGAUUUAUAAUUUUUUCAUAAUUCAUAAGGUGUUUUGCCAGUCUUUUUAUGUGAAAUUCUAUUUUGUAGAUGACAUGCAGAUAAUAUAGCUUCUUCCCAUAAAUUAUUUGGAGCAUGAGAAUUAACUAACACAGAGUUCAUCAUUUUUUUAGUGUCCUAUUUUUUCUUUUAGCUACUCCAUUAGAUUCUAGUGAGUAAGGAGGUGUUGAUUCAUGUAUUAUGCCUUCAUGUUCACAAAACUUAUCUAAAGUUAAAUAUUCAUCUCCUCUAUCUGAUCUAAUUCUUUUGAUCUUCUUAUUAAGUUGAUUUUUUACCUCAGACUUAUAAGAUAAAAAGACAUUAUAAGUAUCAUCUUUAUUUCUAAAUAAAUAAAAUUUAGUAUAUCUAGAAUAAUCAUCUAUAAAAGUAACAUAAUAUCUUUUUCCUCCUCUAUUCAUAGUUUAUUUUAAAUCACCUAAAUCUAUGUGAAUUAGAUUUAAUAAUUCAGUUUCUCUUUGAACAGUUAUACAACUUUUCUUGUUUAUUUUAGUUUCUGCACAUAUUUCACAUUUUUUCAUGUCAUUAUUAUUAACACUAGAAAGUAAUCCAAGUGAUUGCAUUUUCUUUAUGUAGCUAGCAUUAACAUGUCCUAAUCUAGCAUGACAUAAAGAAAUUGAAUCAAUAAUAUAAGCAUAAGAAGAUGCAUUUUUAUUGAUUACAUUUUGAACUCGUUGAGUACAAAUAGUCCCUGAUUACAGUAGUGAUAAGUUAUAUUUUUAUCAUUAAUUUUAUGAUUGUUUCCUCGUUUAUAUUACCAAAUAUUACAUUAAUUGAUUGAUUCUACUUAUAUUUGGUAUUUUGUGUCAAUUGUAGGAAGGCGGAGCAAAAAGCAAUAAAAGAGGUUAUUUUUCAAGACUUUCCCAAUUCAAAAUGGAGUCUACGUGGAUUAUUGGCAGAAGAUUAGGAGGAAGUCUAUUUUGUUUCAAAAAGUUAAAAAUUAGGAAAAGAAUAGAAUGGCUAGACCCGUGUGAUUAAUACUAGAAGGAGUCAACAAAUUAUCAAGACUUGGGACUUGGUUUCGUUUGACUAGUAGUAGUUUCCUUAAACAAUUCCUUAGUUUUCGAAAUUAGUGGCGGCGGACUAGUAGUUAAGAGGUCACUUAGGUUUUCCUUUCUUCUAGAGGGAAGAACUGUGACUCCUGGUUGAGGACGGCCGCUUGGCCCCUCAAUUCGCCUUGCUUUCAUUAGUUUUAGAGGAAUAAUCAAUUGUAGCAAAAUUCCAUGGAGUCUAGGAGAAUUUCUUCUAGGAUGAGCCAUUAAUCUUCUUUUCUAGUCGAAGGUCAAUUUGAGAACUCGGUCUUAAACAUCUGUGAGAUCGAAUUAUUUUACUUUUUUUUAUUCAUUGGUAUUUGUACGUUUUCUAAUUUAACUUCUUAUGCUUGUUAUGUUAUUUGAAUGUCAAGGGUCCGAUAUUCGAAUUAACCUAAUAAUCUACUGCCAGAUUAAUUAAUUGAAUCUGUAAUUGUUCAAUUGAUUAAUACCAGUGGCGACUAGCAUGAUUGAUUUCAUGUUAGGGAAACGUAUGAUCUAAAUUAAACAAACCCUCGUAGUGUAUUUGUUAGUUAGGGGCUUUUCUAAAUUCUUAAUGCAAUCGAGAAAUUAAAUCCUACAGUCGUACCUAGUGUUAUUUCUUGGUUAGAGAAAUAGUUAACGAUCGUACCUUGACUAUCGAAAAAGUAAGAAAAUGUUGGUUGUUUAUCGCGUGUAUGACAACUAUAACCAAUCUAUUAAUGAGUAAUUUAAUUAUCUUUACAUCGAUGAUCAGUUGAAUAAACCGUGUCUGAAAAGUUGCACCUUUGAUUAGAGUCGUAUUGGUUAUUGAUUAAUUCCUGUUUAUUUCUAUUAGUUGUUUCAUUAGUUAGUUAAUUAGUCAUUUUAUAUUCUCCAAAAAGCCCCCAUACUUCGCAUUUUGGAAGAAAUGAAUUAUCCCCAAUUCAUGUGGAUUCGACCCUGUUUGCCACUGUCUACAAGUUAAUAAUUUUUUGUCAGCUAAUCAAUUCUGGUAUAUCGGAUUAAACAGACUCUUCGGAAUCAGGGUAAAUCAAGUAACCCAUUGCACAUCCAAAAUCCCUACUCCAGUACCUGGAAUUGAUUGUUGACUACUUUUGGUGGUAGUUAGGUUUUUAUUAUUGCACAGGCCUCGAUACCUGUCAAGUAGCUCUUGCCCACAAAUACAUUAUUUUUUGUCAUUACAAUCUUAUCAGAUUCAAGUGACACUUUUACCCCAACUUUUCCUAACAAUGCUAAAGAAACCAAAUUUGCUCAAAUAUUCGGCACAUGCAGAUUCCCACUUGUACCUUUGAAUUUUCUUACAGGCCACAAUGAUGAAAAAUAGAUAUUGCACUGAUGAAACUAGAGAAAAUGUCAAGAAUUCAGGUAAAUGGAAGUGAGAACAAGGAGGAGAUGCGAAAAGUGGCUCGGACUAGGCAAUCAAUCUAACUGAUCAAUUCAGAAAAAAUUUUAUAUUUUUAUGAGAAUGCACUUAGGCGUUAUGAAUAUGGUCAAAUUUAUUAUCCUUCGCAAUCAACUUAUUGCACUAAAUGAUAAUUCCGGAAGAAUAGAAGGUCACAGUUAAUAUUGUGAAGAUUUAACUUUUAUGGUACCAUUGAAGCACCACAAACAAUCCCCCUUCCUUUUGGGUAAUUGGGUGAUCUUGUUGAUAAAAUGAAGUAAACCAAAGAAAGUAGUUGGUCUAGUGGAAGAAAAUUCAUCCAUCUAAUCCAGGAUGUCAGUCAAAUAUAAGCAAGGGCUAGUAAGUAUAAUUUGAUCGGCCAGACCAAAAGAGUGUUCUUACACUUUUUAUGAAUUUUUUUUACUAUAAACAGCAUUCGAAUCUCAGUCUACAGUCCAAAGAGAGAUUUAGUCUCUUUUUAACGGUCACUCUGAACCAAAGCACAAUAGUUUCGGUCAAAUUUCAUUUGGGUCUCACUAUUUUAGACCCUGUUAGCCCCAAUCGCCAAUAGAGUAAGGGGAUAAUCUUAGCCUUAGCUAAUAGCUACAUUCCAAUUUCUGUAGUCCUAGUGGAUAAGAAUACCAUACAAAAUCUAGCAUCCAAAAUCCAAAGGUACAAAAAGAAACCACAUCCACUUAUUAGUUCCAAGCUAAACUUCCAAAGCCAUCCAUGGCCACUAUCAGCUCUCCUUCAGCCAUCCUCUCAUCCUCCUCUAACACCACCCCAUCCUCUCCAAAACCACCAUCCAAAUCCCAACUCACAAUUCCACCUCCAAAAACAGCCUUAACUAACUUAACCACAACUUUGACUGCCACAGCUCUAGCCACAACAAUUCUAACCACCUCAACACCACCUUCACUAGCUGCAGUCUCACCCUCAAAUUACUUCAUAUACUAUGGCACAGCUGCUAGUGCAGCCAAUUACGGGGGUUAUGGCGGCAACUCGGACAAGAAAGCAUCAGCAGAGUACAUUUACGACGUCCCGGAUGGAUGGAAGGAGAGGCUAGUAUCCAAGGUUGAGAAGGGAACAAAUGGCACAGACAGCGAAUUCUACAAUCCCAAAAAGAAGCAGGAGAAGGAAUAUUUGACUUAUCUUGCCGGUUUUCGGCAACUGGCACCAAAAGAUGCUGUGCUGAACAACUUGGCUUUGUCAGAUGUUAGUCUGCAAGACCUUAUUGCUAGUGCAGAUAGUGUUACAUCAACUGAGAGGCAGGAUGCGAAUGGACAAGUGUAUUACGAUUAUGAAAUUGAGGGAAUUGGGGCUCAUAGCUUGAUAUCAGUAACCUGUGCAAACAACAAGUUAUAUGCUCACUUUGUCAAUGCACCAGCACCAGAAUGGAAUAGGGACCAAGAUGCUUUAAGGCACCUUCACCAGUCAUUUAAGACAGUUGGAUAGAAAUAGUACAUCAGUGUGUCUUGCUAUUUGCAUAAUUUUGUCCAUGAGGAAAAGAAAGCUAGUUGAAGAAGUAAUAAAAGGUUUCUUGUGAAUGUUUUUUGAUGACUGAUUAUAUGUUUCUGUUUUGCUUCUGUUGGAUGGGUUGUUUUCCAUAUGAAGGUGUAACUAAAAUGGUUUCUUUGAGAGGAAAAUUGUGUUUCUGGAAUAGGGGUUUUACAUUUCUUCACUAAUUUACCACUAAGACAACACCAUAGUUGAUUGUAGAGAGUGAUGUUCAAUUUUGUAUUACAAUGCUCAGUUAGAGCCUAUAUAGCUCAUAAACUGCUAUAGAAGUCAAUGUCUUCCAGAUGUUUCUCAUUACGUUACAUGAUUUUCAUCAAGUAACUUGAAGACAAUCUAUGCUGUCCAGCCUCUGUUAGGAAAGAGCAACUCAUCCUUUCAACAAUCUUGUGCAAAAUUUUUCCCCACCAUAAAAGACCAGAAUUUUCUCCUUUUCCUCCAUUUUUGGUUUGAGGCAGGUGGACUGUCGAUGAGAGGGAGUGAUAGUUAGAUGUACAUGAUAUCAGAAUUACUCAACACUGUCAAGUUUGUUAAGAUCAGUUAGCAAAAUUGUAAUUCAAGAAAGGGCUGUUUAUACUUCUUUGCUUGCCCUUUAGCAGAUAACUGAAAAGCCCAAAACCAAUGACUGGAUUCUUAAAUCUGAGCCAAGAAAAAUAAAGACGACCGAAUCAUUCUGUAAAAAAUUUCAAACUUCAACCCCUGCACAUUAGAUCCAGCAAUGGCAAAGAAUGAUUCAUGCCUCGUUCAGUUUGGUCUAAACAGAAAACUAAUAUUAAUAUACAUAAUCUACCUGAAAGCUUUCCUUUUCCAAUAUAUGAAACUCUUCAACUCAUCCGCCUAUGAACUCGUAAGUUAAGAUAAUCAGAAACGGAAAGAUCUCUAAACUACAAAAGAAUAAUACAAAACAAUUCUAAACUUCCAAGAAUUCAUACUUCUGAAAUCACUUUUUCAAAAAGAUGUCGGUCGGAGACUUCAUUUAUGGUUCUAGAAACAAAAAAGGUUUCAUGAAUGGACUGAGUUUAGCUGAAAAGGGAUCAGUCUUCGAAAUUGUAAGAUGAAUGAAGUUUUCAUUGGAAAUGCAUCCUUUCAUAUAUAAGCAACCAUGUUCCUUCUUUACAAUAUGAACCAUAACACUCGUUACCAACUCAUUGAUCAAUAGUCAUUGUUUCGGCAGGUAAUUGAUUAGUGGAUUGCAGGCUUUACAAAUGCAAAAGGAUAUACACAUAACCAAAGUUCCGUUAGUAUAAAGUGAAGCCAUCAUCAUAGGAUACAUGCCAUCCUUGCCUGCAAGGUGGGGCAUUCUCAUCAUACUCGGCACAACAGCUCCAUCGCUUUUUCCAGUUGGAUAUCCCUGUAUUUGGUCUAUUAUCCUUCUCAUUCCAUCUGUACACAAUUACACCAGAUUUAUCGCUCCACUCUCCAUCAAUACCUUGGUGUGGUGGGGCAAAUGCAAAUAAUCCUCUCUCUCCUGCAUAUUUAAAUAGUCAGAAUUCAGUAAAGAGAUGUACUUUUGUUAUUAAACCAUAUGUUGCAAUAUCUGAUAGAAUAUUUCUGAGCUUUUAAACCAUAAAUAUGACAAAUUGAUGGACAGGAAGGCAAAAAAAGGAUCUAGAUAAUAAUGCUAUCUGAUUUUAGUUGCUGCAAAGCUUAUGAUACACUCAGUCUACCCACCUGGGAAUUAUUUCUUCAUUAGUUUCAGUUACAGACAUAUGGAUUCUCAUGUGGUUUGGAUUACACGUUACAAAUGGGCACGUACAUUAACAUACACCAUCACAUACAUUCCUUGGUAUUUCACCAUUACUACAAUUCUGCAACUCCUUUCAGAAAUCCAACCUCUUUAUAACAUAUAUAAUAUUGGUAAAGUCGUAGCAUCCAUCCUAAACCGUGUCAAAAGGUCAUAUGAAUGCUUAACUACCUUGUUACUUAUAAUGUAGUUAUAGAAGAACUCUAUAUCAAUAUUAUAGCAUCUUAAUGAAGCAGCCCUAAUCUCCACUUGAUGAUAAUUUCUUUUCUCUUGCAUCGCCAAAUUACAAAAAUGCUUUUCGGCUAUACUGGUUAUCCUCAGGACAAAUGAAAAUUUGUUCUUUCUGGAGUCUGAAGGUGCACCUAAUACUGUAGCUUUUGAUUUUCCAAGACUGCAAACAAGAAAUGAGAUAAACAUGAGCACUAUAGUAGAAUUCCAUGAAUAUGAGUUGAAUGUGAAUACACAAUCACAGGUUUAAAGUUACUUAGGUAUUUUAUACAUUACAACAUGGACCACAAACGCGAGCGCGCGCGCACAACACAGAGAGAGAGAGAGCAGUGAAAUGUUGAUGGUACUACAGAUGUUUAAGGAAAUUGCAUUUGCUAAACUAGGGACUGCUUGCUUUUUUCAUCAGCAUAGAGACAGAGAGCUCCAAACUACUUCAAAAUAACCAGAGACAUAAAAUUUAAUGGGAAUGCUGAUGGUAAAUGAGGUACUUUCACCCACACCUCAGAAGUACCUAAUGUGCUUUUUGUUACUUUUAACAGCUAUUAACAUCCUUAUUUGGUUGAAUGUAAACUACUUGGGAAAAAUUUGCUACAGUCCUCUAUUUUCUUGGCCAUGCAAUAUGCAUCUGCAACAACAAAGCCAAAUUGCCAGGGAAAAGUGUAGAACUCACUGUGAUGUUGCUAAUUUCCUAUGCAUUCAGGAACCAGCAUCAACCUCAGUGUGGUAAUGACAAAAGUAUGGCUAAAGUUUUUAAACAAUGUAUAAGUUCACUAAUAGCUAACAUCAUCCUAAACUAAGCGAAGUUUUUGAGAUACUGGUAUCAUCAUCUAUACAAAAUCGCUUCUCUGAACAUCUAAUGUGACAAGAAUUGCUAUGAGGAAUCUUAUAUCUAAAUAUCAAAGAAGCAAAUGACUACUAUGGUCCUGUGGAUGAUCAGGAGUGAAGCCAGAUAAGCAAUACUUCCUAUUCCCUAAAUUUACUUCCCUAGCUCUGACUAAUGCCUGAAACACGUCUCUUGUUCACCACCAGGACUACCAAAAAAUAAUCAAAUUCAAUCCAUGAAGAUCAUAUGAUCUAUUAGUUUCAGGCAUAAAUGUAUUCCUUGGUACUUCAAAGUUCAAUCAAAUACAGUGGCAUGACAUUUUAUGAUGCUGUAGCACUUUCUUCUAAGCAGAAUGCACAAUCACUUUCAAAAUUCCAGGACUAAUAGGCUAAAUCUUGUUCGAAUAGCUUUCUGCUCAUGUUAUUUAUGGAUGUAUUGUCUUAUCUUACUAACUAUUAAGAUAAACCAAGUUCAGGCAUUUCAGUCGAGUGAUAGGGACACUGGACCGAAAUGAGUUGAAUGUAACUGUAUUAUCAUAAGUUUGAAGUUACUUAAGCAUUUUGUGGAUUAGCGAGAGAGAGAGAGAGAGAGCAGUGAAAUGUCGAACAUGUUCCAGAUGUUUAGGAAAGUGCUUUUCUGCACAGCUUAGAAACAGAGAGCUCAAAGUAAGCGGCGCAUGAAGCAGAACAAUAGUCUGCCUCUCGGAUGAUGUACAAAUACUUCAAAGGAACCCAAGAGGCAAGAACAUAAAGGGAAUGCUAGUGGUAAAUGAGUUACUUUCAUCCUCCCCUCAGCAGUAUCUAAUAUGGUAUUUAUUUAAAACAACUAUUAACAUCCUUACUUUCUUGAAUACAAACAAUUUGCACAGAUAUGGCUACAGUUCUCUAUUUUCUUGGUCAUGAACAAUGCAUCUGUAAACAAUGAAGAGAAAUUGCAGGAAUAAGUAUAGAAUUCAUCAUGAUGUUGCUAUUCUCCAAUACAUUCGCAAAUCACCAUGAACCUCAGUCUAACAAAGUACGAAGUAUGGCAACAUUUUUUUGAACAAUGAAUUAGUCCACUAAUAGCAAAAAUCAUUGUAGAAUGAGUGAAGUAUUUUGAGGUACUGGUGUUAUCAUCUACAUAAAAUCACUUCUCUGAAUGUCUCGUGUCACAAAAAUUACUAUAAGAAAAUUUUUGUCCAAAUAUCAAAAAAAUAAAUGACUAUAAUAGUCCUGUGGAUGAUCAGGAUUGAAGCUAGGUAGGCAAUAUUUCCUAUUCCUUAGAUUUACCUCCCUCCCUGUGACUAAUGCCUGAAACACAUUUUUUUUGCGCCACAAGGACUACACAAGAUAAUUAAAUUCGAUCCAUGAAGAUGAUAUGAUCUAUUAGUUUCUCACACAUACAUAUAUAUUCCUGGUAACUGCAAAUUCCAAUUAAAUACAAUGGCAUAACAUAUUAUGAUGCUGUAGGAUUUUCUUCUAAGCAGAAUGCAUAAUCACUUUCAAAAUUCCAGGACUAAUAAGCUAAAUUUUGUUCCACUAGCUUUAUGCUCAGGUUAUUUAUGGCUGUAUUGUCUUGUCUUACUAACUAUAACGCUGUCCCGGUUCAGCCAUUUCAGUUGAGUGCUAGGGACAUUGAACUGAAAACCAGAGGUAUCAGUUUGUAUCUCCUCCCCUCAAUCAUAUCAAUAGAAGAGAAAAAGUAUACUAUAUGAAAACCACUAUAAAAGCCUAAACUCCAUUCAUGUCAAUCCUUACUUCGUCAUGAUACUUUUCCCUCGAAAAACGAAUAUCCAUUUCACAUACUCUACAAUUCAAUAAUAGUGUCUCCGAAUCAUCUUUGACUAUUACACCUCAGGUGUUACACUCUCUAUUACACCAUUACCAUGUAUAAGGAUGACCGUUUCACUAUAUAGGGUGACAGUGACACGUCUUUCAUUAUAGAUGAAGGAAAUGAGUCCCUUGGGGAGUAUAAUUAUCAAAAUCCCAUCACCAAUUACUUCAAACAGAAGCAGAAGAAAGGCAUUUCAAAAUAAUACUUGUGAUUUUUCCACCAAAAAAAAUCAAUAAUGAUAUUUUCUUUCCUGGUUUUAGUUUCUUUAUUCUUCUCCUUGUUCCACAUGAUAUUCUGUACAAAAUAUAAUGAACGCAUACCACUAGUGUGGCCAUGGAAAGAGCAAGCAGUUGGAGAGUUAUCUUUAUCUUGAUAAAUAGUGUUGCACCUCAGGCAUCUCUUCCUCUCCUUUGCACAGAUUACUUUCUGUAGCUUCUGAGGUUGUCUAUGGCUGAUAUAUGAACCUGAGGAUGUUCUCAUUUUCUGAAUUCUUGAUGGGUUCCAGGGGAAACUUUGAGGAAGAUUAUACACCAAAGCCAUAUGGGAUUCUGUCCAAAUGAGAGUCGAGUUUUUUCUUCAGUUCAUCACAGCUCGACAGCUUCAAUCAAUGGCGAAGAUGCAGAGAUGGGUAGGAAGAAAGAACAGAUGUUUACACUGUGGCCCCUAUGAUUUUUCGCUGCUUCAAAUUAGCCCUGCAAAACGAUUCUCAUUCCUUCAUUUUGGACCUUUUGGUCAUUGACUCGUUGAUUUUUUAAUUCUCUCUCUUUUUUUUUCCAAUUAUCUUUUUUGUAAGUUUAGGUGUGGGCCUGUGGCCAUAACUCCAGAGUCCAAUCUGGAAGGCCGACAAUGAAACAAAGCUUAUUUUGUUUUUCAUUUCGGUUGGUGGGUUCUUGGACAACCAUUGAUAAGUGGAUCCUAUAGUUGUUUGAAUAUUUUGGGCUUCUCUUUUAUUAGUAUCUAGUAGCAGUUAGACUAUAGUCCUCAUUGAGCAGGUAAAACCCAACUAUUUGAUGCCCUGGGUAGGGGUGUCAACAGGUCGGGUUUGGAUCUGGAUCUGACCUGAAUUCGAUAAAUUUUUCUGAGUUUGAGUUGAAAAAUAAUUCCGAUACUCGGACCCAGACUUGUACUCAUUUACUUUAACAAAACGGAUCAGAUACGGAAUAUAGGAUUCCGAUUCGGACUCGAACAAUAUAUUAAUAAUUAUAAAAUAUAAAUAUUUCUAAAUACAUUCUUUUACCAAAUUAACAAUUUAGUAAUGACUUUGUAGAUUGAUUUGUGGUUAGCUUUGGAUUGACUAUUGCGAAUUAUUUGUGAUUUAACUUUGUAAUUUGAUUUGUUUAAGUUUGGAGAUUGAAUUUAUGGUCGAUUUUGGAUUUAAUUUUGGAAUGUUUAAAUCUGAAUUUUUUCUUUCUGGGUAGAUUAGGAUCCAACUCGGGACCCGUUGGAUCUGAUGACCCGUCGAGUAUAUGGGUCGAGUCUGGAUCUACUAUACAAAAACAGAUUUGGGUUCGGAAUUUUCAAUUCUGACUCAAACCCCACUUGUUGACACCCCUAACCCUAGGUUUGGUUAAUAUGCAAUUAGUAAUUGGCCUUAAAAAAGUGGUAGUAAGAUUUUCUAGGACACCGUUACUACACGUAAAUGACCCACAACUUAUCAUGUUAGCGUGCGUGCUCAUAAAUGUACCUCUAUAUGUUAAUACUUUUUUCAAAUUAUUUUAUUUUUCCCAAAAAAAUUAACGUAUGAAUGCCCGUAGAUCAGCCAAACCCAAAAAUAGUGAACACGAAUAAUAAUUGAGUAAAUAUUAUAUGCACUGAUAGUAUGUACACUAUUACGAUUAGAUAUACGACACAUAUGUAAAAUUUGAAUUUUAAAUUUAAAUUCGAAUUAUGUGUUAUGUAUCCAAUAGUGAAAAUAUAUACGCUGUCAAUCAGUGUAUAAAAGAUUAAAUAGUUCAAACAGAGUAUUGGCUUAAACAUACAAUUGAACAGCAUAAUUAAGGGUGAUUGAACUUCUUAAAUCAUCGUCAUCUUUCAAAAUUUGGAGGCUCCUGCAUUACGAAUACUACCUUCCUUUGUAUUCACUUUUUACCAGAAUUACGUUGCCAGUAAUAUUCAUCAGCUGGGAAACCAUUAAGGACAUCAGCCAUCAUGCUUUGUAGUUCUAUUGAAAACAUCAAAUGAUGUGUCCUUUGUUUUCCAAUAAAAGUGACAAAAAAAAAUAGUGUCAAUCUUAAAAAAAAUCUGGAUGACUAUGACAACAUAAACAUGAUGUUUUGGAUCAAAUAAAUCCCAGAAUGAUGCAUGUGCUAGGACAAAGCACAAUAAUGUAACAAGCAAGAGAAGAAUACUUUUAGCUUUUGUAUGGUGCAUUUUGGUAAUAUGCUCUUGUGAGUUACUAGUCUCCACAUACAUAUAGAGCUACAUAGAGGAAUUAAAUUUGGUUCUUGGGAUAAAGUUAACGAAUAUGGAAGUUUGUAUUGAUAAUGCAAAUUACCCUGUGACUCAUGUCAAUACUAUCUAACACAAAUGAAAUGAAGCAAUUAAGUAAAGAUUAAACUGUUUGGUUAACAAGUGCAUGUCUAUUAGAUAUUCGAAAAGGCGAGGUUCAGGUGUUAAAUUUUUUCUUUUUUUUUUUUUGUAUAAAUUAUGAUUUUAUUGAACUAAAAUAAGGGAACAUUAUACAAUUUUUAACUCAUGCUUCUCCUACGAAAAUUAGGGCAACCUAACCGCUCCAUUUGGAUCUCGCCCCCGGACCAUAGCAAGCAAUUUUUUUUGCAAAAGUGUAAUUAAUUCGGGAAAGUGUAUUUAUAUGAUAAUGUUUUAAUGAAUAUCUAUUGUACACCCGUUAAAACCAAGAUUAAAUUAAGUGACUCAAUUAAAGUUUGAGCCACAGUGUCACCCUGUGGUAAUCAUUUAUUUUCCUUUAAUAAUGGAAAGACUUCACCACGUUUACGUGUCAAGUAAUUAAUGAGAUAACUAUAUAUUGCUUCUCAAAAUAUUUGUAUUACAAUGAAGAUCCUAUUCAGAUGGAAGUUGUAAAAUGCAUAAAAUGCCGACGAGUUGAUAUUUGGAAAUAACACAAGAGAAUUAGGCCACACUACUAUACAUACAUCAAUAUUUAAAGCAUGUAAAAUUACGUAGUGAUAAUAUUCAAAGUAGACCGAUUAAAUAAAUUUGCCUCAAGGUAGCUUAUUAUACUAAAUCACACAUCGUCUGCCUAACGAGUGUCAAAUUACAAGUCAGGUAUUAAUAUUUUGAAAAUGUAAAGUUAAAUAGAGAAAGGUUAUAUAUACAAGGCAAGAUAAUAAACAUUAGUGUGUGAAUUUACAUGAUAGUUUAAAUAUGAUUUAUGUGUCUUAACAAGUAUUCAUUAGACGCUUGUUAGGAAAAUCCGAUUAACAACCCAGUAUAGAUUUUUGCUCAUCAUUAUACAAUUACAACCUGUAGCCUGCAGGAGUACACCUCAAACUUUUAAGUUCUCCAUUAUAGACACUAAUCAAUAAAAAUUUGAAAAAGUUUAGGGUAAACCUUACUUAAGGGAUGGGAGAUUUUCUGUAAACCUUGGUGGAUGGGCAUGGCAGGGAAUGCUGCAGCAGCAAAGCUAAUCAUAUAUGCUUUGCAGCCAGCCUGGGAUUUGGGCUUCAGGAAAGCAGUUUUAGAUAAAAAUAAGCAAGUAGGAUUUUCAGUGAUAGAGAAAGCAAAUUUCCCAUAAAAGUCCACAGCAUCAUAGUUGUAAUUAGGCUAGUAAAGAAUAGUUAACUAAACCAUACGAAUGCAAAUUAGGGCAUAUAUGAAGAGAAGGAAAUGCAUGCAGAAUGAUCAAGUGGGAAAGAUGAGUGUAAUUAUAUGAUUAACUAGGCUCAAAGAACCCCUAACUUCCCUGCCCCCCACCACCAAGUUUCAUGCAACUAAUUAAUAGGAGUUAGUGUUAUUAUGUCACUAACUAUGUCAAUAGGUAGGAUUUAAGUUGAUCUACUAGAUUCAAAUCUACAGAAGUAUCGUUUCAAAUUCAAAUUAAGACCUAUAUCUCGACAUAAAUGGGUUUGGAUACUGAAUAAGUAUGGAUGACUUAAAAUUUAUGCACAAUCAAUGAAGAAUAGUAAAAAUGAAUUUCAAAUGUAUGAUAAACAUAAUUCAAUUACCAUUUUUAAAUGUUAAAAUCACCAUUCCUACAAAAUGUUACAUGUAAGAAUGAGAAUUAAAAUUAUAGAGUUAUAUCAAUGAAUUGUAUUUCGCUAAAAAAUUUUCUACAACAUCCAAUACUAAGGGUGUGUUUGAUAAAACUAAAAUCUGAAAUCUGAAGUCUGAAUUUAUUAAGUUAUUGAAUUGUUAAGUAUUAAAUCUAAUACAUUUGAAUGUAUAUCACAUUUAGUGAUAAGUGAAUAGCUUAUCACUUAAUUUUGGGAGUAAGUUUUGUCUAGGAAAUUCAGUGCCACUUAGUUAAUUCAGAUGUUUAAUUUUUUAUUAUCAAAUAAUCUGAAUAUGUUAAUAUCCGAAUUUAUUAAAUUUAAGUGAUGAACUGAAUUAUCAAACCCGGCCUAUAGCCUGUGUGUAUUUAAAAAUUCCUCCACUUUUUCUCGUUUUGCUUUAAGAGUAUGUCAUUAUGUAAUUUGAAUCUUGCUUAUGAAAUUUAAUCAUUGAAAGUCAUUUUACUAAAAAUAAAAGUACUAAUAGUUGCGAACUAUGCAGAAAAAAUAUUUUUUAGGUAAAAAGAAUAUUAUUUGACACAAUUACACUAGAUUACUGGUUAAGAAUUGAAGUCUGCUUGUGGACCAUAGAUUCCUUUGAUUGACCUUUUCUUGUCCAGGAACAUUAAGUUCAUUCUUAACCUUCCCAAAACAACAGAAAAAUGGUCCUAGUUUUCUCCACAGAACCCGAAUCAAAAGAAAGCGGGAAGAAUACAUGGUUUACAAGGCAAUCAACCACAUCAACAUUAGCCAUUUUCAUCGGCAGGACAUCCAUUGGCUGGUGAGGGUGGUCCAUUACACACACUUUUAAGCAUUUAUUAAAAGGGUUGAAAAACACUUUUAAGCAUCCAUCAAAAGGGUUGAAAAAUUUUACAAACCAAAACCAAAUUCUUUACUAUUGACAUAGAUACUACAUUCUAUCCACCCAAAAACAACACCAAUCAAUCCCUCUAAUAGAACAUCCCACACAAAACAAUAAGAGAAGAAAAGGAAGGAAAAACGCUUCUAACCACGUUAAGGCAAGAAUAAAAAGGAAAAGAAAAUAAACCAAGGAUCCCCAUUAACUUCCAACAAUUCCAAUUAAUGUCAAGCUGGAGAUUCCCUUUCUUGAUCGAUAUCAGAUGCUGAAUCAUCCUCUUCUUCAGAAACAUGAAUGCCUAAUGCUCCAUGACCACGACCAAAUGCUCUUAUAUGAUCCUUGAGAGAUCUUUUAUGCUUAAAAUCAGAACCACAAAUGCAAUACCAAAUUUUCCCACAAUUCUUCUCAUGAGUUCUCCAAUCACCCUUCACUGCAAAAGGCUUACCACAUUUUCGACACAUGAAAGGCUUAAUCCCAUGCUUUCUCUUAUAAUGUGUUUGAAGGGUUCUGAAAUCUUUCAGCGGUCUGGUUCUUGGAUGAUCAAUAUUGUGCUUGCACCCUGGUGCACAACAAUAGCAAGGAAGCUUCAACAUUGCUGUUGGUUGAGUUCCCCUCAAUGAUUCUGGCCCUUUCCUGUAUUGAGAUCCAUGUCCCCACAUAUGCAUCUGCAAUUUUUUUUAAUUCAAAAUUUAAUUUAAACAAAAAAAAGUACUAACCAGGAUAACUAGCUAUUUUAUUUCACAAAAAAGAUAAUUUGGAAGGUCAGAAAUUUAUAAUUUGUAUUAUUAUUUCAAUAAAGAAUGAGGAUUCUACGAUCAUGAAAACGAUUUUGAACUAAUAUGCAUGAUUUAAGGUCUCUUUGUGAUUUCAAUUAUUCUUGUUCUCUGUACAUUGACUCUUCAAGGCUAGGAGCUACUAUGGUAUGCUGGAGCUAUUGCUACAAUUUAUUUAGUCAAAAUUAUAUAAUCUCAUACUAUAAGUACCUAAAUGGUAAUUGUUGACUCUUAACAAAAUUCAUGGAGUGGAUAAGGAAAAUCAUGGAGUGGUUAAAAGCCGUUGGCGAGCCUUUGGCAAUAGUCUUGGUGUUUCUCCUCCCACUUUUCCCUCUAUUCCACAUCGAUUGUAAGUGGUGUGUGUGUGUACUACUUAAGGUGCUCAGUGUAGCCUGAAAGUCAGCAUGCCUUUUGGGUUGGGCUGUGGGUUUCCCUUAGGUAAUGUGUGUGUGUGUGUUUGUUAUUUCUCCCCUUAGGUAGUGUGUGUGUGUGUGUUUGUUAUUUCUCCCCCUUUCCCUCUAUCCCACAUCGAUUGUGAGUGGUGUGUGUGUGUACUACUUAAGGUGCUCAGUGUAACCUAAAAGUCAGCAUGCCUUUUGGGUUGGGUUGUGGGUUUCCCUUAGGUAGUGUGUGUGUGUGUGUGUUAUUUAUGGUUGUUGGUGGAUAAGGAAAAUCAUGGAGUGGUUAAAAGCCGUUAGUAAUCCUUUGGCAAUAGUCUUGGUGUUUCCUCUCCCCCUUUCCCUCUAUUCCACAUCGAUUGUGAGUGGUGUGUGUGUACUACUUAAGGUGCUCAGUGUAGUCUGAAAGUCAGCAUGCCUUUUGGGUUGGGCUGUUGUUGGUGGAUAAGGAAAAUCAUAGAGUGGUUAAAAGCCGUUGGUGAGCCUUUGGCAAUAGUCUUGGUGUUUCUCCUCCCCCUUUCUCUCUAUCCCACGUCGAUUGUGAGUGGUGUGUGUGUACUACUUAAGAUUCUCAGUGUAACCUGAAUGUCAGCAUGUCUUUUGGGUUGGAUUGUGGGUUUCCCUUAAGUAGUGUGUGUGUUAUUUAUGGUUGUUGGUGACUCUUAACAAAAUUCAUAAAUUUUGGGAAACUUCAUAACUUUAUUAAAAUUUCAAGACAGAAAAUAUCAUUUCUGAAUGUAUGAAAUUAUUCUUUUUUUUUAUCUAAAGGGACAACUGAAAUCUUGGGGUGGCUGCCUUCCUUUCUCUUCCACUCUUGCAUCAACUCAUUUAUGCUGCAGAUUGCAGAUUGUGUACUAGACAAGAAUUUAAUGCACAAUUAGAAUUUCUACGGAUGGAAGUCAUGUAAAGCACUAUUAUAUUGCACUGACUAUCUGUCAGAGCGAGCUUCUUUGUUGAACAAAUGAAUAUUCAAACAGUCAAGCACCAACUUCAAAGUUUUUACUGUCGAUUGGUAAUAGGGGAAAGGAACAGGAACAUUAAUAAAAAAGAAUAGUGGGGGAAUAAAUGAAAGAAAUGAAACAGGAAUUUUGUUAUCUGAUUGGAUGAAGCGGACAAAUCGAAUGCUAUCAUCCAUUCAGUUGUUGCUACAACCUUAAUCUUAAAAUGAAAAAUGUCAAACUUGGCAAUUGGGAAGGGAACUUUCAUAAUUUAUCUCUAAAAUAUGCUACUAAAUUUCGCAUGUUUAUGCAUUUAUUAGAUUUGAGUGCCAAAAUCAAGAGGAAAGUUCCAUUUCCAAGCCAAAAACUGUCUUUCUUGCUGAACUGAAAAAGUGGAACAUGGUAAAUCAAAGCAUAUUGUUUCUCAAGAGUCCAGUUUUCUAAUGCAUAUCAAGAGCUGUAAUCCAAAACCCUUGUUGUAUAACAGCUUACUUUGUUAAGAUUUGGUACAACAUUAUAAAGUUUGUAAAAGUAUUACGAUAGAUAAUACCUUUGAAGGUUUCAAUCUAAUAAAAACAAGAUUUGUGCUCUCCAAUUACUCUUUUGAUCCACGUGUCUUCUUGAAUUGGUUCUAGUUUGAAGGUAUGCCAAUUUUGGUGAUGUGGGCUGUUUUUUUUUUUUUUCUUAGUGAACUAAAGUUCCUAUAUAAUGUGUUCCUUUCUUUUAAGAAAAUUUUUCCUCGUACUAGUUCAGAAGGUACCUAGCUAAGAUUAAUUCCUAGGGCAAGCAGGGCUAGUUUCUUGUCUUUGUGAAGGAAUACUCAGAACUUAGAUCUAUUUACAUUUCCACAAAUCAGGAAUGCAAUUUAGCAUAUACCAUACCUGCAAGUUAUUGUAUCUGUUGAAAGUCUUGAAACAGACAGGACAUGAGAACUGUGUUGGACCAAUGAGAAUCUGAGAAGGUGAAGGAAUCCAAUACUGGCCUUUGUUGAGCUUGUCGUUCAAGGGCAACUCUGAUAGUACAUUACCACCUUCCUUUUCUCUUUUGUCCCAAUUACAAGAAGGAAGCCUAGAGGAGGAUAAAUCAGAACUAGGGCUUGGAAGCCCUAUGUUUAGGGCAACGGUUACAAAAUCAUGAAGAGGAGGAGUUCCUGAAAGACUACUCUCAGUUUUAGUGCUAGUGCACCUAUCAUCCUCCAAAGCAUAGCCUGAGAAGUCCUGCUGCUCAUCUGGUCUAAAGCUUAGGUUAUUCAGAAGUGGAAGAGCUUCCUUUCUGGGAGGUGAAGGAGGCGAAAGAGAGAAUUCAAUUUCACUUGAAGAUAUACUGUUCACUGCAUUUGAAUUGGAUGAUGAGAAGUGAGGAUGAUGAGGGAUAAAGUUACACCAUCCAGGAAAGAAAUUAUAGUAACAAGGUUCAGCCAUAAUGGAGGCUUAGUCUAAAGAAUCAAGCAAGCCAACAAGAAGUGAUUGAUUAAGUAGCUAGAUUGGCUGCAAGAGUCUCAGCUUUUUUCAACAUAUAUAAACAGUCGGCAUUCUGGGGGAAUGGGGGAGAGAGGAGUAGGAAAAGAAGUAUGAGGAGGAGAAUUUGAGCAGGAAAGAUAACUUGUGAUAGUGAAAGAUCAGAAGUGUUUCAAAUGAUGGUAUGGAAAUCAAGAAAUUAACCCCACCCACCCCCCCCACCCCCCAACCCAAAAAAAAAAACAACCCCUUAAGGCUGAAAAAAUAAACCAUGAAAAAAUGUAGGUGAGAAUGAAGAUAAGAUAACACAAAAAAGGAAGAAAGAAAAGCCAUAGACUUGAGUCAGAAAGCUUUAUUUUACCACUAGAACGAAAUUCUAACAUGGAGCAGUUUCAUGUUGGUCACACGUGAGUAGUGGGUUCCACCUCAUCUGAUAAGCCCUGAAAAACUGCUUAUGGGUAAAUGGGAACUAGUUCUUCACUUCGAUUAUGUCUUGCUUAUUAUUUAUGUACAGUUAAAUGAAUAAAGUGUCGGAAGAAAUAGUAGGAGGUGAAGCAUGCAAUUGAAGCAAUAGGAAUUGCAACUUUCGUAGAUGAUACAAAAUUAAUGACCUGUUUCGUUUGUUUUUUGUGUUCAAUUCAUGCCUCAAUUGAUGGAGCCCUCAUAUGGCAAACAAGGUUUUUCAAUGGACCAUUGACGAUGACAACUCUAUAAUGGUGCAAGAUUGUUUAUUUUGGAUAGACACAUUCAUUUGCUAAGGAAGAGAUGAGACAGAUGGGUCAUUUGCAGGAGAUUAUAGAAGAAGAUUAGUGCUGUCAACUUGUCCAUGGUCAAUUGAGAUAUAGGUUAACAAAUUGACAAACAUAUUUUUGUUUGUGUGAGAAGAAGAUGGAAUCAUAUUGUUUACGUUUGAAAUUAACCUCAAUUUGAGAGGUAAAUAAUAUACAUUUUGGAAUGAAUGGUGAUAUAAAGUUACUACUUUUUCACAAGUACCCCAUGGAGUAUUAAGAGAAGAAAAUCCAAAAGCUCAUAGAUGGAUUGUCCAACUGAGUUUCCACUAUUCUUCAAAACUCACACGUGCAAGUCAAACUAUAUACUGUUAAAAUUGGUCAUAUGACAUUAAAGAAUGCCAACAACUAUACUUCAACAGUCAAUACAAAACAACUAUACUUCAACAGUCAAUACAAAACAACUAUACUUCAACAGUCAAUACAAAACAACUAUACUUCAACAGUCAAUACAAAACCCUCCUUGUUUAUUCUUUUUACUUACUAAAGCACUCAACUGGAUAAUGCAACGAAUGCGUCAAAAGUUACUGCGGACAUGCAUAAUAACAAAGAACUACAAUUUCGUUUCCCCUUUGAACAGCAAAAGUGCACAUGGUCAUGAGCAAUGUAGAGAGUGCUUUUUGUUUUUUCCUUCUUUGAUAGGUAGAAAUACACCUUAUUGAUCAAAGUAUUAAGGUAUUAAAUCUUCUACAUCUCUUACGUCUUAUCCUCAUGGUAUCUUGAUCUUUCCAAUUCCUUGCACAUUAUGUGAGACAGAGAGCAAUAAAUUUCGUCUUUUAUAAGAAGCAUCUUCUAUCUGACUUGGAAUGGAAUUAGGCUGAAUUAUAUAUAUAUAUAUAUAUAUAUAUAUAUUGAUAUGUAAAGGGACAAAAGGAAUGUACAACAGUUUCUGAAAUAUUUUUUCUGACAGGCGUAGCAAUAAAAUUAAAUGGAUGAAUAAUAAAAUCUGUUAAUGUACAAGCAAACCAAUAAUGCACAUGAACAGUACUAUGGUUUUGUUGAAUAUUUAUGAGGAUUUCAGUACGUGUAAUCAGAGAAUUAUAGAGCAAUGUCUUGUCAAAAUUUAUGAGAUUAAUAAUCCAUGAACAAAAAUCGACAAAACAUACGAAAACAUGUGAGGAAAAUGCUAGCUAGGUAAUAGUGAAUCUUUGAUAGUAAUAGUUCAGCAUUUGGUGCUUGAGAAAUUGUUAGCUAAGAGGUAGGCUGAAUGCUAUUGAAUGAAUCAUUUUCGCCAAGAACUCUAGAAAGUCCUUAUACACAAUAUACAUUUUAUGAAAGUUAAAUUUUAGUGAUUAAUUACUUCUUCAAGAAACAUGUGCGUGCCCAUGAGUUUUAAGGAACAACCAAUCAUACUUUGCUUUAAGUAGAAAAGAACAAACAAUAACUUGCCUCACUCCCUAUGCUCAUGAAUUAGUUCGUAUGAAUCACAUAUGGGACGUAGUAGGAGAUUUAAUCCAAACACUUCAAUGGACAAAAGGGUUUUAGCACAGCAUAUAUCUAUGUAUAUAAUUUUUUUGUAAAACCUAGGCUGUGGUUUCGGGAAACAUACCAGUAGUUAAUUUUAGUGACCAACGGUUGGAACUUAUAUAGGUUUGACAACUUUUGAAGAGAAGUGUUAAUGCCAAUCUUGAAUUCCUAAUUGAGGGAUUAAUUUACAAAGCAAAUAUGUUGACUAUUCUAGCCUAGUUUAUGCCAAAUUUAGCGGGACUAACAAAUCAUUUUCCCAAAAAAUAUUACUACCACUAGAACUACUUGCACGGAGACAAUUGGAUGAGGGAUUCUUUAAUUGGAUGAUCUUCACUUAAGAAUUCUCAAAAGGUUUGCAUUGUUUGCAAAAACCAAGGGUCUUUCCUUUGACUGGCAACUCAUGCUUUUGCCAAUUUCAAGAGUGCACGAGUGUGUAGUUAAUCUUUGGGAGCAAGCCGGUCUUGUCUUCAAGUCCCCACGUUUGUGAAUUGGUUUUGGUGGUUUCGAAACAUCUCUGCCUCCCAAUUUGCAAGUCCUGGGAAGAUUAAAUUAACGAGAUUUUGACCCUUUUCUUCUUUUUGCUCCAAUUACCAAAUUCAUUGUUGAUUAUUUGAGGGGUCAAUUGCCAGUACAAUCCAUGCAGAUAAAACGUUCGACACUGUGUAGAGCAUUCGACUAGGGAUUUGGGAUUUGCAGAGACGAGAUAUAUUGAGAUUACCAUUGCGGAAACAUUUUCAAAAGUGUCUGGGAACAAAAUCUAAUUCUCAGAUGUAUCAUCCAAAAAUAUUCAAUUUUCUUAACGGAACGUAUGACAAGUUCUGGAAACUUGUGGGAUCCAUCUAUGAAGGUUUGCUAGUUUUCUUGGACAUGCAUCUGUUUUUAGUGGCUACUUUCCGGCUAUUCCUAAAGUUUCUGGUCGCAACUCACAAGCAUAGGAAAUGCGAACUAUUUUUGUUCAGUUUUAAAGAUUUCAAUUCGCUGUCUUAAAAAUGAGAUCUUGUCACUAAUCAUCAAUAUUAUUCUUCAAACCUUUUUCCUUCCCCUUUUCCAAAAAAAAAAAAAAAAAAUUCCCCUUCCCCGUCUGGAGUUAAAAUAUACAAAACAAAAUCUCAUGAGAAUAUUAUCAAGAUAUUCAAGGUUUCUUUAUAUUAUUAUGAGUGCCUUUCGGAUUAUACUCUAGAUUUCUAACUAUUAUAAAGACAUAAACUUCAAAAAAGACCAAGAAUACAAGUCAUAAAGAUGUGCAUACAUCGCUAUUUAGUUAAAACAAAGAAGAUUGCUUGGUUAUAGUGUUAAUAUUUUUCAUGUUAUAUAUUUGGUUUAUAGUUUGCUCCAAAUGAUGUUUGUUGGCAAAAUAAAUGAAGUGUAGAAGUUUCUGUUUAUUUAUUUACUAGUUUUAUUGAAGUCGGCUUUUUCGUAUUUGUGUGAUUUAGGAAUUUAUAUUUUAUUUGGUAAUUUCUUAUGCAAGUGAUUUCAUAUUUGAUAAGUUUUAGUAAGUCAUGAAUAGGGCAUUAGUUGAGGUAUUUUCUAAAAAGAGUCUAAGAGCGUCUGUAAUGAUUUGUUAUAGUGUGAUUUUCUUCCAUUCUUUGAUAGUUCAAUAAUAGUGUGAAUUAUUAUUUUUCACUCCCACAUAAAUAUAUUUUGAAUAAUUAUUUUAUCCAUUCAAUUCUAUAACCUUACACGUACUAAUGAUUAUUAGAACCGUAAAUUUGGAUUCUACAAUUAGUACGCGAGCUAGACUAUGAGAUUAUUCUUGAGCGUUUCUGUUGUCAAACAAUUAAGGCACAAGAUUUGCUAAAAAGUACUCAGUUGAUCGAAUAAUACCUCAAGAUUGGUGUAGGAGUGUGCAGUUGGUGAAGAUUGGACCAUAAAUAGGUUUGAAAAUUGUCAGAUUGUUACAGGUGUUAUGACAAAGAUUAGAGACGAAACCUCUUAGAUUGUUGAUUGCUUCGGAUUGUCAUAUUGAAGGAUUUGAUUGGUUAAUCAACUAGAGAGGUCAGGAAAACAUGACAAAAGGGAGAGAAAAUUUUGUUUAGGGUAGGAAAGAAAAAAAUAUUUGUGAAGGUAGUAAAUUAUUUUCAAGUUGCAACAAAGAAUAGGGAAUUUGUCAAUAGUAAAAAAUUGAAAAAUUUACUCAUAUUGAGUACUCAUGAAGAAAGGUCAGAAUGGGUUGCAAUAAUGGAAAAAUAUCUUAAAGGUGCCACUUAGACGAUAUUCUCAAAAAUAAAUUUUGUUAGUGGUUUGUCAAAAGAAGAUAAGGAAAAGAAGGUCAAGUUAUUUUCAAGAUUAUGCAGAAAUCUAUAACAGAAGAAUAUUAUAUGAGAGUUUUUAUUAAUUCUCAAUUGCCUCAGUAGUUUUGAUCAGAUUUUUUUUUAUAUUUUGAUGGAAUUUGAAUAUGAGUAUGAUCAUAAGUCAAAAAUUCAUUUGACAUAAGAAAUUUAUUUGGAAGAAGAUAGGAUUGUUGAUGAUAUGAGUGUUUUUGAAUAUUUUGAAUCUGUUCACAAUUUUCAGUUAUAUAUCUUGUUUGGAGAAAUUGGAGUGAUGAAUUUAUUGAAGAAAUCAAUGUGUUUAUUUGGUAAAGAGAGAAGAAAAUUUUGGUUGGACAGCAAAAAAAAGAAAAAGAAAAAUGCUGUUGAAAAAUUUGUUGGCUCAAACUCUUCAAGAUGAUAGAAAAACAUUUGAUUUGAUUAAUAUGGAUUUCAUUAGAGUUGAAAAUUUUUGGAUGGAAGGAAUUCAAUACAUGGUAUAAAUUUUUGGAUGAUUGUGGUAGCCACUAUUCUGAAUUAUUUAGUAGUGAUAAUUUUGGCAAGAAAGUUAACUAUGAUUUUGUAUUUUUGGGCACUUAUAUUAGUGAUAAAUAUGAUGAAUGGGUUUGUAUAAAUGAGUACUUUAUUCAAGAAGAAAUUGCCGAGGAAUUGUUUGCGAAAUAUAAAAUUUGUCCACUGCUACGUGUCAAGACAUUGUUUUUACAAUUAUAGAGUUUUCAACUGUGAUUGUUGCUUAAGAUAGAGUUGGGCCUAAUGCAAUAGAGAGUUUGGUUUAAAAGAGACAAUGUUAGCAAAAUAAAUCAAGCCUAGAAGUUUAUAUUUAUUUAUUUACUAGUUUUAUUAGAGUCAAGUUUUUAGUAGUUAUGUGAUUUAGGAGUUUGUGUGUUAUUUAGUAAGUUCUUGUUCAAAUGAUUUCUUAUUUUACAAGUUUUAGUAAGUUAUAAAUAGGACAUUAGUUGAGAUAUUUUCUUAAAAGGGUCUAAAAGUGUUUGUAAGGUUUUAUUAUGGUAUGCCUUUUUUAUUAUUUGAAAUUUCAAUAAUAAUGUGAAUUAUUUAUUUUCUUCUCUCCCACAAAAAUAGUUUUGAGUGAUUGUUUCAUCCUUUAAUGUUGUGUGUUGGUAUUGAGAUUCUUUUUUUUUUUUUCAAUGAAAAUGCUAGCUGACUCAUUCAUACUCGAAAUUUAUUCCAGUUUGUAGUUAAUUUGCAAUGAAAUUGUCUUUACAUGUUGGUAUAUAUGUUGAAAAAGAGUCAAAUGUAAUAUAUACCAUAUGUCUAUGUGGAACUAAGAUUGGGAUCGUCGGGUUAAUUCUCUCACCAUUUUACAGGACAUACUGUAGUCUGUAACAUAUAUAUGGUAAACCAUAACAACUGCAUCGAAUUGUGUUAUAAACGAUGCUGAAGCACAAAAGUUCAAUGCCAAAUUUGCGAUUUCACUGGAAAAACUGCUAAAAAAUGUACCAAAUUUGAAAAUCAAAGUAGACCGAUCGCUUCGACCGGUUGAACUGCAAAUUGACUUGGUGCCAGUUCAUUUUUGUAGUAAACUCCAAAAAUCAAUUGAACUUGUUAAAUCCAAUCAAGAACAGAUUAAAACUAGUAACAAAGUGGACUUUAGAACUGUUUGCUACUUCUUCUUCUUUUUUUUUUUUCUUUCUUUGGUAUUUUAAUGUUAUCAAAGUUAUAGAGGAAUUAAAAUCUUUUGACCUAGGAUUAAACUGUGUAUGGGAAGAUCAUCCUGUUCAAUUACCAAUCCGGGCUUUUACUAGAUUAAACCGCAAACUCAAACAUGCACUUAAGGAAAAGUAUACCCUUGACAAGGAACAGCCCCAUGUAGUCUGUAAGCAUAAAUUUUACUAAAUAUAAAUUUGGAGUAGGUUUUAUCGUGUAAACAUUUUGUGUCUUUUGAAGUUUGUUAAAUAUUAUCCUUAAUGAAAACUGCUUAGUUUGGGAGUUUAGGAUAGAAAAGAAAAGAAGGGAAAGCUUAAGUUAUGAGAGAAGAGAAGAGAUUGUUAUGUUGUUUGGGAGUUUUGAGAAUUAGUUGAAUGAUUUUGGAUAUGGAAAUCAUUAAAUAUUUGUUCAGGGCAUUUUUAAGGACAAAAUAGGCAUUUUAGAAAAAUUAACAAAUUUUCUCCAAACUUUCUUUCCAUUUCCUUCCAAUUUGGGAGGAAAUAUUUUGGUCACUAUUUAUCCUCCCAUUUCCUUUCUUUUCUUUCUUACUUAAAACUACCAAACAAAGGAAAAUCAAGUUUUCUCUUCUUUCCCUUUCUCUUCCGUCCAAAUCCUCAACGCCCAAAGGCACCCUAAAUAACGUCCAUGACUAAAACUUCUCAUGAAUGUCCCUUUCUACUUUUAGCUUUCAUCUUUUUCUUGGUUCAUGUUUCUGGUUAGUCAAUGUUCUAAUUUUUCACAAGGAUUGAUUGCGCCAUUGCCACUAGCAUGCGGCAAGAGACUUUGGUGCGAUGUCACUUUUUGACUUGUCAACUUUACCCUCAUUUUCGUAAUUAUGUCAAUCCAACAUAAGGGUGAGUUUAUAACUUUAUUAUCUUGGUAAUAACUCAUCCCCAGUUCCCAGUAUUGUGACCAGUGGGAAUGGCACACCUAUGUGUGUGCGCAAAUCUAAAAAGAAAAAAUUUUAAAAGAAAAAUUUAUUAAAUUUUUUAGUAAUUUUUGGAGGUUUUUUUUUUUUAAUAUGGAAAGAAGUAUUGUGUUUUUCUUUUUUCUGUUUUUUAAAUUGAAAGUUGUUGGCAGUUAUUGCUUUAUUGGAAGUUAUGUUAUGCUAGAAAAAAUGGAGGUGUGUGUAUGUGUUUGUAUGUGUUUAUUUAGGAAGAUGACAGUACCAUUUUACGCUUUAUUUGGAUGGUAAAAUAGAAAUUAUAAAAAUUGACACAAAAAGUUUACACCAACCCUUUCCCUCUCCCUUUAUAUAUAGUGUACAAAUAGAUAUUAAAGCUAGGCUCUACUACUAAUAAUCUCAACGUUUAAAUUAUUUCUCACAUUUCACCAAAUGAAUUAUCAUUCUUCACUUUUAAAAUAUUAAUUUUACGUCCUUUAUAAAUUUAAAUUAGUAAAAUUUAAUCCCAACCUAAGUUUUUGAUUACUUUUUAGUCUAAAAUCACUAUAUUAUCCAUCUGCAAUCAUUUCUUAUGUAUAAAAAGGUUAGAUCCCACUAUUUUAGUGGCAAAAAUGAAUAUGGAUUAAUUGGGUCAGGUUUUACUUUUUUAUGAGAAAAAAUGAAUAUAGUUCAAAGUAGAUCCUACUUUUUUAGAGACAAAAAUCAAUAUAAAUCGGGUUAUUUAUUUAACUGCAAAUAGGAUUUAACAUUUUUGUCCUUAAAAAAAAAAUCAUGUGUGGGUCAUACGAUAGAUUCAGGGUGAAAAUAGUAAAAAAAUCUAGAUUGAGACUAAAUUUUAUCGAUUGAAUUUUGUAAGAGAUAUCGAGUUACCAUUUUAAAAAUGAAGGAUGAAAAGAUUCAUUUGGUAAAAUAUGAGAGACCCUUUUUUUUAUCAUUAUUUAUAGCAAUUUGUGAAAUACACAGUUCCACACCUACUGCUAUCAUUUUUUCAGGCAGGCAUUGCAGUCAUAUUUAGCUUUUGAUUUCACUGUAAAAAUCUCUUUGGAUGCACACCUAUCUACACUAGUGCAAAUUAAAUCCAAGUCAGUCCCAUAUAUUUACUAUCAUAAUUUGCACAGAAAUCCCAUUUUCACAGUAGCCAUAUUUUUCCCUUCUACCUUUCUGAGCUUUCUACUCCAUCUUCUGAAAAGAAAACAACAAGGACAGAGCUCCAUUAAUUGGUCCAAAGAGAGGCAACACAGAAGGCAGGCAGUUUGUGAAUGUGAGUUGUGACGUUGGGGAGUGGAAAUUGAACUUAUCACUAGUCGUUCUCAAGAGUCAUGAUGCAUGUAUAACCCAAAAAAAAAGUCGAAAUUACCGAGCUACAAAGCCAGCAAUAGAACCGAUCAGCUAGUGCAAUGAUUGGAACUCACUGUUCACGUACAAAAAUGAUGUCACAUAAAACUUAAAUUCGCAUUUGCUGAUCCCUUUUCCAAAUUGAAAGUGAUAGCCGGUUUUAAGGGCUCCAUCCUUCUCUUUCUCCUCUAUCUCUAUCUCUUUCUGGCUCUCUUGGAAGAAGAUGACCAGAUGAGGAUGCUUUUGCAUGAAUGAUUCCUCUUGACAGUAGUAUUAUUUGGUGGUGCCGAGUGCCGACAGGAGAUAUAAUGCAUCAUCACAAAGUUAACCACAACUAUCAGUUACAAAAUUCAUGCCAAAUCCAUACCCUUCAUUAACUGUCACUUGGUAUAAGUCCCAUCUGCAACGACAGUGACAUUUUUUAUUUUUAUUUUUUAUGGUUUUGUAACUUUGUUUUCUUCUUGUACUCAAUUUGUUUUUUGGAAACCAACAUGUAUUGCUGUAACACUUGGAAAUAAAAAAAAUUUUAAUAGACUUAUUUUUUUGUAUUAAAAUUUUGAAGGUUGGUUGAUAUAGUUAUUGUAUUGAAGUGGGAAUGUCAGCUUGAACUCUCUCCCGUGUUUGUACUUAGAAUGGUAAAUAGCUAGUUUAAUGAAUCAGGCAAGAGAAAACUUGGUUGGUAAGAUGUUUCAUCUAUGAUGAAAAAGUCACAAGUUUGAAUCAUUAAAGGGGCAAGUAGAAAAUUAUUAUUGAUCCUUUUCUUUUUUUCAAGAAAAAUGUUGAAUCAGGCAAGAAUUCUUAUGUUGGAUUUGAGAUACUUCUAUAAAAAAAAAAAAAAGUCCAUUUUGAGGGAUAACAACUUGUCCAAUAUUUUAUGAAACUGAAAUUGAAACUUACACUUGCAGUAUCUUGUGGAAUUCAGAGCUAAGUUAAUAAUUUAUUUGACGUCAAGUUUUUGUCAAUGCGAGUGUUGAUUUAAUCAUAUAACCGCUCAAUCUAUUAGGUCAAAGCUUUGUCAAAGGGCAUUAGUAGAUUGAACUCCUUGAUUAGCUGGAUGUUUGUUCAAGAAUGAGGUAGUGGUUCCUGUCAUUGUUAGGUUAAUUACCAAGGAGCUGGUUGCACUUUAUCAUGAAUUUGAGCUUGAAUGUUCUAGUGGUGGGCAUGAGUUAGCUAAUUUGGUAAUAGUAACUGAUGGAGAUGCACACCACAACUCAAUUGAAUUGUUUGUUAUCCCAUAGAUUUGCAUGAUUAAGAAUUUUUAUGCUUACUUCAGCUUAAAUGGCCUUAGCGAUCACCUCUUUUUUUUUUUUUAAUUUUAUUUCGAGACAGAUUAUUUGAUGUUUCUAAUGAACAUAUGCUUAACUAACAAAACCUCUAGACUUCUUUCAUUUUUGAUAACCCUUUCAUGAGUUAAAUCCAAUGAACUGUCAUUUAAGAGUUUGGCUUAGGAGAACUAAAAAUUAGUUCAAAUCUCUCCUUUUUCUUUGUGUACACAUAUACACACACCAAAACCAUGUUAAUAAUUGGUACAACAGAAGAAGUGUUUUAAAAAUUCCAAUAAGAAUUUAUGAUAUCUUAUUUUCAUUAAUUGUUAUAACUUGAAGUCUCCCGCAAAACUAAGUGUAACUUUGUUUGGAUUGUACAUUAUGUACAUCUUAUUUAUACAUACUGACUUACUUGCAUUGUCAAUAUAUUUUUUAAUCGUUUUUUAUCUCAUAUAUAUCACAUUAAAAAAAUGCUACAAAAUUUUUUUCAAAAAAUUAUUUCAAAUAAUUUCCUAUCUAAUUUAAGUACAAAGAGUAAAGAAAAUUUCAUACUCUUUUUUUCUUCCGAAACCCAAAGAACUUACGUCAAUUUUUAUAAACCUAAACCCCGAGGGAACCCCAAAAAUCGGUAUCCUUUAAGAUUCCACAGGAGACUUAUAACUACCAAUCCAAACCCUCCCAACCCCGAUAUGGGAUACAUUAAAGGGGAUGACACCCCAAACCUCCACAACGGAGAGCCUGCUGCUAAGCCCAACUGGAACCCAACCCCCUAGAGGCGAUAUUACAGUAUCAGAAAACAUCAUACUUCUUUCAGGUGACAGCUAGAAAAUUCUAUAUGCUUUCAAGAGACAAGAAAGAUAUUAUUUCAGUCUAGUCAUAAAAUGAUUGAUUUGAAGCCAAGUACUGAAUGAACUUCAUCGAAAGUCAUUCCAAGAUUUAUUAUCGUGGCUCCACACAUCCUAUUGUUCUUUUAAUUAAAACAGCAAUUGUCAAUUAUAGACCUCUAAAAAUACAUAUUUACCCUCUAUUUCAUAAGGUGCGUUUGGCUGAUUAUUUUUCAGGUGUUUUUAUAAAGAUUCUACUAUAGCUACGUUUUUUACAAAAGCAUUUGGCGUGGUGUUUUUAAUGUUUUCUUGAAAAUAUUUUUAGAGAUGGUGGUGAAACUUCUCCCCGCCUUGUUCGCCAUCCUUCACCAUCCCCUUUUCCCUUUCCCUCCAAAGCAUCGCUUGCCACUCUGGAGUCCCCCUAGGCAUCCCUCCCCUUCCAACCCCCUCCACUAAUACUCUUACAAUACCUUGGCCCUCCUUUCUCUCUCCCUCCCCUCCCACUUUUCCACUAGCCGUCCUCUCAUCCCUGCGAUUUGAUUGGGAAGGGAAAGGGAGGGGUCUGAGGUAAGGGGAAGGGAGGAAGAGUAAGGAAGGCUAGGGAUAGGGUGAUGGUGGAGCAGGCAAAAGUAGGAAAGGGGUAUUUAUGUCUGUAUCAGUGUAUGUUUUUGGAUAGUUUUGAGUAUUUCACAUUUUUCUAUUCGUGUUUUCUGAGACAUCUUUGGUUUUUUUUACUGGAACAUUUAUGCUAACCAAACUGACCCUAAUUUUCAUCUCCAGCCUCUAUAUGAAGUUCAUUGAUGAAUAGGGGUUGAAGCCCAUCACAAUUGCCGGGACAGAAUAAUAUCCCAACAUUUUGGGUGUCAAAAUGUGGUGCUGUCGUGGUCCUGCCCCCUAUAGCAAUUUCAAAUUUCGCUUUGAAUAUUUUUUGAACAUAUUUUUUAAUUAUUUUUUUUUAUUUUAGCAAUAUUUUUAUCCCACAUCACAUACCAGAAAGUAUGAUGGUGCUAAUUUUUCUUAAAAUACUUCUUAAAAACUCCCAAAGGAAGUCGUAAAAUGCAAAUUUCAAAAAAAUACAAAAUGCUCGAUCAAGGGUGCAAUCCCACAACUUUACCUGAUAGCUAUAUGAUUCUUAAAAUUUAUAGUGAUGAUAGUCAUGCAUUUCCACCACAUGAUUUACAAAAUUAUUCAUUUAUACCUUUAUGCUAGUGUCACUUUCUUGGUUAAUUUUUAACAAUUCAUAUACAGUUUCACUACCCUUUCCCCAAGAAAUUUUCUUAAACUUUCCGGGCAAAAAGUCAUCUCACAUUUUGCUCUUCUGGUCUCCAAAUCCUGGUUGCCAUCCAGAAAUUUGGAUAUACUUCGUCCCCAGUUGCCACUUGCCAGUCAAAAACAAUAGUAUCUGAAACAAAAUAUCCUCGACUAUUUAGAGAUUCAUGACUGAUUACCUACUGAUUCAUUUGACACACAACCAAAAAAAUAUGCUGAAUCAGAAAAAAAAAAAAAAAAGAAAAAAAGAACGGGCUGGAGAUUCCAUACCACCCUUUUCUCACGAUCAUAGUUUGUUUUUUUUUGGUGGUAAUUAGAGAUGCAUAGAAGUAAAUAAAGGGUUUUGCAAUCAGUUGCUUAAUACAGUCAUCUAGGAAUAGUUGAUCCCCUUAAAUCAUCCAAAAGAAAGGGGAGUACAAAAUCAGGGCAGGAAAAAAAUCUGGAAAUGUGCUCCAUUGUCUCCUCUCCAUUUAGCCAGCCUAUCUGCAGAGCGAUUUGCCUCUCUAAAAUUAUGGUAGAAACAUGCCUGGUGGAAUGUAGUCAACAGCUCCCUUUGCAGUUGCAAAGGAGUAUUACAUGACAUGAAAACACUGUCCAAAAUGGGCCUCUUUGUCUGAGUGGUAAUUGAGAUUUUUUUUGUCUAAGUGGUGGAAUGUAGUCAACAGCUCCCUUUGCAGUUGCAUAGGAGUAUUACACGACAAGUAUUACAUGAAAACACUGUCCAAAAUGGGCCUCUUUGUCUAAGUGGUAAUUGAGAUUUUUUUUAUACCAAAGGAGACUGUAAGCCUUACAAGAGGGAAGGGGAAAAUAGGAGAACUUGAGAGGUAAAUCAAACAUCUCGCGGUUAACUAACUAAUAUUUCUAUCAAUUAAGUUGGAUUUUGAGGAUUGGUGACUGAGAUAUGAAUACCGCAUAACGAUCACGCCCAUUAUUUUCAGUGCGAUGCCUUGAAGCUCUCUAAGCCAUCACAAGUGAAUGCUAUUGUUAAAUUUCUCAUUACAAGUGAAUGUUGUUAAAUUUCUAGAGUAAGCAUUGAGUUCAAGAGGUGUUUGGUUCAUAUUCAGAAUCAAAAUUAGAAUUAUAAAUUCCACUAUAACUACGUGGUUGCCCAUUCACUUUAUAUAUUUGGUUUUGAGUAUAAACAAAGACUUGAUCAAUUUGAAACCUAACCUAGAAUGAGACAAGAUCCAACAGCUUCAUUCUCAUCAAAUGAUGCCCGUGGACGUCUUCUGCCAAACAAUAGAUAAAGUUAUUAUUCAUUUGAAACCCGUUCGUACCCCUAAUACCAUUUGUCCCAAACAUUCAGUGCCGCAUAAUAAAUUCAAAUGCUUUAGUUUUGAUUAUCAAAUGCAUCUGAAUAUGUUAAGAUCUAAAUUGAUUCAAUUUAAGUGUCGAAUUGAAUUAUCAAACAGGAUCAAAUUGUGUCAUGAUAGUGCUAUGAUAUGCUUGCUUAUUGUCAUAAAAGUCCAAUCAUAUUCUUCUAUAACCAUAUGUCUAGUAUUUAACUAAAUGUAUAUAUCUACCACUUACACGUGGUGCCUAAUUAAAAAAAACAGCAUUUUAUUAUUUAAGAGAGGUGGCCUUAAAACUUAAAAGCCAUGCAGAAAGGCAUGUGCGGAGUGUAAGCCAAGAAAGGGAUGGUAUUACACAUGAGAUGUCACAGCUGCAGCAAGAAAUUCCACAGGACAACACUUUAUGGACAAAGCCGGCAGACGCUGUAGCAGCCUGUACUCUGUAGUCUGUCAACAAACCCACUCGAAACUAUAUCUCACUUCCCACAACACAAGGUUUAUAGUUAUCGCCAUCUUAUUAGCUUGGUGUGGCUCAAAAUAGACCUCUCAAUGAGCACGGGUGCAAAGAUGAAAGAGACAGCUUCUUUGAGCUUCGAGGCCAUUUGAGCCCCCCUUUGUUUUCCGUUUUCUUCUUUCCAAGUAAUAAUUUGAAGCCAAGAAGAAUCCCUCUUGAGCUGGAAGAAUUAAGCCUUUGAAAAGCCAAAAAAAAAAAUUUUUAAAAAAAGCCUACCUCAUUAUAACUUUAUAAGUGAAGAUGGUCAAUGCAUUUCUGCCAUUUUCUAUCCCCAGUAAAAAGCAUGACGAAGUGAAAGUGAUCAAUAAUGAUCAAUUUGUGUCACGUUUGGGAAGGAUGAAUCCCGCAAAUCCAGCAAGAACGGGACAUUCUGUGAAAGAGAUAUCUUGGCCAUUCUGGACUCCUGAGCAAGGCUUGAAUUAUUUGAUGGCUUUUUGGUUUUCGUGGUUUUUCAUCUUCUUGAUUUUGGCUUUUGGACUAAUUCAUAGAUUUUGACUGCUGCUGCAAGCUAGUUUUGUUCCGUAUUAGUAUGAUGAAUCAUGAUUAUUUUAAACAUUUUUACAUAGAUACCAAGCUUGAAUUUUUUGACGAAAGCAAUUAAAUUGAUCCUUUCUGGUUUCUUUUUUCUCUGGAAAAAAAAAAAUUUAACUAGGGAUGUUUUAGUUUUCUGUUUUCUUUUAGGGCGAUAAUUUUCUAUUUUGUCUUUUCUGGUUCAAUUAUAUCCCCCAGCAUAUAUUCUUGGCCUUUGGAAAGAGUAUCCCACGUAGGUCCUUUAAUAACAGGCCAGACGCUUGAAAAUGCUAGGCUGGAAAUCACUCUCCGUUUGAUUCUUUAAACUAGUCAGACAAAGCGAGUGUGUGAGGGCACAACUAGUUGGCUCAAGGCUGAUUGAGACCUAAUGGGCCCAAUGGAGCCACUAAAAUUUGGACCAAGGUUCAUUUGCUCGGAGAUUGGGUUGUUCUUGAACAAACAGACCGCAUUUUCUAAGAAGGAUGGCUUUCUAUAAUACGAUAAGUUACUAUUCAUGUAUACCAACAAUUUGGACCAAGACCUAGUUAGUCCAAGCCCAACUACAAAUUCAAGUUGCCAAAUUCCCAAUAUUAACUUUUUGGAUUAAUCAUUAUUGCACUGUUUGUGUAUGAGUAUAUCUUAUAUACACUGACAGUGUAUAUACUAUCACAGUUGGAUACACAAUACAUGUACAAUAUUUGGGUUUCAAAUUCAAAUUCGAAUUAUGUGUCAUGCAUCCAAUGGUGAAAAUAUAUACAUUGUCAGUAUAUAGAAGAUUGAUUCUUUGUGUAUACACCUAUGAAUUUAGAUGUGUAUCACAUCAUUUUAAUUUAAAUUUAACCACCAAAUUUUGUAUAUGUUGUAUGCAUCUAAGUUCUCUAGUAUAUACACUAACAGCAUAUAAAAAGAUUUAUCCUUAACUUUUUCUCUUCUAAAACUUUGAGUCUUACAAAAAAACAAUAGAAAAAUCAUGAAAAAUGAAAAAGAAUUGAUUACUGGCUCUUUAUCUUGCAUAAAGGUUGAUAACCCAAAACUUAGAAGUCUUAGAUUUAAAUAUCCCUUCCUCCUCCUAGUGUCUUAAAUCCCCCGUCCCUUUGAUAGAUUUUCUUUUUAAGAAAAAAUGUUGCAUGAACAUAUAUCCAAAGGCAAAAAAUACUUCUGUUUUCCUUUUCUUAAAUCCAUAGAGAAGUUGAAGUCUUACAUAUAGACAUAUUUUGGUAGUAAACUAAGGUUCUGUUUGAUAAAACUUAAUCUGAAGUCUGAAUUCUAAAUUUUGAAAUCUGAAUACUGAAACAAUUAAUUUGCUGAAUUUUAUGUAUUAAAAAAAAUAUAUGAAUGUCUGAAUUGUAAUGCUAAACCUAUUUAUACUGUUUGAUAAAUAUUUAUAACUAAAUGUUUAAUAAGUUUAAUUUGAUAAUUUUACCCUUACAUCCUUUCAUUCAAAAAAGAAAUAGAAUCUAUGAUUUAAUUAGUUUAAAAUUGUUAGGUAUGAAAAUGACAAUAUUUAUUUUUAAAUCAAAUUAAUAUAAAAGAUGAAAUAUAUUAUAUGGAAGUAUGGAGAAGAUAUGAAAGUCAUUAAAAAUGGAGAAAAGAGAAACUAAAAAUCGUUAGAUAGAGAAUAUUAUAUUGUUUAAUUAGAUAAGAAUUUUGAACAUAAUUAACAAAUAAGGGUAGAUUUGGUAGAUAAGAUAAGUUAGUUGAAAUAAUUCUAUUGAUUCUUAUCAGAAUUAAACAUUCAGUUAGGAUUCUUGUACUGAAAAAAAUACACACAGGUUCAGCACUGUUUAACAAGUUCAACAAAUAGAUUUUCAUUUAUCAAACACUCAAAACAUCUGAAUGUUUGAAAAAAUUCAGAUUCAACACUUUUUUAUGUUAUCAAACAGACCCUAAGGCAAAUUACAGAAAAUCCCCCUCAACCGUUUUUAUUUAAUUGCCUUGCAGCCAAGUUUUCUCUUGAGCUGCCACUUUACUAAGGCCUGAGAUUGCAGUGCGCAUAUAUAAAAAGAGUAAAUAUUAUAUACACUGUCCGUAUAUACAAUAUCAUGGUUGGAUGAAUGACACAUGAGUAAAUUUUGAAUUUUAAAUUCAAAUUUUGCACGUGUAUCAUAUAUCUAAUGGUGAUAGUAUAUAUACUGAUAAUGUAUAUAAUAUUAAUUCAUAUAAAAAUAGUGCUUUUAAGCACUAAAAAUACUUUUAGAACGUUUGGUAACUAAUGUUUUAUAACUUAAUAAGCUUAGUUUUUGAUAACUUAAAAGCACUUGUGUCAGAAGUGUUUCUUUAUAAGUCAUUGCAACUUCAAACGGUGCCUAAUUAACGUCUACAAUAAAGAAAAGCUGGUAAAUUUUGAGUAUACUCGAUUCCACUAUCAUCGGAGAAAUACUUCAAAUAUUUUGCACUAGAAUUCAAAUAAGAACUGGCCAGGUAAAUGCAAUGCACGAACUUCGCACGAGCACGGCCUCAUUAUUGCUUGGAAGCUUAUCUGGAUCAGCAAAUGGGAUCAAUUGUACGAGGAAACUUUGUUUUCCUUUAUAUAUUUGUACUUUGAAAGUUUUGAAUCAUUAUAGGCAUUCCUCCUAGAUUUGGUUUCGUUUGUAGUUUCAAUUAUUUUGUUAUAAUUUUGAAAAUUAUAAAAAAGAAUUAAUUAUACAAAUUUUAGACAUGCUAGAUCAACAAUCUUAUCGAACUAAUGACCUUUGAUCCGUAGAAAAAGUCUUUUUGCUCAUACAUGAGCAAACAAUACUGCGAAUUUUUGAAAAAUUGAAAUAUAUAAUUAAAAAAUCUAGUAUUUUUAAAUAGUAGUUUGGACAUGACAACACUAUCCAAAUUUCCAAUGGACGCAAUUAUUAACAAAUGCUCUAAAAAAAUCAUGAGAUAAAAAUUAUGGAAAAAAAUGGUUUCGUUUGGAUCUCCAAAUAUUUCAAAAACUGUAUUUGUAGUCCAAAAACAUGGCAGGAAAGUUUCAAACAUCUACAGUGCACCUUUACGAAAACGACACCGUUUUAUCAUUUUCUGUCUCGUCUCUGUUUGUGUGUCCCAAAUACGGAACGAGUGUCAGUACCUAGUAGUCAAAAGAGCACUUUCCUCUUCUCUCGCUGCCUUUGCCCAAGCUUCAUCUCUCCUCCAUUAUUGCUCUGGAACAACCACAGAACCCACAUUCAACUUGAGCCGAGCUUCUCCCUGUAGAUGGCACCGGAUGUACUUCUAAAGCAGGCCACCUACAGUAGGUGAAGAGAUAUCCUCCAGUAAGACUGCUGUUGCCGAAGCUGCAUGUUCUCCGCCAUUGUUGCCCUCGAACAACCUCAGAACGGACAUUCAACUUGAGGCGAGCUUGUCUGACCAUUGUGGCUCCAGAUCUACAGCAAAAUCAAAUCACUUGAGGCACCUUCUUCUACGCUGUUAAACGGCCGUCUCAGCUCAUCAGGUUAGUACUACCAGAAUGAGUUCUCAACAGUAUGUUUUGCAUUUCAAGUUUGUUUUUUAGCAAUGAUACAGCAAGCUCCAUCUUUCUCAUAGCCCCAUUUUGAGUAUUGAGACCUUCAUAUCAUCCCUGUAUUAGCAUUUUGCCCAAACACCCAAAUCCUAUCUGAUUUGUGUAAGCUAGUUCAAAAAUUCCAAAAUUUGAAUAUCUGUCCGUUGGUAUGUUAAUUGACAAGCCUCUGUGAAAUUAUUUGUGGUAUGAACAUACAGUUGUCUUCGGUUUGUCUUCAGCUUUAGACGUUAGCAAUUGGCAAUGGUUAUGCUUCCUGUUUAGGUUUGAUUGCACAAAAUGUCUUAGCGACUGCAAUUGAUUAUCUAAUAAAACAUAAUUUUACUGAGCUUAAUAAUCUCUUAUAUCAUUGGGUUUAGACCGAAGCUUACAUAGACAGUUGUAACUUCAGAGUGAAUUAUCCAUUCUGUUGUGGCCGACACUUUGCCAAAACUGUUAUUGCAGGGAGGUAGGCUUCAUUCUUAUAUGCACUAGCUUCUGAGUAUUGUCGCUGUCCUGUCUUUUUGGCCAUUUAGCAUGCCAAGUCUGUAUAUUCUCCACUAUAGAAGUACUUCAUUUAUAGCAAUAAAAUUUGGAAUUGUGCCUGUUGUACAGCUAUUUCUUUAAUUCUCAGAAAUUGUUACGUUUUGUAGCUGCUUUCACAUCUCGGAUAAUAGAAAAUAUGCUUGACAGUGAUAAUGCCUGCGGCCAUUCAAUUUUACUGCUUGACUGAUCUUGUUUAGAGGGAAAGGAUUUUGUUUUCACAUACUGGAAGUUAAUAUCCAUUAGUAUCUGCUCCUCUGUACAUGCACCUUCUACAAUUUCUAUGAAUUAAGAGUUGAAAAGUAGUUAUCAAUUAAAAUUGUCGGUUGAGCUUGCAUCUGCCUUCAUUUCAAAAGCUCCCGCUUGGGUCUCUUCGUUGCGACGAUGGUAAUCUGUGCUGUUAGCCAUAACACUGGUAUCUAAUAUGACUUUUCAACACUGUUAAGAGUCUUAUGGUAACAGCAGUUCAGUUGUUUCCGCAGAUUAAAUAGUCUCAUACUAGUAUUUUUAUGUAUUAAGUUUCGCUCAGAUUUUUAUGAUUAACCUUCUUCGCUUUGAGGUGAACCAUUUAGGUGAUACUUUUAGAAGCGUACUGCAACUACAUGCCCCCUGUUACUCGACGUGCUUGGAAGGGUAUGUUGUACUUCCACACUCUCCAUCUUUAUUUCGUUAUAUGAGUAUUUAUUCAUUGGUGAAUAACACUAACUUUUCUCACUGUCCAGGUUUUCAAAAAAGUAGGCGACUAGGCAGUUAUUCUUUGAAGUCAGCUUGUGGAGAGAACGAUUUGCAGCUGUGCAUCACCAACUACUUCAAGGUAAAGCUGUUGCUGCAAUAAAAAGUGUCUCGACCUGGUUGAAUGCCAUAGAUUAGAAAGAAACUAUGCCAUGCAUACUUUUGAGCUAAAAAAUUUCCUUUGCCAUGCGUUGUUUCCAUCCUAAACCCAAAAAAGAUGAGUCUACCACGAGCAAAGUAUUCCCAGCGUAAUACUUUCACCGAAGAACACGAAUUACAUUUGCCUAACAUCUAUUGAGUAUGCAUAGGAAGGGAGAAAUAACCCCUAACAACAUCGGGAGUCAUGUCAUCCCUGAAGUCAUGGCUAUGCUUAACGCUACCCUCGGCACUUCCUUUCCCAAAAACACCAUCAGAUCGAAGUACUACGCCAUGCAGAGCCUGACCAGGCUGUAUAUUUCAUUCAAGAGGCGAGGUACUGGUAUGGGUUGGGACUCUUCGAAGUACACAUUCAUGAUGGAUGAUGGCUGCUGGGCUGAUCUACUCCAGGUUGGCUAACUUGUACUUAUAUUUCCUGUUUCAUUUCAGUUAUUUUUCUGUUUUGUAGACUUGCCUAUAUGACCAGGCAGUGCAAUUCCUUUUGUACUUUGUUCCGAUAUUUCCCUUUAUUAUUAUCAGUACAUUUUUAGGUUUCUGUUCGAAAUCAGUUUUUCACUUCAAUUCCUUUCGAUUAUUUGCUGACUGACGACCAAAGCAAUAUAGCCUCACAGUACUUGCUGUCUUCAGUGUUUUAUGCAUAAUCUAAUGCUUGUUUUGAUGUAUUUUUUGAAGGUGAACAGCGACUUCACAAGGUUUUAUAAUAGAUCAUGCUAUGUAUUUCAUUUGUUUGAGGAAGUUUUUAUGAACCAAGGCGCUAUAGGGGACUACAGUGGGGCACAUGAAGAAUCACCCCUCAACACCGAUGAGGAGUUGGAAAUGGAGAAUGCGGCGAGAAGUGCUAAGCCCUCGGAUGUUGUUAACAUCGGCUCAUCGGGUGAAGAUGUUAAGAUGCCCUCGACUAGGAAAGGGAAAGGGAAAGUAACUAAGGAGAAAAAAAAGCGCAAAUCGGGAGACAUGUCAAAGGAUUCAUCCUUCUCAGGUUCUUCAAGGGAAUUCCAAUAGUAUAUGCGUGUGCUAGACAGCAUUGAGACAAAAUUGAGUGGUAAAAAGGGAGAUAGCAUGACUGGUUCGGUCUGUUCACCGUCGAAAAUUGCACAUCGCCCCUUGAAUGCUGAUUCUGAGCUAAAGGCCACGUUGGCACAGCUCCUCGCCCUGAAUCUAGACAUACAUGUACAUUUGGGCGUUAUUGAUAUUUUAAAAAAUGCUUCAGAGCGGGCAAUUUGAAAUACUUGCACUACUGAUGCUGCUCGUCUUGCAUUUGUGAGGUGCAGAGGGUUCUUACCCCCUGAGUAGAUCGAGACCUGUCCAUUUUUAUUGUAGUUACGCUUAUUAGAGCUCGUUAGAUGCUUGUGUUUUCUUCCCUGCUAUGCUAUUUGAGUGUUGACUUGGCAGUAGGUUUGGUAUGAGUAUGACUAUGCCUUAGUACCGGAAAACUGUUUUUCAUUAUUUUUUUCCUUAUUUUUUUCACACUAGCUUGUAUGAAACAAUUGUUCUCGCAGUUGUUAUGUUGCCUUUAAUUGUCCUAAAUUAUUAGUGUCGCAUUUAACUUAUGGAUUAUUAAGUGCUUUGCUUAUAGUUACAGCUGUCCGGGUUUUAAACUUUUCCAUGUACGCAGGUUUUAAGUUUGUUACGUUUAUUUCCAUAACUUUAAUAUGGUUAUUGGUGCAUUUGUGUAAUAUCUCCUAUCUCAUAUGCAUGUUAGGUGUCCUGUGUAUCCAUCUUGUGUGUACACAGCAAUCCAUCUUUAUUUCCUGUACCGAAUGUACGGGACUCGGGAAUGAAGCUGGUCAUGCUUCAAAGUGUAGAAGCCAUCAACCUUAACAUCAUUUUUCAUAUAAACUUUUACUGUAUUUCAUUUGUUAGCUACCUUAUGUUAACACCUAUCCUAUUACUAUGCUGUCUUAUGGUUGCAUGUAUUUGACGGAAAUAUAAGAUCGAGAUUGGAAAGAUAUUGCACUUAUAUAGAAAAUGUCUAUCCGCUUGCAUGCAUGGAAAUUAUUGGAUGUAAUCCAUAUGCACUAUGAGUCUAGAAACCAAAUCUGCAGCAUUCAUUACUGUUUUCAGUUUAUUUUUGAAAAACUAUUAUCGAUUGAUAUUGCAUUUCCCUGUGGAUGCAGGUUGGCUAUUUUCUGGAGCUCUAGCAACAGUAUGUCUCCGCAAAGUAACGAGUCUCUCUCUCUCUCUCUCUCUCUCUAUUGAUUACUAAUUGUCAGUGUUUUGUUUCGGUUGCACUCUUUAUUUGUCUCCUCAUAAUAUUUCCUUUCAUGCACGAACUGCAGCACGUGUUGACUGUUUCCAAAAUUUCAUAUUCAACUUUCAUGCUACAUUUUGACCCCCCAUAAACUACAGCUAGCAUGUAUUUUUGAUUAUGCCUACCACAUUAAUUGUCCUUACACGAAAAUGAGUAUUUAACAAUUACUGUGGUUUCAUCUCCGAGGCUAUCAAGAACUUGCCUAUUAGUUUGUCAAUAAAGCAUGAGUUGUUUCUUGAACAUAAACGAUACCGUCAAUCAUAUGUGAAUCUUAUUUGUAUCUACUCAUAUCAGCUUGUGCUUGGGAUAACACUGGUCUUGACAUCAUACUUAAGGGUUAUCUCAAUUGAUGGAUAACGACAUCCACGUUUAGGGCGGACAAUUAGACGAUGAGACAGACGAUCUUGAUCUCGACAGCAUACUCAUGGUGGUUAUUGUCAUGGGAAUGAUUUUCUUUGACCCCCAGAUUGAAUCAUAUUCCAAGAAGGAGAAGAAUCCGAGAUAGUGCACUUUCUGGCAGGGAUUAUGUACUUGAGAUGCUAAACGGCCAUCCGGAUCGAAUUAUCGAGAAUAUGCGCCUCUUUGUGCCUCUGUUCCUACACUUGUGCGACAUCUUGGUUGACCGGGGGUACUGGCACGCCUAUCCUUCUCAGAGGGUUGGGGUUCAUGAAUCCGUUGCCCUAACUCUAAUGUGCUUGAGCCAUGAUGAGGGUCAUUGGUUUUAGUCGAGCGUUUCCAACAUUUAACGGAGACAAUUGAUCGGCAUGUAAGAAGAGUUCUGCGAGCAUUAGUGAGACUCGGUCGUGAUUUUGUUAGGCCGAGGAAUGUUGGUGAGACACACCUCACAAUUUUGAACAAUGAACUGUUUUACCCGUGGUUCAAGGUAAAUACACAAACACCCAAUUCUUGGUAGGACUAUGCCGUUCGUAUAUCUGAUUUCCAGUAAUUUGGCAUGAUAAUUUUUUCAUAUAUAUGAAUAGCACAUUGCAUUCCUGCUAAAACAUCCAUAUGAAUAGUUUAUUAGCUAAUGUUGCCGUGACUUUGAAUAAUUUACCUCAAAAUUCAUAGGAUAACGUUGAUGCCUUAGAUGGAACCCACAUAUCAGCUUGGUGUCGAACAGAGAUAAGCAAGCGGUACAGAAAUAGGCACGGUGGGCUAUCUCAAAAUGUGCUUGCAGCUUGUGAUCAUGACAUGCGAUUUGUCUACGUUCAAGUCGGUUGGGAGGGCAGUGCACACGAUGCCAAAAUUCUUCAGGAAACACUGGACCAUCCAAAUUCAGGAUUUCCAUUGCCACCUCUAGGUAUGCAAUUUUUUUAUAUUCGGUCUAUUAGAAAACAAGUGAUUUUCAUUUGUGACAUUAGUAAAUAAUUAACAGACUUUUUAGUAUUGCUUCAAGGUUUGUUUAUUUAAAAAGUUUGAAAUACGCUGACAUGGAUUUGGGGCUCUCACAUGUUAGAAAAAUAUUAUAUGGUGGAUGCCGCCUACACUAACAUGUCUGGGUUCAUGGCAUCGUUUAGGGCAGCGAGAGGCAUGCAGCAUGAGCGCGCCACUAAAGCUUUAUUCAACCGGCGACACGCUUUUGCUAGAAAUAUUAUUGAAUCGAGUUUUGGGGUUCUUAAGAAAUGGUUUCCGAUACUAAAGAGUCCAAUGCAGAACUACCUCAUAGCAACUCAAAACAAUAUCGUGCUUGCAUGUUGUACUCUACACAAUUUCAUGAGAGAUUAUGUGCCUAAAGAUGAGUACUUCGGUGAAGAAGCUGCCCUCGGAGCCCAACUAGAUGCCCAGGAAGGAGGGAAUGAAAUCCAUAAAGUCCAACCCAUCGAUAUGUCGCAACAGGGUAUACAGAAUUGGAACGACGAUCGGCGGGCAAUAGCAGUUCAUAUGUAUGUGAAUCAACAGAACGCUUAAAGAAGCUCAAGACUAGCGUGUAGUACUACUAAGUAGAAACUUUGCUUGCUUCCUACAAUUUGACAACCAAAUAACUUGUCAUGUUAUCUGAUUUGUAUUUACAAAGGUUAACCUUUGGGGAGGUACUAAUCGGAUGGCCUAGUUCCACCUGUGGCACCUGUCAUCAAGUCUGAAUUUAAUAUGAAACUUUUUAUGCGCCUAUACUGUGUCUUAUUCAAUAACUUGUAGUUAUAGAUGGCGUUGAGACCAGAAUUGGUUGUAUCUUGUGUAUCCAUAUUUAUUCCAGCUGAGGUGCAAAUCAAUGGUUCGAAUAUAUGCAAUAGCUUUCCAGUCGAUCCCAAAUUAUUUCAACAAGUUGAUCCCAAAUUAUUUUCAUCCCAACUUCUUUCGGGAAGGAGAGCAUAUGGAAUGUAGAUGGUGAGAUUUUACAAGGGCAUCAACUUUCUGCUCAAGUAUAUCGAGGCCUUGGUAGUUUAUUUGCUACCGGCCCUGAAGUCUAGUCAAAUGGCACAUAAAUGAGCCAUUAUGUAGUGUAUUUAUUUGUAAUGAGUUACAAUGUAUUAAAUUCUUUGUUGUAAAAUUUUGUAGCAUAACUUCCUCAACGGUUCUAAUUUUGUUCCCCUGUUUGUGAUGCUUCUACUCAUAAUUUAUGAAAUCAUUGCUAUUCUAAGCCAAUUGUUACCGCACUUGGCUCGUACAUUCUUAUGAGACUGUUAGCUUGUUAGGACAUAGCAAGGUCCUCAAUAUUUUCCUUUUUCUAGGUCACCUGCACACGUGGAGUUCAGGGGGGGUCGGGAAUGAUGUUGUAGUUUUAGUACCUCGAUACAAAGUAGUUUACCAGUUACAGUUGUCAUAGCAGGUUUGUCUCAUUUCAUGGUAGUUUCUUAAGUAUUAUGAGAACUUGUUUAUGCUACAUUUUGACCCGAAUUCUUAUUCAAGUUUGAUGAGACAUUGAAGUAAAAAAAAAAAAAAAAGGUGUUUUUGAAAUACAGGUCAAUCCAAAUGCAGAUUUUUUCAAAUACAUGGAGUUUUUCAAUCCAAGUGCCUAUAGCUAUUUUUCAAAAACUGUUACAGUGGAGUUUUUGAAAUACACCUCCAAAAACAGGGGAUCCAAACGCAGCAAUAUAUAUUUUAAUGUCCAUCAUGAAUUAACAAUACUGAUUACAAUUUCUCAACAGAAUACUCGUGCACGAAGUUUGCACUAUUUUCAGAAUACAGGAAUUAUUUUGAUUGUCACCACUUCUAAAAAGCAAAAUGCUAUAGCUUCUGGAAAGAAAGAUAUUUUUUAUACUUAAUCAAAAGAUUGAAUUAGAGAUGCUAUACUUUUCAAUUUUCACUGACGAAAACUGAGCUUUAAUUUUGAAGUAAAAUUUGUUUUCAUACAUAAUUCAAUGAGAUUCAUACUUUAAUUGGAGGAAGCUGGCAUAAUUAUGCUGGAAAUGGGAUAUGAUAUUGAAAUGAAUAAAAGGGCAAAUUUGAUUGCUGGCUAUAUUUUUCACGAGCAGGAUAUUCUAAGUAUUAACAUGAAAAUUACACUGCCUAUAAUCAAUAGUUUCAUUCAAGAUAAUGAAAAAGUUAUAUUUGAUGAAAAAGAAGAACCUACUUUUGAGGCAUUGUCUGAAUUGAUUGAAUUUUGAUUGAUUUAGUGGAAACACAGUUCCCUGGUUUGCCAAAGUCUUAUGCGUUGCAAUAAAUUUUGUCAAGCAAAUUACUUUUUUUUUCUUUAGUAUAAGUAGGAGGUUUCGAACCCAUAACCUCUCACUUACACUUCUUACCCUCGUAUCACCAAUCCAAUCAUGCUUCUUUGUCAAGCAAGUUACUUACCAUUGAAAGAACUCAUCAAUCUCGUAAUUCUAAUGAAGCUGAAACUUCCUCUUGUAGUGAAGUUUCAAGAUGAAAAUGUUGUUACAUUGAAGAGAUUCAUCAAUCUUACUAAAACCUCACAGUUUAAUUUUUUUUCUUUUUGACUAAAAUCCCAGAGUUGAAAAGUCAAUUAGAAAUGAAACCUACUACUGCUAAUUCACAAGAACAAGAUCAAAGCUCUUUGGAAGCUUUUGAGUUUGAUCAGAGUCUUAAUCCUAAUGAAUGUUUUGAUAGCUUCUAUGAUGAAACAGGCCUUAAUCAGUUGACAAGGAAUAGUUCUAAGGAGCCAAAAGAUGCAAUGAUUUUAAGCUUUUCAGAACUAGUAGUAAGUCUGGUGCUGAUAAGAAUCCUUACCCAACUGGUACUAGAUAGACGGUAGAACUCUAGUUGCUAAUUACAUAUAAGAUUCUAUCUGAUGUAGGUCCCUAUUUCUAGUGUAACUCUCCCGUCUCUGUGCUGCUAUACAUGUAUAUAUUGGGUUACAAUGAAUGUGACAGACACUGAAAGAUUGCUCCAGUAAACACCUCUCUGUUUUAACUUCUUUAUGGUAUCAGAGCCCAUACCAGGCUCUUUAAACAUUCGGUCACACCCCUCCAUCUCCAGCAAUUUCUUCCUCUUUUCUAUAGUUCUAUGGCUGCGGAAAAUACUCAAGUUGUCAUCCCAAAUACUCAGGAACCCACUAAUUCCUUAACCAUGAUCACCAUCCACAACUCAAUCAAACUUACCCCCACCAACUAUCUGUCAUGGAAAACACAAAUGGAAGCAAUUCUCAUUGGAUAUGAUCUCCAGAAAUUCAUUGAUGGCUCUUAUCCUCCCCUUCCUCCCACCAUCAACACUAAUGAUACAGUUGCAUCCAAUCUUGCAUACCAAACUUGGUUACGUUAAGAUAAGCUAUUGUUAGGUACUCUCGUAGGCACCCUUUCACCCUCCCUUGUCCCUCUUAUCACUCGAUCCCAAUCCUCUCUUGAAUCCUGGCAAACUCUAGCUAAUACAUAUGCUCGCUCAUCCCACGGCCACAUCAAGCAACUCAGAGACAAACUGAAACACAUCACCAAAGACACUCAGUCCAUCACAGAAAUAUACAAUCCAUCAAAAUCCAAGCUGAUGAAUUUGCUGCACUUGGGAAGCCACUUGAUCAUGAAGAUUUGGUAGAAAAAAUGCUGGAUGGCCUUGAUGAAACCUAUCAGUCCAUUAUUGAUGCUGUCAAUGGUCGAAACUCCACCAUCUCAUUCGAUGAACUUCAUGAAAAACUCUUAAACAAGGAACUGUCUUUACGUAAUCAGUCAAGCUCAUCGUUCCUACCGGCAUCCGCUCAUGCUACCGCUGUUCGUUCCACUCCGUGGUAUGGAAACAAACGACCUCCCUGGUCUAUUCACAAUAAGUCUUCUAACCUACCUACACCAACGCCUGCCCAGUCUCAAGGCUCGCCAAACUCUCGAACCAACCGUGCUGCUCGUCCAUUCCUUGAUCGAUGCCAGUGGUGCAGCACUUAAGGCCAUGUUGUCUUCCGCUGCCCCCUAUUUCGCCAACAAUUCCCUCAUGCGCAACUACCCUCUCGUCACAAUACUGCAUCCUCCCCUGUCGCAUCUCCUCCUUGGCAGGCACAAGCUUAUGUAGCAACUCAUCCCACAUCAGAUACUCCCAACACACCUUGGCUCCUUGACAGUGGGGCUACUCAUCAUGUCACCACUGACCUCCGCAACCUCUCCCUCCAUAGUCCUUAUCAUGGAACGGAUGAAAUCAUGAUUGGAGAUGGCUCUGGUCUUCCCAUAUCCUAUACGGGUUUCAUUUCUUUCAAUACUCCUUUCUUCUCCUUUACUCUUUCUAAUGUCCUCCGUGUUCCAACCAUGAAACGCAACUUAAUUUCUAUUUCUCAAUUCUGCAAAUCUAACAACACUUCCAUUGAAUUCUUACCCUCUUCCUUUUAUGUGAAGAAUCUCCGCACGGGGCACUCCUUUUGGAAAGUCAGACCAAGAAUGGGGUCUAUGAAUGGCCGACCUCUCAUUCGAAGUCACCGUUGCUUGCCUUUUCUAGUGUCAAGGCUCCUUUGCCUACUUGGUAUCAUCGGCUCGGGCAUCCCUCUAUGUCCACAUUCAAGUAUAUUUUAUCAACGUCUACUUUGGAUGCCUCCUCUCCACCUGAUCUCCAUUUUAAUUGUAAUUUCUGUCAGUGCAAUAAGAGUCAUAAAUUACCACUCUCUUCCUCUUCUCUCUCUACUUCCUCCCCUCUAGAGGUUGUCUUCACUGACGUCUGGACAUCAGCCAUUAUUUCUGUCAAUAACUGUAAAUAUUACAUUAUCUUUGUUGAUCAUUUCACCAAAUAUAUUUGGUUAUAUCCCCUCAAACGUAAAUCUAACACAUGUGAUGUCUUCAUCAAAUUUAAGGCUCUUGUUGAAAAAUUCUUAACUCGCCUAAUCAUCACCUUUUACUCCGAUAAUGGGGGGGAUAUCAAGCUCUUUCUUCCUUUUUAACCAUUAAUGAGGUCUCUCAUCUUACAACUCCGCCUCACACACCUGAACACAAUGGGUAUUCCAAACGCUGUCAUCGUCACAUUGUCGAAACUGGUCUCUCUCUGCUCUCUCAUGCUUCCAUGCCUAUUUUAUAUUGGCCCUUUGCCUUCUCCACCGCCGUCUAUCUCAUCAACUGCCUUCCUACACUUACUUUACAACACGUCUCCCUAUUUUUUAAACUCUUUGGUACUCCUCCGAACUACAAUAAACUUCGCAGCUUUGGAUGCCUUUGCUAUCAUUGGUUUCGCCCGUAUACAUCCCAUAAACUUGCGCCAUCACGUUCUGUACCGUGUGUCUUUGUUGGGUACUCUCCCACUCAAAGUGCCUACUUUGCCUUGACACAUCCACCCAUCGUUUCUAUACUACUCGUCAUGUGCGUUUUGUCGAAACCAUUUUUCCAUUUGCAUCAUCUUAUACUUCCAUAUCUCGUGGCUCUUCGUCAGCCAUAUCCGAGUAGUGCUCUAUCACGCUACCCGUUGGCUCUUUUGGUCCCUCCUCCUUCUCAUCUCCUUCCACGACCCCCCACCAACCUUCAGGACCGAAUCUUCAGCCUCACACUUCUGCCAUCCCGCUGUCCACCCCGACAUUUGCCCCUUUUUCAACUAAGCACCGCCCCUCCUACACUACCCAUGUCCUCUUCGGCAGCUCCCCAACCGAACUUUCCCCGUGUCAUCAUUACUCGUUCCAAACAUAACAUUCGUAAACCAAUUCAAAAACUUAAUCUCUCGGUUGAGCUCCAACCCACCACUAUCACCCAGGCUUUGAAGGACCCCAAGUGACGACAGGCUAUGUCUGAAAAGUUUGAUGCUCUCCUUCGGAAUGGAACCUGGCAACUCGUCCCUUCCCAUCCUGAUUAUAAUGUGGUUGGUUGCAAAUGGGUCUUUCACACUAAAAAUAAGCCUGAUGGUUCGGUGGACAGGCACAAGGCUCGAUUGGUCGCCAAAGGUUUUCACCAACGUCCGGGUGUUGACUACUCCGAAACCUUCAGUCCUAUCAUUAACCCAACAACUGUUCGUCUAGUCCUUAGUCUUGUAGUAAGUCGAGAUUGGUUACUCAAACAACUUGAUGUUAACAAUGCCUUCAUUCAAGGCAGUCUCACUGAGGACGUGUUCAUGUCCCAACCUCCAGGCUUCAUUGAUCGUGAUCAACCUCAUUACGUUUGCAAGCUACGCAAGGCCAUUUAUGGUCUCAAACAGGCACCCCGUGCCUGGUAUCAUGAGCUGUGCACCUUUCUUCUGUCCUCUGGCUUUAUUAACUCUGCAGUCGACCCCUCAUUGUUCAUCUUCUCCAGUCACGGUGCUGUCCUCUAUCUCUUGAUUUAUGUUGACGACAUCAUUAUCACCGGCGACAACUCUCAGGCUGUGCAAACCUUCAUUCAGCAACUGUCUCACCGUUUCUCCCUCAAGGACCUUGGUCCCUUGUCAUACUUCCUUAGGGUUGAAGUUCUCUCUCACUCAGGUGGUCUCUUCCUCAGCCAACGCAAAUACAUUGUUGAUCUCCUUUAUCGCACCAAGAUGACUGAAGCAAAGCCUGCCUCUACCUCUUUGGCAACGCAUCCGCUUCUCACUCUACACUCUAGAACCACUCUAUCUGAUCCCACUGAGUAUCGCAAGGUCGUUGGUAGUCUUCAGUAUCUCUCCCUCACUCGUCCUAACAUUGCUUAUACUGUGAACAAGCUCUCUCAAUUUUUGCACCGCCCGACAACUGCUCAUUGGACUGCUCUCAAACGUCUUCUUCGGUAUUUAUGUGGCACCUUGGACCAUGGCAUCACCCUUUGUCGCGCCUCCCCUCUAGCAUUACAUGGCUUCUCUGAUGCUGACUGGACGGGUAACAAAGAUGACUUCACCUCUACCAGUGCCUACAUCAUUUAUCUUGGUCAUAAUCCUAUCUCUUGGAGUUCCAAGAGACAACGAACUAUGGCUCGGUCCUCCACUGAGGCGAAAUACAGGUCAGUAGCCUCCACUACUGCCGAACUUUGUUGGAUUUGCUCUCUUCUCAGCUAGUUCGGUGUCACUCUUCCGCAUAACCAAUCAUCUAUUGUGAUAAUAUUGGUGCCACAACUCUAUGCUCCAAUCCGAUUUUUCACUCGCGCAUGAAACAUGUGGCCAUUGAUUAUCAUUUCAUUCGAGACCAAGUUCAAAAUCAAAAUGGUCUGCUAUGUGUGUCCCACGUCUCUGCCUCUGAUCAACUCACUGAUGUUCUCACCAAACCUCUUGCUCGCUCUCUCUUUGAUUCCAUGAAGCUCAAGAUAGGACUUACUUCACCGCCGUCCAUCUUGCGGGGGCAUGAUAAGAAUUCUCACCCAACUGGUACUAGAUAGACGGUAGAACUCUAGUUGCUAAUUACAUAUAGGAUUCUGUCUGAUGUAGGUCCCUAUUUCUAGUGUAACUCUCCCGUUUCUGUGCUGCUAUACAUGUAUAUAUUGGGUUACAAUGAAUGUGACAGACACUGAAAGAUUGCUCUAGUAAACACCUCUCUGUUUUAACUUCUUCAGGUGCAACUAGUGGAAGAUAUAGAUAAAAAUGGGAUAAGAAGAAAAUAAGAAGAUUCAAUAUUUUUGUUCAACUUAAACAUUUGAGAUCAUAAGAAUGAAAGUAAGAACAAAUGGUACAAAAUAUCAUCAAACUAUUAUGCCAGACUGCUUUUGGUCACUCAACUUUUUUUGGCAGCUAACUAUGUCAUUUGCCUUUGUAAAACGUAGCAUUUUGGUCAUUCUUUUAAAUUUAGACAUUAAUGGCUCACAGAAACUGAUACACAUCAGUUGCAUGAGUGUUAUUGAAGGGUAGAGAGGUCUAGAAAUUCUUUGAGGGACAAUUUGAAACUUUGGUAGAGACUUUGUGUUUUUUAAGAUUUUUCUUGAUCCCCAGAGAGAAAGCUAUGCCUCAAGAAGGAAGAUAAUGAAGACAAUUUGUGCAAUUACGUGACCUUCCAGCAGUCUUAACACUUAAAUCUAACAGAAUGACUAGAUAAUUACACUUUAAAGAGUUGAGUGACAUUUUCGAUUAGAAAAUAUUGGGGAUAAUAUAGGAGAAAAUGGCUAAAAGUUACAAAGCAAAUGAUAAAAAAAAAUACAAAUCGUGACUCAAGAUCACUUUCCUUUUAGUUUUAUUUGUCUAGAAUUUUGUGUACAAAAACUUUGGACAAAUAUCCUUUGGGAUAAUUUGAAGGGUAUUUGUCUUAAUUCUUGCACAAAAUUAGACAAAUCUACUUGAAUUAUGAUGUGUUUUUGCAGAGAAUUCUAGUAGUAAAAAAUGAUCCUCUGCAGCAAAUCAUUUCUACUAGACCUUUAUAGAGUUGAAAUUGAAAAUGAUCAAGAGUUGCAAUCUUUCACCAUUGAUUUGUGUAUUUGUGUUGGUCAAAAGAUUUCUCAACAUCAAUGUAAGUGGUCAGAUAGUUUUUCAAUAUUUAAACACCAUUUAGAUGGUAAUUAACUGUCAAAAAUAUGAAAAGAUGCCAAGUAGAUUUGAAUAACUUCUGAGCAUUGUAGGAACUAGACAGUGAUGGGUCUUAUGUCGGAUCCUAAGACAGACCCCCCGUCUUGCAACCAAUCAAAUUUUGAAAAUAUUCAACAAUCCCCUGCCAUUUUCAACAUUUAGAAAAUAGACUUCCAAAAGUCACAGCAUAAUCUGACAAUCAUACGCAUAAAUAAUGGUGUUUUUCAAUUGAACCACUAUCUUAGUGAAGAUUCUUUAAAAUUAAUCAAUACAAAAUGGUAGACCAACUUAAACUACUUAUACAUUAGACUAGUCUAAUAAAUACAUCAUACAUAGAUCAGUACACAACUAUAUGUUCUCUGAUGAUUUAUUUUACGGGUUUGUAUCACUAUUCUUUCAUGAAUAUUUCAAAGUAAAGUUCUUAACUUUGUUGUUUGCCAAACUUACAUUCGUAUAGGCGACAUCUUAGUACCCCCACCAUUAAUGGUACUUUCAAAAUUCGUUAAGAGUCAAUAACUCAAUUUAACUAUAAUAAGGUGACAAUAAAACAUACUAUUUUACCUUGGGAUGAAAAACAAUAUAAUGCACCAACCAUUAGAAUCAUAUACUUUCACUUAUUGAAUUCAAGACUAGAUGCUAUAUCUAGUGUUGAAUUGAGGUUCCACUAUUAAUGGUCAUUAAGGUUGGAUUUUAAACUCAUCCCUCUUGAUGUUUUUAACACUAAGUUUUUUAAUAAUCCUUUCGUUAAAGGAUCACUCAAGUUUUUAUUAGACCUCACAAGAUCAAUUGAUUUGAUUCCAUUUGAAAUCAAAUCUUUCACAUAACUAUGUCUCCAACCAAUAUAUUUUGAUUUGCCAUUAUACACUUGACUAUAUGUCUUAACAAGUAUAGCUACACUAUCGCAAUGUAUUGAGAUAGGCGACAAUGAUCUUGGCCACAAUUGUAUACCAUAAAGUAAAUUUCAUAGCCAUUCAACUUUUUUACAAACUGAAGCAAAUACUACUAACUCAGUUAUCAUUGUUGAAUCAAUGAUACAUGUUUGUUUCUUAAAAUCCCAAGAAACCGCACCACCACCUAACAUAAAGAUCCAAUCACUCGUUGACAAGUGAUCAUCUUUAUUAGUGAUCCAACUAGCAUCUAACAAACCUUUUAAAAUUGAAGGAUAACCGGUAUAACAUAUACCAUAGUCUUUAAUGGCUUUCAAGUACUUCAAAAUUCUGAUUACACUUGUCAAUGUAACCUACUAGAAUUGCUUGUAUAUCUAUUCAAUAUACCAACAACAUACACAAUAUCCAAUCUAGUACAUGUCAUUGCAAACAUUAAGUAUCCUAUAAAUUUGGCAUAUUCUAAUUGAGAAAUUGAAUUUCUUUCAUUUUUUUUACAUAACUUAUUUUGAGAUCCAAUGAUGUUAAAACUGGCACACAAUCACUUUGAUUAUUGGCUUCUCUUGCUACCUUGGAACAUGCUAAAUUGUCUCUCUUCAAUCACAUGCACUUUUGUAGUAGAGUUUUUAUACUCUUCAAGGAUUUGAUUAUCCUUCUUUUUUUACAUGCGAAUUUCCUCUUUUAGAUGAAGGGAUUUAGCAAGAGUCUCAAGAAAAGAUUUCCUCAUUCUUUUAUUUGAGAUCUCUCUUAAAAUCUUUUCAAGAAGAUAGUAAUUUAUCUAUAAUGGAACACUCAAUAAUGGCUUCAUCUAUGUAUAAGUUGUGUUCAUUAUAAUGGUUAAGAAACCUUUCAAGUUUAGCAAAUUGUUCCAUAACAUGUUUAUGAUCUACCAUUUUGUAAUUAUUAAAAGAUGAAACAAUGAACUUCUUACUUGUUGCCUCCUCACACAUGUUUUUUGCCUCUAAUUGGUCCCAAAAUUCCUUUGCAAUUGCAAUGGUGUGGUAGACAUCAAAUAGUUUGUCACUCUUGGCAUUGAGAAUAUGUCCAUGACAAAUCUCAUCAUCAUUCUCUCAUUUUUGACGCUUUCAAAUGUCAUCAAGAGUCUCUUCAUUAGGAUUGAUAAUGAGUGGCUUUGGAGUGGUUAACAUAGAGACCACUUGCAGGGAUAUGAGAAGGAAAUGAACUCAUUUUUACCACCUUAUAAAGUUUCCUCCAUCAAAUCGAUCAAAUUUCACAAUGUUGGUUGCUAAUUCCUUCAAUGAAGUUGCCAUUGUUACGUAGGAAGAAUAAAGGCUAAAGAUUGUUGGGGAUAAUAUAGGAGAAAACGAUUAAAAGUUACAAAACAAAUGAUACAAAAAAACUUCAAAUCAUGACUCAAUAUCACUUUCCUUUAGUCUUUAUUUCUCUAGAAUUUUGUGUGCAAAAACUUUGGGUAAAUAUCCUUUAGAAUAAUUUGAAGGGUGUUUGUUUUAACUUUUGCACAAAAUUAGACAAACCUAUUUGAACUAUGAUGUGUUUUUGCAGAGAAUUCUAAUAGUAGGAAAAUAAUCUUCUACAACAAAUCAUCCCUACUAGACUUUUAUAGAGUUGAGAUUGAAAAUUAUCAAGAGUUGCAACCUUUUACCACUGAUUUGUAUAUUUGUGUUGGUCAAAAGGUUUCUCAACAUCAAUACAAGUGUUCAGACAGUUUUUGGAUGUUUAAACACUAUUUAGAUCAUAAUUAAUUAUCAAAAACAUGAAAAGGUGCCAAGUAGAUUUGAAUAACUUUUCAGUAUUGCAAAAACCAGACAAUGAUGGAUCUUAUGUCGGAUCCUAAGAUGGGCCCCGUCUUGCAACUGGUCAAAUUUUGAAAAUAUUCAUUAGGAAAAAAGUAUACAUUUUAAAGAGUUGAGUGAUAUUUUCAGCUAGAAAAAAGUAUAGUAACAAAAGCAAUUCAGUUAAUAAUUUGAUCACAUUUUGCACUACUUGCUCUAAAAGUAAUAUCAUGCAAUUUUGGAUGAGGACUAGAAGAUUAUUGAUCACAAGUAUGCUACAAAUACAGAUACAAUUGCUAAGGACACACCAUUAAGCAGGUCGUAAACAAAAUAAUAUAUAAACAAUUUUCUGUUGUGUUGAUUCAAUGCAUAAAAAGGGCAUAAGGACAAAAUUAUAUAAACUUCCCCUCUUUCGCUUUCACGUAAUCAAAUAAUGAAUAUAUUAACUCAUUAAUGUAUAAGAAGAUUUGAAGAACAAAUUUCAAAAUCCAAAUUCUAAAAUCUAAUAUAUAUAUAUAUAGUGAAUUCCCAUAUCUCCAAAGCAUAUAGAUUAGGUAAAUCCAUCCCAUUGUAGUACUUUCUUACCAUCAUAUUAUCCACGCCACAUGCACGCACUUCGCUCGAUAGUUUUUUCAGCAAAUUGCUUAGAUAAUUAUAAUUGGACACCAUCCCUCCAAUUGGGAUACAAAUGGUAUGUGCUGGGGAAUCUGCUUGUGAUCUAGUUACUCAUUGUUUCUUUUUGUUAUUAUAGAUUGCCAUUCCUUUGUUUAUUCUCUUAAAACAUUUUUUUUAACUUGCCUACAUGCACGCACUCGCUCGAUAAUUUUUUUCAGAAAAUUGCUUAGAUAAUUAUAAUUGGACACCAUUCCUCCAAUUGGGAUCCAAGUGGUAUGCGCUGGGGAAUCUGCUUUUGAUCUAGUUACUCAUUGUUUUUUUUUUGUUCUUAUAGAUUGCCAUUCCUUUGUUUAUUCUCUUAAAACAUUUUUUUUAACUUGCGUGCUUUUUGAAUGGCCUUGACCUCUGUAUCUGCCCGCCUUUUCUUGUAUAGACUUCGUUUGAUAUCUGGCUACUAUUUACUAGAGAAGAAUAUCUCAGAAUCCAUUUUGUGUUAUUUCACGAUUGAGCAUGGCCUUAUACGUAGUACAUAGUGUCAUGUCCAGCUAGACAUAAUCCUUCAGCAAACAAUUGUAAUAACGAAUACGAACUCAAGUCACUGAGUCAAUAGACACAUGUCAUAACCCCUUUACCACCCCCCUCAAAAAAAAAAAAACAAAGGGUUUGGCAAGCUGCUAAAGAUUAAGGCUAGGAUAAACAUCAGAACCCAAAAAAAAAAAAAAAACAAGAAGAAGAAGAAAGGUCUUGGCAAGCUUUUAGAGACAAGGCUAGGAUGAGCAUGAGAUCAAACAAAUUGUCUUCACAUGUUACUUACCUUAAAUUAGGAUAGAAACGUAAAGGGUGUUAAUAGGGGCCAAUUUGAUUAAUUAGGCCCUUUGAUCAUAUGACCAAUGUCAAAUAGCAGUUGAGAUUCAUUGAAACAUUCAAAUGUGAUCUCUUUUCCUGUUGGCAUUUAAGUUCAUAGUCAAGAAUCAUUUACGUUUUCUUUUUUAACCCCCAAAAAAUAUGAUUAAUUUAGUGUGGUGAUAUUGAUGGACCUAUUUUUUUUCUAAUCUUUUGUAGCUAUGAAUAAGUGCAAGUUUGAUUUUCUAAUUUCUUCAUAAGUUAGUCAUGGAAAUUACACCAAAGCUUCAUUCAGUAAAAACAGAUCCAAAAGUUUUAGAAAUACUAGAACAACUAGUUUUGUACCUUUUCUUGCAUUUUUGUUUACUUCUAUUUCCAGCAUUUCUUUUGCGAUUUUUGUUAUUUUUCAACUCUAAAUGUUAUACUCAUUAAUCACAAUGAAAUAAUGAGUAAAGUAGAAUUUCUCAAAUAAAACUUUGUUUAGAGAAGCCAUGUCUACAUAAGUUUUGAAACAAUAAAUUAUCUAUUGGUUCAAGAGCAGGUGACUAAACUUUUCCAAAAUCCUAUCUAGCUAAUUAUACUAUUUUUUAUGUCAAUUGACUUAUUUAACUCCUAAAGAGAUUAAUUAGGCCACCCCGUCUUGUUUAGUUACAAUAGAGUAAAUUCAUGGUAUGUAAGUCGCAUAUUAAAUUUGUCAAGGCAUUUUUGUCACUUCAUAGACAAAAAAAUAGUAAAAUUUUAGUGAUUGUUGCAUGGAGUUUUGCUCCCAUGCCUUGUACCUAUGGUUCCCUUUAAUGUUGCUGUGAUUUAUCUAGUCGUGUGCCCAUCCUUGUUCUUUUACUUCUUUUGCCUAUCGUUUGAUAUAAUAUUAUCUUCUUUUCACUACGUGAUUUUCUAUGCUAACAAGUGGUAUCAAAGUUUUAGGUUAAAGAGUUUGAUUCUAGGGUGUUUGUUGUGCCUAAAGGGUGUGCAAAUUUUGUGAUAGAAGGGCUCCUGCCAUAGAAAGAUAUACAAGUUGUGGUAGAGUACUAAUAUAUUGAAAAAUUGGAUCACGAGAAUUGGUCUUGGUGUACUCGUUUAUUGAUUGAUAAUUAAGGAAAAGGUAACCACAAGUGGAAAGAAGUCUUAAAAGAGGAGUCAGUUGAGAUUGUUGGUGUUGUGCAGUGAUCAAGGAAAAAAAUCAUGCUAAACUACCAUGGAGUUUGAUCAACCCUGAAGUUAAGGAGUCCAAGAAAUUCAAACAGGAAAGCAAAAUUGCUUAUCAAAGUACUUAAAUUACUUUCAAUUGCCAUGGAUAGGGAAUUUGUCAAUGGUGAAAAAGUUAAAAUUUUGCACACACUGAGUAUGUAUGAUAAUAGAUUAGAAUGGGAAGCAAUAAAAGAAAUAUCUCAAAAGAUGUAACUUGAAUGAAAUUAUCAAAAUAAAUUCUUUCUAUGGUUUGUCAAAACCAUAGUUAUUAAACCCAACCCGGGAAGGAACCUGGCGAAGGAGGUGGGUCAACGGGUUACUGGUUUAACCGGUGGGUGAGUGGUUGAACCGGUGGGUCACUACAUAUAUUUAAAUAUUAUAUUUCAUAAUUAUUUAUAUAAGAUAUAUGAUAUAAAUUGUAAUAAAUAAUGCCAUAACAAAAGCUCAUUUAAUUUAAUUUGUUAUAAAAUAAUUAAUUCAUAUAAGAAUCAAUCAAAUAUAAAGUUAUUUAUUAAUAUACCAAACUUCAAGUGUAAAAUUUUAUCUAUAUUUAGUGUAAUUAUCUAGCUUAUUUAUGAAUUUUAAGUGUAAAAAUUUAUUAAAAAUAAUAUUUGUCUUUAAAUGAAUUGUGUAAUAUGUUAUUUUUGGAAUCCAUUUUAUAACUUAUAGAGUUUGGAGGGUAAUAAAUUUUUAUUAAAAGAUUCCAAAUAAUUUGUUUUAGAGAAAAAAAGAUAGAAUUGAAAAAAUAUUUAUAUAUCAUAAUAAAGCUACUAUAUCAACAUAUAUGGAAGUAGUUUGGUGGUAAGCAGGCGGUUGUGUUAGGGCAGAGGUCCGAAGUUCGAGUUCCACCAAUAGCAAUAUAAUUUUUCCACAAAAUCCGAUUAGUGACAAAAUCGGCCAAAACCGGCCGGGUUUCCGGUUUAACCCGGUUCGACCGCCGGAUCGUUGACUAAGUCAACGGUCUCUUUGCACAAAUGAUCUGAUUCCAAACCCGGCCCCGGUCCAAUGACCGGUCCACCGGUUUGACCGGUUCGACCGCCGGGCCGGGCCGGGCCGGGUUUAAUAACUAUGGUCAAAACUUGAAUGAAAAUUAGCAAAAGAAGACUAAAUUACUUUUCAAGAUUAUGCAAAAAUCCAUAGUCGAGGAAAAUUAUGUGAGAGCCUUUUAUUGAUUCUCAAUCACUUGAGUGAUAUGGUCAAAUCUUUGCUAUAGUUUGAUGGAGCUUGAUUGUAAAUCUGAUCGUAAGUCAAAGUUUGGUUUGACAUAGGAACUUAAUUUAGAAGACAAUAUGUUUAUUGAUGUGGGAGAGAUUUUGAAAUUUUGAUAUGGUUGAAAAUUAUGAUUUGCACACAUUAUUUGGGAUGAUUGAUGAAGAAGAAUUUGUCAGUGAAUGCAUUAAUUUGGUUGUGGAUGAAUCUAUUGACAAGUAUGAAAUUAGAAAUUUUUAGUGUGAAAUUUAUUUACAAAAGGAAAGGCAUGAAUUAUUAUUUGAAAACUAUGUGGAUAAUUAUCAUGGAUAUGGAGGCUCUAACGGUAAAUGGGUCAACAUGGACGAAUUUUUUGAUCAAGCAAGAUUAGGUGUUGAAUUAUGUGCAAAGUACAAGCAUGUUCUACUCCCACUGGUGAAGGAGAUGAUAUUUAAAUUGGAGUUACAUGUAAGUUAUACUAUUACAAAGACUACAAAGACAAUUUAAACUCGUGAUGGCAAUGAAGAAAACAACAUGAAGAGUUUGGUUUAAAUAAGGUAAUGUUGAAAUAAUUUAAACCAAGCUAAUUAAAAUUCUAUAUUAUUUAGUAUUUUAGUUAUAUUAUAUAUUGAUGUCAAAUUUGUGUCAAGUUUAAUUAUUAAAGUUGCAUAAGAAUUAGUUUUCUAAUUGUUUGGGAAGUUGUCCACGUGGUACAUGGAAGUCAUAGCAGCAGAGCACAUUUGGGAAUUAGUUAGUUUAAUAUUCUAUAUAAAUGCCUAGUGGCCGGUUUGUAUCAAUUGAGCAAUUUAUUCAAUUACCUUGAGUUGAGCAAUUUAUUCAAUUACCUACAGUUCCUUUGAUAUUUUUGUGAUUUAUCCAGCCAUGUGCUCAUCCUUACUCUUUUGCUUCUUUUGUCUGUCAUUUGAUAUAACAAUAUCUUCUUUUCGAUUGCAUGAUUUUUUGUGCUAACAUAAUCUAAACAGUACAAAUGAUUAAAAAUGGAUCACAGGUAUGAAUUUUGAUCCUCAUAUAUAUUAGCUUUUUUCUCAUAUAUAAAACAUUAUACUACGCUUUUUUCUGGAAACUUGACUCUGUCACUAGACUAUGUUUUUUAAGUAGUACCAGUAAUUCAUCUUUUCAUAUUGUUACUUGAAAAGUCCAAAUAUAUUCUAUGGCAUCAUCACUUGUGUGUAGUUAUUUAUGUAAUAGGUAAGUAUUUCAAGUAUUGGAUUUAUCAUCUUUUCGCCAAUGCAGUUAAUGCACAAAAGUAUCAUAAAUAAAGGGAUUUUAUUUUCUCUGCAAAAUCUAAGUCGGAAUGGUCUAUUUUAGUGUGUCAUUUUGGCUUGCUGCCUAUGGUAGUUAAUUUUAUUUCCUGAGCAUAUAGCAGUUUGGAUAGGGAGAGCUUUUUAAAGUUCUCCUUGGAUGCAUUCUUAUCGAAGAUUUUUUGAAAAUUUCACCAACGAGUGCAAAAACACUCAUCUGAUUCGGUGACGGUUCAAUUUCCUUCGAGUUUUUCAUUGAUCAAUAAAAUUUAUCGUGUCUGAAUAAGAAAAAAUAUAACAGUUUGGAUGCUCGACACUCUUGCUCAACACCAACCAAUGGAACCAUUUAUUUCUGUUCUCCAAGAAUUGCCGGUGUUUAAUGAGUAAACUUCAACCAAAGUGGUACCAAGCCCAACCUAAUUGCCAGGUUCUAACGGACACAAUUAUGCUUACAUAAAAAAUGUGCCCUUGUAAUUAGAGGUGGGUAGCAAAUCACCUCCUGUAUUUGUGAAAUCCACAUAUUACCACCUGAAGUUGGCUAAUAGUCAAACAUUGACUUUAAAUUCCAUCCAUGCAACCAACAAAAAGACCAUCAUGCCAUUAGAUAAUUUUUGUGUUAACAAUUGAAUUCUUUCACUAACAAAGGAUAAAAAUUUUAUUCUAUAUUUUACCAUUCCAUCAGAGAAAUCCCAUCAUGUGAGAAUCAUAUGAUGGAAAAAAAUGUGAUUUUGCACAAUUUGUCUGAUAUGUAUGAUAAAAAUGUCAAUUCACAAUUUUCUGGUAGUUCGAGCAUAUUUUAGUUAAGCCCACAAGGGGUUUUCUUGAUAUUUUUGAACGAUAAGGGGGGUUUAAUAACUUUCAGUCAAACCACAACUAUCACUCAAACAGUAAAUACAAAUUUGAAGAAAUUUUUUCUAUAUGUAUUAUUUUAAAUCAAAGACCAACAUAAAUUGGAAGAACUUGCAACAACUUCUCAAGAUAAUACUCAUGCACGCAAUUUGCACGAUCUUGAUGAAACUGGAACUAUUCUGAUUGCCACUACUUCUCAAACACAAAAUGUCACAGCUUGGGGGAAGAGAGAUAUUUUCCAUGUUCUAAUCUAAUCAAAAGAUUAAAUUAAAUAAACUGUAUUUUUUGCAAACGAAAAUUGAGUAUUAAAUUCGAAGUAAAAUCUUGUUUUCAUGCAUAGUCCAAUGACAUUCAUAAUUAUAGGAAGCUGGGCUAAUUAUGUUGGAAAAGGGAUGCGGCACUACAACGAUCAAAGGGGCAAUUUUGGUUGUUGGCUAUAUUUUUAGCGAGCUGGAUAUUCUAAGCAGUAUCAUGACAAAUGCACUCACUUUAACCUAUAAUUCUACUCAAGAAAAUGGUAAAAAGUUAUGUUUGAUGAAGAACAAGAACCAUUGAUUGAGUUUUGGUUAACUUAGUUGAAACACUCUGCCUUGGUUUGCCAACGUCUUAUGCAUUGCAACAAAUUUUGUCAAGCAAGUUAUCUACUAUUGAGAGAGCUCAUCAAUCUCAAACUCUUAACGAAGCUGAAGCUUCAUCUUCAAGUGAAUUUUUAGGUUGUGGUAAAUUUGAUUUUUAUGUACUAUUGAAUGAAAUUGUUGUUUAAUUGGAGAGAUUGAUCAGUGUUACUAAGACCCAUGGUUGGCAAGUCAAUCAGAAACAAAUGCUACUUCGUCUGUCAACUCACAAGAACAUGAUCAAAGAUCUUUGGAAGCUUUGAGUUUGAUCAGAGUUUUAAUCCUGUGGAAGGUUUUGAUGGCUUCUAUGAUAAAACAAGCCUUAAUGAGUUUCUGAGAAACAGUUUCGGGGACUUAAAAGAUUAAAUGAUUUUGAACUUGGUGAAACGGAUAGGAAGUCUGGAGUAACUAGUGGAAGAUAGCAAAGAAUGGGCUAUGAAGAAAACAAGGGAAGCAAGUUCAAUGUUAGAGGCGGUUACUAUUUCUAAUAUGUGCCGAGAGAAAAGUCCUAUUGCUAACGUGCAAUUCCUCCAUUUUCAUCGUUCUUGGAACUUUUCUAGCUUUAGCGGGGUAGAUUGCAUUCAAUUUUGCUUCUCUAUCUUGUCUGCAGUCUUCUUCUUGGUUCCUUUUUGUUUUCUCAAUAUGUUUCUAAUAAUUUUUAAUCUAUCAAAAACUACCCUUGUUGCUCAAAUGCUGCUUGUUUAGCAUCUGUCUCCUCCAUGUAAUAUGGAUUUAUGGCAGAAGGGUCGUCUAGUGCUAGAUCUUGGAGGAGGGAAAAAAAUUUUGGAGAAUUUUUCCGCUCGGUCUACUACAAAAUAAUGUCCAGAGGAGGAGCAGAGUUCCCAAACUGUUCCUUUUGUUGGGGUAAAGAGGUGAAAACCUCUAAACCGGAUGUUGGUAGUCUAUCAUUGAAACUUGUUGCUCUUGUGACUAUCCAAGAACAAAUGUUUGUUGAUGCCAAACCAUUUAGCAGGAAUUAGAGUUCUAGGUUCAAUUUCUCCAUUUUUCCUUUUACUCCUUAAAUCCUACCCCUUUUCUACUAAUUUUAUUUUUGUUCUUCUUUAGAAAAAGGUGAAACAUAAUCAACUUCCAGUUAUAAUGAUCCAAUGCAUUAAAGGGCUUCAGGCCAAGAUACUAUAAACUUCUCUUCCUACCCGUUAAGGUAAUUGAUGUGAAUAAACUAAUUAAUUCAUGUUAUAAAAAUGUCUGGAGAACAACUUCAAAAUUCAAACACUACAGUCUCAAAUAAUUCUUGCAUAUAUUCUACUGAACUCUCAUAAUUCCAUUGCAGAUUAACUAGGUAAAUCCAAUCCAUGCAGUAUUGAAGUGGAUUUUGUUAAUCAACAUGCACGCACGUCGCACGAUAAUCCUUAAACACAAUUAUAACUGGAACUAUUGUGACUGCUACAUACCAUUCCCUCAAUUGGAACUUGUUCAGUAUUGUGAGCAGAUGGAAUUUGAUUGGGGGUUCUGAUUUCUACCUAAUUGUUCUUUGUUGUUCUUCUCUUUCUCUUGCUUUUCUCUCUCUUAAUUUUGUUGCAAAUAUUUCUUUAUUUGUGUUGCAAGUAAUUUUUCUUUUUUAUUUAUAAAAAAAAAAGGAAUAAAGUUGAGCAACUAUGGGAUAUGUCUAGUAGUUGUCCAUAACCAAUUACACUUAGCCAACUAGAUGAUUAAAUCCAUUUGUUAAAGUUGAUGUAAACUCCUCCAGACUGCCACUAAUAUUAAUUACUACUAACAUUAGUUACUACUAAUUAAAACUUUUAUAAGUUUCUUUUGAUUUUCUCAAAAUUUCUUUAGUACUUUUUCAAUCUUUUACUCUUUCUAGUGCAUCUUUGCUAAAAACUCUACAAAAAAUACUCAUAAUUUGUACAUUUUGUGCAAACAUUCUUUUAUCAUUUUUAUUCAAUUCUUUUUUAGUUUUUUCUGUAGUUUUCCUUUUUUUGUAAUCUAUGACAAUAUAUGAAAGCUCAAAAUUAAUAGAUUUAACAAAAACUUCUAUCAUAUUCUUUCACACGUCAUAAUUUUUACCAUUAAAUAUUGAUAGCUUAUUUAAGGAUCUUCCUAACAUGAUACACAUUAAGUUCUUGUGAAGAGGAAAAUAUUGAAGAUUUAAUGGAUGAAAAGAUUGGUAGAAGUUUGUACAAAAUGUUAAAAAGAGCAAAUGGCUUAAAUAAGACUUUAAAAUCUAAUUUGAAUAAAUAUACAUUAGAAAAGAAAAUGAGAAGUUAAACCUUGCCAUUGAUAAGUUAAGAGACUCAUAAAAAAGUUGAAGAUUCAAACAAGGAAUUGAAGAAAAGAAAUAAAAAAAUUCAAGGAUUAAGUGAAGGUUUAUGAAUCUUUAAAAGUUGAACAUAAGUACUAAGAAGAGAGCGACUGAUUUGAAUUUGUGCUUAAAACAGAAGAGUAAACAAUGGUUGUAAAUCAAAGAAAGACUUCUUGCAAAAAGAAAAAUGAACUGAAAAUAUCUAAUAAUUAUAUGAAAAAUAUUGCUAAGACUAAACAUUGUGAUCUCCAAAAAUAUCUUGUAAUUAUUGUGGUAAAAUUGGACAUAUAUCCUUCUAAUGCGAUAGUAAGAAAAAUACUAUGAGUGAAAAGGAAAUGCAUAUAGAUUAAAAAGAAAAAUCUAUCGAAAAAUCUAUCAAUGAUAAGAAAGUGACUACAAGAGUUUAAUCCCUCUGCCCCUCCUCGUUUCUUAAAUCCCCCAUCUCCCCUAUUGGAAAAAAAAUUAAAACAAAAACCAUAAGAGUUUAAUUAUGUAAUAAUGUUAAAAAUAAGGCAUACUAUCUUUAAAUAAAUUUAGAGAAAAUAAAGUUUUUUUUUGUUAAUAGUUGAAUGUAUAAUGGUCAUAGAAAAGUUUUCAAUCUUUAUGAAGUCAUCAAGAAUUUAAAAUCUAAAGAUUAUCAAUAUCGUUUCUUUUUUUUUUUCUUAGUGUAAGUAGAAAGUUACAAAACCUAGAACUUCUUACUUACAUUGCUUCUUCCAUACUGUUUAACUUAUCUCUUCCCCUUAAUAUAGUUUCUAUUGAUAUACAUAAAUACAUUCACGUGUUAACCUUUUUAGGUCGUUGAUAAUAAGUGCAUAUUUUGUGUGUUUUUAGUGUAUUUUAUUAUUUAGUUUUGGAGUAUUUUAAUUAUUUUUAUAACUAAUUAACUAAGUUUCUAGCGAAAAUAUACAUUUUGUGGUUUAAGUGUUAAAAAUUGCAUUUCUAUAGAUUUUAAUGAUGAAAACUUCAUGUUUUUGUAGGUUUGAUGAUUCAAUCAUCAAAUAGAGUGGGUUGAAAAAAUAAUUGGAUGAUUUUUGAUGAUUUGAAGUGGUUUUAAAGAUAGUAUGAAGUGCAAGAGAGGAAAUGCAAUUAAGGGAGGUUUCUAGCUUUGAUACAUGUUGGUAUUUUGGCUAUAUCUUGAGUUACAAGUAUCAGAUUGAGGUGAUUCUUGUGCCAUUUUGAAGCUAACACAUAGCUCUAUAUUUCUUGUGAGACAUUGAAGUCUAGUUCAGUCAUUUUUAUUGUCAAAAUGUCCAAAUACAGAAGUGCAUUUUCAUUGUUAAAAACUGAAAUAGGGGAUUAACCAGUUGAGGGUAUUUUGAUAAUUUCUCAGUCUACAGAACUCCAAAUUUGAUUAUUAUUAGGCAUUGGAAAGCUAACUCAAAGCACUACAACUUUUAUGUUUUAUACAAGAGCUAGUUCAGCCCCCAUCAUCGAGAAAAUAUUAGUUGAAGCUGGUACAAAAACAGAGUAAGGAUGAAAACUGACAAAAAGUGAGCAAACCUGCAAUAAGGCAAAACGGGGGUACAAUAUGCAAGGUAGGUUGGGAUUUUGGGGCUGCGUAUUCUUGUUUUGUAGCUGCAACUUACUCUACAACUUGUUCUUUGUUCACACAAGUUUUUUGACCAAUUUUUUGUAAGAAAUCCGGCUGGAAAUGAGCAAGCAAGUGUGGAAUCUUAUAGAAACAACUUUUGGAAGUUUCAAGAGCCAACUUUGUCAACUAGAAACAACUCAUUUGUGGCUUGAAUCUCUUUAUAAAUAGAAGCCUUGGAGAACAUUUUAACAACUUUGGAAGGCUAGAAAAACUUCAUAAAAAUGUAUUGUUCACUACUUUUUCUUAGUUCAUUAGUAUAGUAUAGUUAGAGUAGUUUAUCCAUCUUGCACUUGUAGUUAGAUUUGGAUGAAAAUUUGAAGAGCAAAGAUGGAGAGUGGGACGUCAUGCAAUAAGGGUAAUUUCUCUCCUAACAUUUUCUCUUUUGUAUUUGAUUCAUGUUUAGUUAUAAUAUAAGUUUGGUAUUUAUCUUCAUGUUUUGCUAAAGUUUAUGCCCAGAGUUAUGGAUGAACUUUCUAUAUCUUGUUUGUGAUAUUUAUUUGGUUAUUUGAUGAUAUUAUUUUGAACAAGUUAUUUAUCACUUUUGCUUAUCUAAUCAUGAUUAACCGGCCAUUAAUUGUGAUAAUCUUAAGGUGUUAAGUUUGUAAUGAGAAUUGAGAUUUAACACUAGUUCAAGGAAAUGAUAAAUCUAAAAAAUUCACUCACGAGAGUAGAGGAGCACCUUUGUGACUUUGGUUUUCAUGUAAUUUCAUAGAAGAAACGAGCUUGUAGUUAAUUUCAUAAUCGUGAGAAUAGAAAAAAUGAAACUUCUCUCCUAGCACUUUCUCUUUAUAUUUGAUUUCAUACUUAGCUAUCAUACAAGUUUGGAUUUUUUUAUCAUAUUUAGCUAAAGUUUAUGCCUAGAGUUAUGGAUGAACUUUCUAUAUUUUGUUAGUAUUGUUUACUUGGUUAUUUGAUGAUAUUAUUUUGAACAAGUUAUUUAUCACUUUUGCUUAUCUAAUCAUGAUUAACUGGCUAUUAAUUGUGAUAAUCUUAAGGUAUUAAAUUUGCAAUGAGAAUUGGAAUUUAACACUAGUUCAAGGAAGUGAUAAAUCUAGAGAGUACAUUUACGAGAGUAGGGGUGCACCUAUAUGACUUUAGUGACUUAUUUCAUGUAAUUUCAUAGAAAAAAUGAACUUGUAGUUGAUUUCAUAACCACGAAAGUAGGCAUGAUUUAGUUACAAGUAUAGUUGAUUCACUAUGAGAGUAAGUUUAACAUACAUUAGGAAAUUACACCAUAACUAGCCAAGAUAAUAGCAUUUAGUUAACCGGUAACUUCAUUUGCAAGAGUAGUAAGGAAUUCCAAAUCUCUAGGAACUUAUUAUUUUUUUUUUAUUACUUUUUUCUCAUAUUUGUAGUGUAGAUUUAAUUUCUUGCACUUAUGAUAGUCUAAAUAAUAAAGAAAUUCGAAAAUCAUCAGUAAUUGACAUUCUUUCCUGUGGGUUCGACCCUUAAUACCCUAUACUCAAUUACGACUCGUAUACUUGCGAAAAAUCAUGUGUGAGAUAUUUAGGAAUUCAUAAAUAUAAAACUUGACUGUGGAUGAGCUAAUUGUUAUAUGUAUACCCCACGCUUAUCAGUUGAAAAUGCUUAUAUUUCUUGAAAAUAUAUAUGGUUGCAGUAUGAUCUUAUAUGAUUAAUUUGAAGAUGAUAAGUUGAAUGAAGAAAUGAAUACAAAAAUAAAUAUUGGAUGAAUUGGUACAUUGACUUGGAAUUGAUUAAAUGUUUAUUAGUUCAAUUAUCUUCUGAGUUGAAAAUUUGAAUGCAUUGCCAAAUGAAUAUGGAUAAUAUUUGAGAGUGAAAAUAUUUUUAGAAGAUUUAAAUGGGUUUGUUUAAUUAAUCUUUGAUAGUCUAAAUAUUCUUAUAUCAUUCACUUGAUAUUGAUGAAGAAAGAAAAACAACAAAAAGUAUGAAAAACCAUACUUUCAAAGUUGCAAAGAAAUAAAGAAAGAGAAGAAUGGUCAAAAGUACAUAUGAUAAGCAAAUAGAAACAAAUAACAAGCACUUCGUGGCACCAAAUGAUGAGGGAAUUCUAUCUCUCAAUUAUAGAAAUUUUGUUUAUAAAUUAAAUGAUGAUGAAUUUGGAGCUUUCAUUUGUCACUUACAAGAUAAAUUACUAAAAUCUUAAGGUCAAAGAGUAGAUGGUUAGAAAUCAAAACAGAAAAGCUCAUAUGACGUAAAAACAAAUGCAUGAAUUUGUGAUCUAUCUUGUUUAAUUCUUUAUAGCAUGUUGAAUCUGAGACGAAGUUGAUUUCACAAAUAUAAAUUUGGAUUUUAUAAAAAGGAAAAGAAUAAUAAGUUGUGUUGGAAAAAACUUAUAUGAUUCACUAAUUCUUACUCUAUUUUACAAGAUAUUAAAAAAAUUGUGGUUCAUUGCCUAUUAGUAUUAUUUUGAAAAGAAUGCAACAGAUAUGAUAUUUUGAACAUUUAAUGAUUUUUCACAAUUAAAAAGGCAAUACAAUUUUUUUUGAAUUUGCUUGCUAUGAAAUUUAAGUUGCACGUCAUUGUUGUGAUUUGUGCAUGCUUAUAUAAUACAUGUAUUUUUAGGCUAUAUUUGGAUUGAGAGAUUUGACGAAGAAUUUGAAAUCCUCUCAAAUUCCUCUUGUUGCUUUGAUUAUUUAGAAAACAUCUAGAUUAUAAAUUACUAAUUAUUCUAGUGUUUAAAAUGUAUUUAAAUAAUUAGUGAAUUACAAUUUCAAAUGCAUUUUAAACAAUCCAAACAACUAAACCGAUUUAAGUGGAUUUCAAAUCCUUUGUCAAAUUCUUCGAUCCAUAUGAAUCCUUACACUACUAAUACCUACUUAUAUAAAGUACUUUUCUUAAAAAUUGUGUAGUUUGAGUUUAGAUUUUAAAAAUAUAUAAUUCCUCAACCCAAGAUAAUCAUGCUCGAGCCGCUCAUGAAAAGCGAGCAUUCAAAUGAUUUGAUGGUUUUGAAAGUUGAAAGGAAUGAUGUUCUUAUCUACUAAGUUUAAAUUCAUACCAGAGAGUAGAUGAAGAACUAAACAAGUGGUAAAUCUAACAUCUUCCUUAGACAAUAAAUAUUAUAACUCUUAAAAGCAGAUGAAAAGUUGCAUCUAUAAAUGAUAUUUGCUUUUAAAAUUUAACUACGCUACCUCAAAUUGUGUAUGAGGUAAAUAGGUCAGAUUUAAAUGCUUUUUUGAGAUGCACCCUAAUUUUCAGUAUUAUGAGAAUUAAAGAUGUGAUUUUGGAAUGUCUAACUCUUUUGAUUUUCUAUGCAAACUUGUCCUGUGUACAAAAUGUGAUUUGAAAUUUGAUUGGACAUAUGGAUGCCUAAUUGAAAAGAACCCCUUUGUUUUGAACUGGUUCGUAUGUUAUAAAAGAGAGGAGGAGCAUUUUUUAUCCCCAAUGUUUGGGGUGUGGACUAAUUUCAUUCCUAAAUUUUUAGUCAAAACACAUUUUGUCAUCAUAUUGUCAUAAUUUUGACUAAUUAAGGAUAAUUGAUGGAUUGCCUAUCAAUUUAGAUGGAAUUAGAGUUGCAAACGAGUCGAAUUAAGUUGAGUUUUGGCCUAAUCGAAUCUAAUCUCGACUUAAUUUUAUCAAACUCAAACUCGAGAAACUUUCAAUGUAAAAUUUGAGCUCGAGUUCGACUCAAAUUCAAGUCGAAUCAAGUUUGAGCUCAAACAUAAAAUAUAAAAAUAAUUAUUUUUAUUUUUUAAAAAUUGAAUAAAAUGAUAAUUUUUCUUAACAAAUAAUAAAAUAUUAUGGAAAUGUAUGUAAUUUCACUGUUAAAAUAAAAAAAAUAUAUAUAUAUAUAAAAUCGAAUUGACUCACGGGCUACUGAGAUGAAUAUAUUUGAACUCGAGUUUUGAGUUCGAGUUUGAAUUUGAUUUUGACUCGAGUUACUUGCGAGCGACUCAAGUUUUGACUCGAGUUGCUUGUAAGCGACUCGAUUCACGUACCGCUCUAGAUAGAAUGUCAUCACUUUUCUUUGGAUAAAUAAAAAUUUCAUUAACAAAUUGUUGAAAAUCGUCUAAUACAAUUUGAUCUACAUUAUUGCCCUAAUGGCAGGUUAAACAUACACUAAAAAUUAUAGAUCUGCAAUUUAACAAAUACAUAAAUUCGAAAAACUAUGAAAAGAUCUAAAAAAUACAUGAAAUUUUUAAAUUAUCUUCUAAUAGAUAGAUCACUGCAGCUCCCUUCUAUGCAUGUUGCAAUCGUUAGAUCUACUAACUAAUGGUUUAAAACUCCAAUAAUGAUAAUGAGAUCUAUCAAAAUAGAUUCAAGAUCUAAAAAAUUUUCAAAUCUAACAACCAAAUCCGAAAUAAAUUUAGAUCUAACAAUACAAAAGAAAAAAAAAAUCUCCAUAGGAAUUCUUAGGAGAAUAGAAAAUUCUCACUAGGAAUUCCUAGGAGAACCAGAAAUCUCUCACUAAGAAAAUCGAGAAAAGACUUUAUUAGAAAAACCAAAACAAAACGAAACAAGGUUCACGAGAUGGUCUCCCUCUUUAAGGGAAGGCCUCUCAAAAGAGGAAAAGAAAUAGAGAGAAAUUAUAGAAUGUCAUCACUUAACUAGCAUGUUCUGUUAGUAAAAAAUGUUCGAUUGACAAAAUCGCUUCUUAAUUCAAGUUCUCCUCGUCAGCUCUAAAAAGCGGUGGAAAAGAAAUGACUUUAUCACAACCAAUUGAAGAAAACUCUUACUGCGAGAAAAGAGUUCAACAAUAGGUCAACUCCAAGAUAUGGUUUUGUUUUCAUAACUUAAAUCAUGAAUUAAGCCCUAAUAAUGUAAUUACUAACGGGGCAUGCUGAUCAUUUGAUGAUACUCCAUCCAAAUUAGUUGAUAAUUCUUCAAUGUCCUCAAUUGAUCGAAAUUAUGAAACUAUGAAGAUGUAAUGUAGUUUGGCUAAUACUUUAGGAACGGAAUUGAUCCACAACCCAAAAAUGAGGGAUGAAAAGUGCAUAAUUUGUUGUGGCUGGAGAGCAAGAGUUCUUCGAUAAUCGUCUUAGAGGCGCCUCUAUAUGCAUAUAUUUACUAUUUGAAUAUACACUCACAUUCAUCGAUCCUGUCGAGAUUUUUUUGUUUUACUUGACCUCAUUUUUUGAGAAAAAGUCCUGGCUUUAAGCACUUAUUAGACAAACUCCAAAUCCAGAAGUUCUUCACCUAAACUGAAAAUCUGUUACUAAUCCAAAUAAAAAGUAAGAUUAAUCUUUAAGAACAUCUAUUGUUUUGAUAAGUUUCUUUCUAUCAUUUUCUUCUUCUUUUUUUUUUUUUUGAGCAAACAACACCUUAGUUUUAACAAAUCCCGUACAACUGUGUACAUAUAGCAAUAAAGGACUAAUAAACAAGCCAAUUCAGUGGACAAAGAAGAAUACCAUUAAUACUAAUGCCAGCGAAAAUUUCGCCUUCAUUUGCCAGAAUCUUGGUCAAUAUCACAGCAGUAAAGAUUGCACCAUUUAAAUAAUUUGAUUCCUAGACAAAUCCUCGAGCGAUAUACUAACCAUUUUAAGAUAAUUUUAUAGACAAUAGAUCUCUCAAAGUUUUUUUUUUGCGUAAAAACACUUAUUUUAAAAAACACAUGUUUGAGUAAUGACAAUUUAAGUCCAAAAUAUAAACAGACUACUUAAAAUUGGAAAAAUUCUAAGACUAAACAGGAAAAGUAAUAAAUAUUCCCAAUACUUACGGAAAGGCAUUUGUAACUUAAAUAUGCAAUUGUUACCAAAAUGAUAGAAAUGAUAAGACUUAGAUCCUCAAUUAAACGUCAAGACAACCACCCCUACUUUCCAUUUGGGAAUUAUAUUUCAUAACCACAGACUUAUCUUUUCUUUCCAUAUCUUAAACCUAAAACCGUCCGUAGAUUGUUUAAAUUGACAAUGAUUUAAUCUUGCUAAAAAAAUUAAAACAUAAUUUAUAUGGAUUAAUAUUCUAUACAUGGACAGUGUAUACACUUUCACUAUUAGAUGUAUGAUACAUAAUUCAAAUUUGAAUUUGAAACAUAAAUUUUGUAUAAAUGUCGUGUAUCCAACUGUGAUAGUGGAUACAAUGGUAGUGUAUAUAAAAUUUACUCAAUUUUUAUGUGCUAAAACUUUAGGUGCCAGUUGAGAAGUGCAAACUUUGCUACAUCUGUUUGCUCUUUCAUUUAUUAGGUAGUUCUAUUUCACCUUUCUUAAAGCAUAUUUGUUGAAUAAGAAGUGACUCCAAUAACAACAGAAUUAACUAAUAUUGAAACCCUGAUGAAUUGGGGAAAAACAAAAGAUUUAGGUCAAGAGUUAAAAGUUUCACAUUCUCAAUUUUAUAAGGUGGCAAUUAAAUGGAAACAAUUACAUUCAAGUUCAUGAGUUAUGGCUGUUGAAUGCUCAUUUUUUCCUCUUUUUUUUUUUUCAAAAAAAAAUCCUUCUCUUAGUUUUUUUUCCCCUUCUGUAGUGUAAAGAGACAUCUACCCUAUUACCCACUAUGUUGUGGCACUAUUGUAAAAAAGAAAUUAGACAAUGUGAUUUCUAGCCCUUGUUUCGUUUGCUAUUGAAAUGUACUAAACUAAGCAGCGCAGGAUCUUAGUCUGCUCGGAUUUGCUUGUAUGAGCUGUUAAGCCACUCGUAGAAGCGAGUAUCAAGAAGAUCUAGAGAUUAUUUGAAACAAUUAUUAUAACAUUUUUUACGAUAUAAUGUAUGUAAGAUAAAUAAAAGAUUGAAAAGAUAAAAAAGUAUGUUAAAAAAUAUAAUGUGAUACAAGAAAAUAAUUUUUUGUCGACAAUUCCUAUCCAAAAAAAAAUGUCUUCCUUUGCAUUCACUUGAAGUACCUAAACUACAUUAUCAUUGACAACUAGUGGCUUGAGAACAUUUAUCAUCAUAUUUGGAAUUGAACAAUAUCAAACAUAAUUGAAAAGAGGUGCAAAAGCAUUAAUUACUCUUUAUCCAUCUCUACAUCCGGACAUCAUUAUAACUAAACUAGUUUUCACUUAUUACCAGCUAUGUUUUUAGAACCGGACGGGGUAUCGACUCGGUCGAGCUCAGGGGUGAAUGGGUUCAACCAGAUUCGAUCAGGGUUGAACGGGAUGAUGUCAUAAAUAAAAAUUAUUUAAAAAUUAAAAUAUUAUAUGUAAAAUAUCUAAUAACAUGUGAAUACUAAUAAAGAUAUAUUCAUAUAUAUUUGAUGUUUCAAAUAUAUUUAACAAGAAAAUACAAAGAAAUUAGAACAAUCAAGUAGCAAUUUAUAUUAUUUAAUGAGCAUUAACAAGUUUAGAAUUAAAAUUAUAGACUUAAUUGAAAAAUAACACCAAAUUUUAAGACAACAUUUAUAGAGUAUGAAAUAUUUGAGGUAUAUUAAUAAUUUUUAACAACCUAGGGGUCAAAACAUAAUAUUAAAAAUAUUUUGACCUUUCAAAAAAAAUUUAAAAAAAAGAGACCUUGUUCUUAAUUUUCCGGUCAAACCCGGUUUUUGACCUAGUUUGACCGAAUUUUUAAUUUUCUGGUUUUUAUGGUUAACUCGGACUGAACAAUUGGCCGGUCCGGUCUGAGUUUAAAAGCAGAGAUUACCAGCUGUCUGCAUAUCUCAAAGGCUGUGAUUUAGCAUUUUUUUACAUAACUCUCCUAUGGUUUCAAAAGUUAUAUAUAACCCCAUCAUAAUUUGGAUUAAAAUGUCAAAGUGACGAUGGGAAUGAUCAUUCGUAACGGAGUCAUCUAAAAUGUCAAAAAUACCCUUAUGUAAAGUUGAAAAUUAUUUAUUAAUCUAGGGGAGUUAUGUGUAUAUAUUUUGAAAACCAUAAUGGGGCUAUAUGGUAAAGUAUUAAACUAUAAGGGGGUUAUAUAGUAAAAUAUAAAAAUUAUACGGGAUUAGUGUGUCAUGUAUUUAUAAGGGUAAUUACGACAUUUCUAGAAGUUCCGUUACGGAUGACUAUUUCCGUCACUUUGACACUAUAAUCCAAACUAUAAAGAAGUUAUAUAUAGUUUUUAAAAUCAUAGGAGGAUUAUGUAAAAAAUAUUAAAUCACAGAGGGAUAAAAUAUAAUUUGCCCUAUCUCGAAUCAUAUGGUGAAGGUUAGCUGUAUUGGCAGCAAAAUAGAAACCAUCUUCUUUAACCAGCAAAUAGCAUAUACUGUCACCGCCAUCACAUUGUUCCCUUACAGUUUUAUUGAAAACAUCAAAUCUUGUGUCCUUCAUUCUCCAGUAAAAGUGACAGAAAAAUAGUGUCGACCAAAUGAAGAAAUUCUCAUGAAACGUCCACCGAAACUCGUUAUUCAUAUAGAGGGUGUGAUACCCUAAAUCAUCAUCUCCAGCUGAUUGACAACGAAGAACUAAAGGGUUGGAAUUAUCAGGAAGGCCAUUGACUACAUGAAGAUGAUAUUUACCCGUAAAAACAUCCCAAAAUGAAAAUGAUGCUGCGAGGACAAAGCAAAGUAGUGCAACAAGCAAGCUGAAAAGGCUUUUCGCUGUUGUAAUGACUCACAUUGGUCAUGAUAUGCUCUGGUGAAUUAGGAGUUACCGCGUUUAUAUAGAACAGGGAAUUAUAUACAAGAGAAGAAGUGAGAAUUUGGUACGUGGAAAAAGACAACAAAUAAUUGUGCCUUGAGCCAGCAUUUCUUUUUCCCAUGUUUAAAUGGCAAGCUAUUAUUAAUGAAAUAAUUCGUUACCAUGUCAGGAGUACUGAAGCAUCAUGUCUUUUUUCUCAAAAUUUUUGUAAUUAAUGCGGUGAAGAUGUUAUUCAGAUGUAAGCUUUGAAAUACGAAAUCGUCAUUUUUGGAAAUAAAAUAUAAUCAGAGAUGUAGGCUGCUCUAGUGUGUGUGUGUGCCCAUCCAUAUAUACAUAUAUAUAUAUAUAUAUAUAGUGUGUGUGUGUGUGUCAUAUAUACAUAUGUGUAUAUAUAUAUAGGCUGCUUUAGUGUGUGUGUAUAUAUAUUUCACAAUGUAAACCAUGAUACAAUUUAUAAUUCAAUUGUUAAAUACAUGGUGUACACCUUCACUACUCACUUCUCUAAAAUAGGCACUCGUCAAUGAACUUUUUACGUUUUAACUUUUUUGUUUGGACAUUUCUUUAAAACAAUCUUUUUGUGGAACUGAAAUAAGCUGUUGAACUAAGCCAAAAUGCACUUUGGUCGUCUUAUCAUUGCGUCAUAUAGACCGGAAAAAAAUAUGGUAAAAACAAAAUUCAAUAAAAAGCACAUUGAAGAAACUUUAGCCAAUUGAAAAAAAUAAAUAAAUCAAACCUAAUUUGAGCUUAUGAACAAAUUUUAGGGAUACGACCUCCCGCAUCAAGAAGUUCCUAAUUCCUAUGUGUCUUUCCUUCUAUUAUUGGAUCGUAAUUCAUCCCAAUAAAAAAGAUUUCUCGUCAUACUUUAAAAGAAAAAUAAAGCAACAAUAGUUUUACUUUUUGGUUGACAAUAAGUAACCAAAUUUAUAAGUUUAAGAAUAGAAAGGGGCAAAGUGCCCAAAUAGUCCUCUAAUUCAACAUGACAAAAAUGUUUGGUUCUCGUUUACUAAUCUUGCAUUGGGUUCUUUUGGAAUAACAUUCAAAAUAUUGGGACUAAUUUGUAGACAGCAGUAAUAUCCAAUCAAUUUGUGUCCUAACAUUUAAAUAGGACUAAAUGCCCUAAUAUUCCCCUUGGGAUUGUUCGGCUGAAUCCACAAGUACCCUGCGUUGCCUCGUGGAAAGUGGCGUAUUUGGUCUCGUCGGCUGCUGGCCACAAUUCCUGGAAGGAAGAUUGGCCCGCCCAAUGCCGACCAUCAAUAGUCGUCUUUGGCAACGUCAAAGUUCAAAGUCCACGACCCCGUAAUUUCCUCGAAUUUAGAUCAACACACUUGAACUUUUGUGCUAUUUUUUUAAUCACCAACUGGAGGAUUUGAAUGUGGCAUUUGGAUCCCUCAAAAAAAAAAAAAAAGAUAAAAUUGUAAUGCUUAAAAUGUGACCCUUUUGCACAAUAAUUCACUUAAAUUCAUAUUCUAGCUGAGGCCUUGACAUUUCUCUACCAUUGUUUAUCUCCAAUUUUGCUCCAUUUUUUUAGUGUUUGACGAGACUAUCCAAACAUGAUUUUAUGCAACUCUCAAGUGAGUUUUUUUUUUAUUGAUGACCUUAGUAAUUUUAUCAAACUGUCUAGUAAGCUUUUUUUUAUUGAUGACCUUAGUAAUGUAAACAAAGAGUAGAAAGUGAUCAUUCAACAAAAAGUCUUUAUUUAUAUAUAACCUAUGUGAACUAUAUACAAAACUAAUCACAUGACCUAUAUAAUCACUAUUUAGGUCAUAUGACAUCUCAGGAGAAGAUCUAAAAUUUGUCUUUGUCCUUUAAACUUUCCUCCAAUAUGCCAAAUAAUGUAAAUAAUAGUACCAACAAUUCUAGCAAUUCUAAUGAAAGAAUGCUUGAAGACAAUCUCCUUUCCAACCUUUCACAUUUGAUUUGCAGACUUAUUAAGCUACUAAACCAAUAAAGUUAUAUAUAAAUAUCAGAGUCUCUUACCAAAAAAAGUUUUAUUGGACGCCCAGAAAUAAAGAUUUUCAACAUACAAUCUUCUUCCUAUUUUUAAAUGGAUUUUUUCUUUCUCUAAUAAUCGAAAAAUAAACCAUUAAUGUUUUCAAGAUACCAUUUCUUCUAAAUUUUAAUAUGAAAGAAAACAUUUUUGUACAACUAUUUUUUACUUUAGCUCCAAGCAAAUUGAUGAUAGUUAAUGUCUAAGAUUCUUCCAAAAGCAAAAGAAAUAUGAUAAAUUAACAUGCCAAAAUUAAGUCAAGCACAAAGGGUAAAAAUGUUUGAUUCCUAAAGGUGUUGUGGCUGGUAACAAUUACUUGAAUUUGUCAACCAUCCAUUUUUUUUUAACCAUAACAAGAGAAAAAAGAAAAAGGGAAAAUUACGUAAAAAUUGUAGGCGUGGAAAAUGACACCUCUAUAAAAACCAUAACCCUGAUUCCUCGCUUCUUGCUCCGCCUUUCGCCUCCCUUUUUCGGCUCCUUCACCUGAGAACCAGCCAGGAAAACGCAAAGGUAGAGGAGCGCAGCCCAGCCCGGCCCGGCCCGCUUGUUAGAGACUCUCACAAAGUCAACAUCUCAGCUUAUUACUACGAUCAGGUAGAUCAAUCGAUCAAACACUUGCAUUAUUGCAUUAUACAAACGAAUCCCACUCUACUAGGUGCGGAUAAAUUCAUGGAUCUACCGUUCUUUUCUUCAUUUUAUUGAUUUGGAAUAGAUUAAAUGCCUAUAUUUCUUCAUGGAUGUUCUCAUUUCUUCAUAAAAUUGUCCCUGAUAUUCAGUUACCUUGAUGUCUGUCUGUAGAAUUUUUAAUUUUUUUCUGGGUUUUUGAUUUAGAAGAUUUGGUAUUCUGGGUUGUUUCAUUUGCGGAUUUUAAGUUCAGAUCUGUUAAUCUUUUUUGGGACACACUUGCAUUAUUGCAUUAUACAAACGAAUCCCACUCUACUGGGUACGGAUAAAUUCAUGAAUCUUCUUUUCUUCAUUUUAUUGAUUUGGAAUAGAUUAAAUGCCUAUAUUUCUUCAUGGAUGUUCUCAUUUCUUCAUGAAAUUGUCCCUGAUAUUCAGUUGUCUUGAUGUCUGUCUGUAGAAUUUUUAAUUUUUUUUCUGGGUUUUUGAUUUAGAAGAUUUGGUGUUCUGGGUUGUUUCAUUUGCGGAUUUUAAGUUUAGAUCUGUUAAUCGUUUUUGGGACUCUUUUUUCGUGUUGCUUAAAGGGUUCCAAUUUCUUGGGACUGCUCUGUUUUUUCUGUUGCAUAUUAUUAUGGAAUUUAUAUAUGAAGUGUUUGGAGUUUGACUAGUAGAUUCCGAAGGGUAUGAGUCUCUUGAUGUCAGUUUGCGGUUUUUGCUCCGAUUUAGUCUUUUUGGGAUGUUUGAUUUACUACAAAUAUGUUUGCGUAUAAGUUGUGACAGAGUUUUGAGAUGAGGCUGUGUUUGGAUUUUGUUUCAAUAUGAAUUUGAGUGUCGGAGAAUUGAUUCAUUUGCUUGAGAGAUGUCAUGUUUUUUUAUUGUCAGUGGAGUCAGCUUGCCUCUGCUAACCAAUUUCAUUUACAAAUGGGUUUUUUUGUUGUUCUAGGAAGUGAAGAACAGAAAUGGUUUCGUUUUGAAAAUGAAUAUAUGUGUAAGCGGCUUCCAAGUACAGUUUUGAUUUUACGAUGAUGCUGCUGUUUAGCAGUGGGUGCUUGUGAGAGUUGAUAAUAAAUAUUGCUUUCGUCUAGAUACGGUGAUGGAUUUUGAUUAGGAUGAUGAUUUUUAUUCUUAGAGAAAAGAUCUGUAAGAGCUGCCCUGCUAGAUAUCUGAUUGCUAUUUUGCAACCUUGGUGGCAGUUGAGGAUAGUGCAAUAGUGGCAAUUGCUAUAACAUCUUAACUCAGUCUUUUUGUCUAUGUUACUCUCAUAUUUGUAUGGUUAUCAACUUGUCUUCUUUAAAGUUCUCUGCCUUUUCUGGUUGGAAAUUGGACUCUUGAUCUUCAUUGCCAUGGUUGUGCCUUGCUUUUAAUCUACCUUUACAUAAUCAUUUUGUCAAUCUUACAGAUUAAGGUUUUGUCAAUCAUUUUGAUAAUCUGUCAAUGUGUGCCCUCAAGUUUGACAUUAAAGUUCUAUAUGUAACAUCUGGGUUAGUUCCCUAUCGUGUUGUCAGUCAGUUUGUGUCACAUUAUCUCCUUUUCUUCCAUCAUGUAUGUAUAUACUUAUAUUCUAUUCCUUAUUUUCCCCAUAUAGCCUAGCUUACACGCGGUGAUAGUUGUUUUUUUCUUUCGUGGCAGAAAAAAUGAUGAUUGAUCAGACACAAUAUCCCACUGUCGCUCAGAAGAUGGCUGCCAAGCUCCAUGCACCGACCACUGUUAAAGAUCUUCAAGCCUGUGAGGGUGGUUUCCAGAAGCCUUAUCUGCAUCAAAGAAAAUUUGCUUAUGGAAACUUUGCAAAUCCUGCAUUCAAAUAUCAGAUGCUACAGUCAUGUCAAGCAACACAAAACCUGUCUAUGAUAGCAUCAUAUGCAUCUCCAGUUUCUGUCCAAGCCCCCUCAGAAAAGGGAUUUGCCAGCUUUGCGAUUGAUUUUCUCAUGGGAGGGGUCUCUGCUGCUGUAUCAAAAACAGCUGCUGCUCCAAUUGAGCGUGUGAAGCUAUUAAUUCAAAAUCAGGAUGAAAUGAUAAAGGCUGGUCGGCUUUCAGAACCAUACAAGGGGAUUGGUGACUGUUUCACACGAACAGUCCGGGAUGAAGGUGUUGUUUCUCUCUGGAGAGGCAACACUGCUAAUGUUAUUCGUUACUUCCCUACUCAGGUUGGUCAACUCCCGUGUUGUUAAUCCUUAAUUAUGUACUACUUCUCUUCUCAAUUUGCCUGACUAUUUUAUGGAUUCUGUACAGGCUUUGAAUUUUGCAUUCAAAGAUUACUUCAAGAGUUUGUUUAACUAUAAGAAAGACAGAGAUGGAUACUGGAAAUGGUUUGCUGGAAACUUGGCAUCAGGUGGUGCAGCUGGUGCUUCUUCCCUCGUCUUUGUCUUUUCCCUGGACUAUGCCCGAACUCGAUUGGCAAAUGAUGCCAAGGCUGCAAAGAAGGGAGGAGAGAGGCAGUUCAACGGCUUGAUUGAUGUCUACCGUAAGACCUUUGCUUCUGAUGGCAUUGCUGGACUUUAUCGGGGAUUCAAUCUUUCUUGUGUUGGAAUCAUUGUUUAUCGUGGUCUCUAUUUUGGACUGUAUGAUUCUGUGAAGCCAGUGGUCCUCACUGG